RNAcentral lists this long non-coding RNA (108667 nucleotides) under Populus trichocarpa (black cottonwood). RNAcentral's name for it is "long non-coding RNA (PTRI_LNC003514)". The stretch from base 2929 to 3142 matches the Rfam family "Plant small nucleolar RNA U3". The record is from RNAcentral. Lineage: Eukaryota; Viridiplantae; Streptophyta; Magnoliopsida; Malpighiales; Salicaceae.
CGAAACUCUAAAAUAUCUAACACGACAUCUAUAAAAAAGAAAUGCGGGGAGGGGGGUCACAAAGCAAACAUAGAGAGAGAGAGAGAGAGAGAGAGAGAGAUUGAGCUAAGGACAAUGAUGAGGAAAGUAUUGGUUGCAGUGUUGAUUGUGAGCAUGGUCGCUUCUCAUUUUGAGAACGUAGCGUCUGAUGCUUCUGAUUGCAUGGACGCAUGUACCACCGGCUGCGUUCAAUCAAACACAAGACUUACGAGCCGCUGUGAUAUCAAGUGUGGGAUAAGAUGCGGUCCAGAUUCUGAAGUCGAAGAUCACACAGGUUAAAGAACUUGGGAGUCUCAAAGAUGAAUGCUACCUGGAAUCUGUUUAUGGAAUAAUUUGCAGCAAUUCUUUUGACUGUUUUUAUUUUCUGUCAAAUUCUCAGUGUUGAUAGUCUUUGUAUUAGAAAUAAGAAGGGAAGUGCAGGGGGGGAUUAGGGCUAUCCAAUCUCAAAUUUGAAUAAAGAAAGGAGAGAAUCACUUCUGAAACUUCAGCUGCUGUAAGAAAAAUUGUAGCCUUUUGUUCUUGAAACUUGAUGAUCAUCAUUUUAGACACAGAAAAACACAGAUUCAUCUAUCAAGCUAUAAGGCACCAGUAAAGUACACACUGCAAUCUGCAUCGUGGAACAAGCAAUUAAAGGAAAUCAUGAUAAACGAAGUGGAAGAGGAGAGAGGCCAUAUUGUCAUCUUCUGGAACGAAGAACCAGAAGAAAUUCCUCAGAAUCCUAAAACAUCAAAACAGCAAAUAACCUCCAUGGAGGAGACAAUUUCAUUAGCCAGUUAAACUCAGGCUGGCCACUAGUGCGCGCACAGCAGAAGGCCACAUACUAGUGCAUGCAAUAAUUAAUGUCUGCCAUCUCAGAUCUGCCUUUUUCUGCUUUCAGCAACCCUGCGUUUCGCAAAUCAUGGUGGGUCCAUGAAUAAAAAAUAGUAUUUCUUACUUUACCAAACAAUUGUUUUAAUUAGGUAAAAAUCUUAAUUAACAUCCGUCUCUCAAUUUUUCAAAAUAUAUAUUUAGUUAUUGUUAUUGAUUUUUUUUAUUCAUUAACAUAGAGGAUUCUCAUUUGUUUAAUUAUAUGGAUACAUAAGUUUCUUGAUUUAUGUUUAAUUUUUUAAUUUGAAAAAAAUGUUAAAAAAGCUUUCAUGUUUAAUUUUUUUUUUGCUAGUAAAAAUUAUCAAACAAAAUCGUGACGUGUCACGUUUGAAAUAGCUAGUAAACUUGAUAAAACGUUUGUGAAGGUCAAUUAAUAAGACAUUUCAAAUAAAUAACCUAAUAGCUUUUGUUUUUUUAAAAAAAAUUUAUCCUACUAAACAAUUACCUUGCCCAUCUCUGAACUUUUAUGAUAGUGAUUUUUUUUAAUAUAUAUAUAUAUAUAUAUAUAUAUAUAUAUAUAUAUAUAUAUAUAUAUAUAUAUAUUAUUGAUCCGAUAUCAUGUAAUUUUUUCUAUACUAAUUGAAUCUUAUUUUCCUUAUUAUUUUAUUAUCUAAAAAAAAAUUAGAAGUUCAUUUCUAAAAAAUUAAAUUGAAGAAAUUCUAUUUGCUCAAAAAAAUUUAUUAUUUUUUUAUCUAAAAAAUCGAAGUUAUACGUAUAAAAACAAAAGGCAGAAACACAUUGUAUCGAUUAUUUGUUUUUUUUUAGGACUUGAAGCAAACAGAAACACACUGUCCCACAUCGAGCAAUAACUGUGAAGCAUCUUCUUGAAAAAAUGUUGGAAUCCAAUGUGAUGCUCGUUCAAACAUUGCUCCUUCUUUUCUUUAUUCAUCAGGACUUGAGCGAAACGGUGAGCUAAGCUUUUUUCUCGGACAAAAAUGCCCUUGAACAAAGAGGAAAAUAUUGUCCCACAUCGAAGCAAGAGAGAUAUCUCACGAAGGCAGUAAAUAGUCUUUUAUCUUUUUUUCUUAUGACAGAUGAAUCAUGACCGUGUGAUCAUAGCUUGCUAGAUUGUGACUGUGGAGGAUCGUUUCUUAACCAUGGAUGGUCCUGCGGUUGUCUGACAGGCCACCACUCCCACGAAGCCUAUUAUUAGAGCUACAACGGCAACUCCCAAAAUCCCAAGUUCUCCUUCCUGUAUUUUUUUCCCUUGUAGUUUCAGUUCACAGCAAGAUAGCUUCUGUAGCGAUUGGCUUCCUGUUACACCAUGAGCACUCCCAAGCAAACGUAGUUGUUCAUGGCGGUCAUUUUCACUUCUCUUCGAUACUUAUCGGUGUAUUCCUUUGAAUACCAAAUUGGCGGAAACGAAAACUUGGUUGUCCCUCCCGCCAUUGAUACCAGAAUCUACGUUGACUGGGCCUUAGAGAACCGAUUCCAAGUUGGUGAUACAGCUCGUGAUCAGUUCAAACACAAAGAAAUACGAGAUCUGCCUUUACCUUCAAUUUCCUGGGUGUUCAUCAUCUUUUUUUGCGAAGGUUUCAAGCACAGGAAGGAUUCCGUGAUGAAGGUUAGGGCAGAGGAUUACAAGAAGCGCAACUCCCGUCACCCCAACUUCUUUUCCAACACUGUUCACCAUCUUAAUCAUCCAGCGUCUUCCUACUUCAUAAGUGGGGUUUCUGGACACUGCGAGAAGGGACAAAGGAUGAUCAUCAUUAAGGUUAUCUCAACUGAUCAAGAGACUAAUUCAAAUCUGCAGCUUUUCCUUCUGCAGGAGUGCUAGUCUUUCGGUGCCUGGAAAGUGCUCUUAUCUCAGCUUGUUUCAUUCUAACAAAAUACCACCGCUAAAGCACCGCAGCCGCUCAGGGUCUUCCUCGUACAUUCAUAUUACUCUCCCCUUGGACACUACCGGGGCUCGAAGCAAAAAGACGGACAGAGAUAAAAAUACCUAGGACCAGAUUUGUCCCACAUCAGAAAAGAACGAAGAAACAAGAGAGUUAAUAAACUGUUCGAGGAGCUCAGAACAACACGACCUUACUUGAACAGGAUCUGUUCUAUAGGAUCGUACCUCUGUAUCCUUAAUCACUAAGGAGACAGGAACUUAAACCUGGUUGAGGAAUCAUGACCGUGUGAUCAUAGCGUGAGUAAUGGCUUGAUGGCCCUCGUGAUCAUCAUGGCUGUAGAGGAUCGUUUCUCAGCUAUUAACAUGGCUGGGAAUGGUCAUGCGGUUGUCUGACAGGUUUCUUUAUUUUUGAAAAAUCACGUACGUUGUCAAAAAUAUACGUAUGUUUUUUCUCCUAUAAAACAAAAACAAAGAAUUGAUACGGAAAAAGGCUAUGCAUAUAAGUUAGGUUGAUGCCCCCUCCCUCCAUCUUUCCCGACCUUCAACAAAAUCUUAAUCCAUGGCAACCUGAUUUUAUUAAUCUAUUUUACUACAGCAGGGGACUAUAUUUGUUAUCGUAAAAUCUAGCAUCAUCCUAAAAAUUGAUUUUAUUUGUCUUUUCCUUUUCUAGUCAACUCGAGUUUCUUAAUACAUUUUAUAAUAGGCUCUUCCUCCGAGUGUUUUAAUUAAUGAAAAUGUUGGAAUUUUGGUUUUCUUUUAAUUUUAUAGACUUCAUAUACUUUAAGUUGAUUGGUGUAUUCCACUUUCAUCCCAGGUUAAAUUAUUAUAACAAAACUGAGAGAAAAAAAAGGAAAUGGAGUGUCAUGGAUAUAUAUCAUGUCAUGUAAGUAUCUAUAUCAAUUAUAGAUUUUUGCUCUUCAAAAAUACUAUUUUUCCUAGCAUCCCAAAAAUUAAGGUAAGAUGCAUGAAUUACUAUCCAAUUCUCCUUAUAUUUACCAUAACAACCAACACUAUGUAGUUUCUCUCCAAAAUCAACAUAAUUUGAUAUAUGUUGAGAUAAUUUAAAUUAUCGCAUUACUCAAUCUGGAUAAUAUAUCUCAACAAUAUCAAAGUCAUGUAGAGGGACUUGUGCUAAUCAAAUGUCAGAUUUCUUAUGAUAUAUAAGCGAAACUUAAAGUAUCAACUCCUUUGUAUAUAACAUUUAUAUAACCUAUUAGAACAUAUAAAACAAUUAUCUCAAAUAAUCAAUUGAAACUAAAUAAUUAACUUUAAAAUAAUAAGAAAAUUAAAUAUAUUUUUAAUAUAUACCUGAUAUGACUGUUGCGUACCCAAAUCAUCUUGAUAAAACUCAUAGACUGAAAUUCAGUAUGAAAUGUCUAGCCCCACACCAUUUGACAAGAUAAGCCACUAAGUUAGUUGUAUAUUUUUUUUACAUGCAAUUUAUAUAAAUAACAUGUUGACUAUAUAAUCAACUAGAAAAAUAAUUCGGGUUAACAUGUUUAACCUGUAAAAUUUGUUAUUCAGAUCAUGAUACCUACAUACAAAAUAAAUUAAAAAUGAUAAAAUCUAAUGUCCCAGCAAACUGAAUAUUGAAAAAAAAAGUUUGAAAUUAAAAGGUUAAAAAACCCCUAAAAAAUCUUAAAGAACAAUAAUAAAAAAAAAGUCUUCAAUAACAAUUAAUGAUCUGUCUCUCUGUUAUAUAUAUAUAUAUAUAUAUAUAUAUAUGUUAGGGCAAAAAACAGAUCAAAAGAGCACCCAUCUCCCUCGAAUCUCUGCCAGGUCAAUGGCAAGGAAACGAUCCUCUACAGCCAUGAUGAUCACGAGGGCCAUCAAACCAUCACUCCCGCUAUGAUAAGGCGGUCAUGGUUCCUCAACCAGGUUUGGAUUCCUGACUCCUUAGUGAUUAAGGAUACAGAGGUACGAUCCUAUAGAACAGAUCCUGUUCAAGUAAGGUCGUGCUGUUAUGAGCUUCUCGAGCAAUUUAUUAACUCUAUUGGUUCUUCACUCCUUUUCAAUGAGGGACAAAUCUGGUCCUAGGUGUUUUUAUCCUUGAGGAAAACGCUCUGUCCGUCUUUUUGCUUCGAGCCCCGGUAGUAUCCAAGGGGAGAGUAAUAUGAAAGUACGAGGAAGACCCUGAGCGGCUGCGGUGCUUUAGCGGUGGUAUUUUGUUAGAACGAAACAAGCUGAGAUAAGAGCACUUUCCAGGCACCGAAAGACUAGCACUCCUGCAGAAGGAAAAGCUGCAGAUUUGAAUUAGUCUCUUGAUCAGUUGAGAUAACCUUAAUGAUGAUCAUCCUUUGUCCCUUCUCGCAGUGUCCAGAAACCCCACUUAUGAAGUAGGAAGACGCUGGAUAAUUAAGAUGGUAAACAGUGUUGGAAAAGAAGUUGGGGUGACGGGAGUGGCACUUCUUGCAAUCCUCUACCCCGACCUUCAUGACGGAAUCCUUCCUUUACUUGAAACCUGCGCAAAAAAAGAUGAACACCCAGGAAAUUGAAGGAAAAGGUAGAUCUCAUAUUUCUUUGUGUGUGAACUCACGAGCUGUAUCACCAACUUGGAAUCGGUUCCCUAAGGCCCAGUCAACGUAGAUUCUGGUAUCAAUGGCAGGAGGGACAACCCAGUUUUCGUUGCCGCCGAUUUGGUAUUCAAAGGAAUAGACCGACAAGUAUCGAAGAGAAGUGAAAAUUACCGCCAAGAACAACUACUUUUGCUUGGGAGUGCUCAUGGUAUAACAGGAAGCCAAUCGCUACAGAAGCUAUCUUGCUGUGUACUGAAACUAUAGGGGAAAAAAGACAGAGAGGAGAACUUGGGAUUUGCCGUUGUAGCUCUAAUAAUGGGCUUCGUGGAAGUGGUGGCCUGUCAGACAACCGCAGGACCAUCCGUGGUUUUGAACCGGUUUGUUAGAGUUUGUGUUUUUUCAAAAACACACGAAGCAAACGUUUGAUUAACCAUGAAAAAAAAAAUAUAUAUUUACUAUGCAUGAGUCCCAUAAUAAAUUGCGUGUGAAAUACACAAAAAUGAAAAGCAGAAAAAUACUACUUUUUUGCGCGGCUAAAAAACUCAACCAUGCUACACUAUUCAGUAAACAGUGUAGCAUGCCUCCACUAUUCAUUGAACAGUGGAGGCAUGUGUUCACUGUUCACUGAACAGGGGGAGCAUGUAAACAGUAUAAGAAAAUUGCACUGUUCACGUGAAUUUUUUUUUAAAGUGUGUUAAUUUUUUUAACAUUUUUUUUUAAAAAAACACUAGUAUAAAGUAAAUUAAAUUCACUCGCAUUGUAAUAUCAAUUUUAUACUUGAUAAUAUUUUAUUUAUGCUCAAAAAAUUAUGAAAACUGUAGUUCUUAUCGGAUGAAUUUUGUACGUAAUGGAAUUAUAAAUAGUUUAAUGGAAUAAUAAAAAGUAUUUUUUUUAUAAAUUAUUUUUUAUUUCAUGAUGUAAUAGGAGUAAUUAAUUCUACAAUAUUUAAAUUUAAAACCAUCAAUAUUAAUAUAUAUUUUUUUAAAUUAUUUUAUAACUUCAAUUUCAAAAGCAUUCUUAACCAAACACAUUAAACUACUUUUUCUUCAACCACAUUUUUAACCAAACACCUAUUUUUUCAAACUAACCUCAACUAAAAGUAUUUUUUAUAAAACAACUUUUUUUAAACCACAACCACAACAACUACUGCAAUACCAAACACACUCUAAGAAACGAUCCUCCACAGUCACAAUCUAACAAGCACUGUUAUUAAACCCGGUCCGGCCCGGCGGGUCGACCCAAGACCCGGUGGCUAGACCGGUCCGGGUUUAAUAAAAGACUGGCUGUGGCAACAGCCCGGGUGACCCGGUUUUUUUUUCAAAUGUGAGAUUUGAAACCCAUUAGUAUAUAUACUCUAUGUUCCCAAGAAAAAAAGUCAUGUUUUUUCAAUGUGGGAUAAAAAACCUUUUGGUUUAAAUACUUCAACUUAACAGGAUAACAUAGUAUCUUUUCAAUGUGGGAUUUGAAGCCCUUUCAUAUAUAUACUCUAUGUUCCCAAGAAAAAAGUCAUGUUUUUUCAAUGUGGGAUAAAAAACCUUUGGUUUAAAUAUUUCAAUUUAAAAGGAUAACAUAAUAUCUUUUCUGGGAUUUGAAGCCCUUUCAUAUAUAUACUCUAUGUUCCCAUGAAAAAAGUUAUGUUUUUUCAAUGUGGGAUUUGAAAUCCAUUAGUAUAUAUACUCUAUGUUCCCAAGAAAAAAAUCAUGUUUUUUCAAUGUGGGAUAAAAAAUUUUUUUGUUUAAAUACUUCAACUUAAAAGGAUAACAUAAUAUCUUUUCAAUGCGGGAUAAAAAACUUUUUAAAAUAUUCUUUUAAACUUCAUAAUAUGUAUAAUCUAUAUUGAUUUUAUCAUAUGAAAUAUUAAAACUUUAAAUUUUUUUAAUUUUUCCAGGUUAAUCUGAGUUGACCUAUAAAACCCGAAACCCGGCCAACGGCCCUUGACCGGGUUUAAUAACUAUGCUAACAAGCCAUGAUCAAACAGUCACGAUUCAUAUGUCAUAUAUAUUUAUAUUUAUUGCCUUCGUGAGAUAUCCAGCUACCUUGUUAACUCUCUUGCGUCGAUGUGGGACAAUAUUUUCCUCUUUCUUCAGGGGCAUUCUUCUCUUUAAUUACCAAAAUAUAAAAUAUAAAAAAUUACGAGAAUCUAAUUCAAGCUUGCAAGGAAGCGAACAAGGACAGGUGAUGCACUGACAUCUUAGAGAGGGAAAUGAGAAGGAAUCCAAUGGCCGGGAGUGCCUCCAUCACUUCCCAUACAAUGGAUGAUGAUCUUCACGUAAAGCUGCUAUACCUGGAGAACAGAGGUAUAUUGUUCUGCACAUGAUAAUUUUGUUCCUGUUUACAAUUAACCUGCCUUUUCCCCUCAGAAUUUCAAGAUUAAUAUGCCAAAAACUGAAGUUUUUUGUUAGUUUUCUGAAAUCUCUUUCUUGCACAUAGAGAGAAAUCCGACAAUGAUAUCUUCAAAUACUCUGUUGAGAUACCUACAUAUUAACAGUACUGAUCUUCUUGCUGCUUUAAAUUCCUUGGUUUGGGUGCUGGGGGUGUCCUGCUAGCUAUCCUGUCUACUCUUCUCCAAAUAGGAGCUUUUAUGCUCUUUCUAUUUUAGUCUCCUAAUCUACCCUGCAAUCUUGAUGAAAAUUGAGAUUUUCUUAAUGGCAUUUGAUGCGCACAGAGGUGAGGGCAUCCCAUUGAUUUAUAGCUUUAGCGCCUUUUGUUCAAUUAUGAUAUUGAGAAGUGAAGCAGAUUAAUUGUUUUAAAUAAUUAAGUAAUUUCUUUCUUAUAAAAAAGUUAUUCUAUGACCUUGUAUCACGUGUGAGGCGUGAAGUUCAAGUCCAUUUAAUAUUUUUAUAUCUUAAUAUUUUUUUAAAAAAUAUAUUAGCUCAAUCUAAUCAUAUUAAGUCAACUCAACAUAAUUUAAUUUUUUAUAUUAAAAAAAACUAAUAUCAUAGCAUCCAUUAAUAACUUAACGCUUUAGGUCAUUAAACCCACAUUCAAAAAAACAACAAAAAGGGGUAAUUAGUUCUCCAUAUUACUUUUGAGAGAUUCUAUGCAAAAUUGGCAAAAAGAAAAGAAAAGAAAAGAAAUUGCUCAUUUUUAGGACCAACUAUGAAAUUAAUAAAUUAUUAAUCUAAGUCUUCAACAGAUGAACACAUGUAAAUAUUGAAUAAAAAUGAUUAAUAAGUUAUCCGAUGAGAAAUUUAGCGAUUUGCACGUCCUAAUUUGUUUUAGUUAACACACUUAAAUAAUUAAAUAAUUAUAGACACAACUUAACAAAAAGCAAGUACUCUUAUUCCAUUUAUCAUAAUUAAGCUUUUGUUCUUUAGCUGCCACCAUCUUUUUAAGUUCUUCCACCUCCACCUUCAAAAUAACCGUAGGGGUAAUUAGUUGAUAUUUCAUUAAUAAACGCAAUUUAUUAUUAUUUCAAAAUCAAAAUUAGGAGUCUCUUGGAUUUCAAUUUCAUCCCUCUCCAAAAUAUAAAUAUAUAGAGAGACUAAUUUCCUGAUAUUAAUUGAUUAAAGUUUGCUAGUAAAUUAAGUACACUAAUCUUGUUUUAUUUGCUUGUUGUUCAUGUAAAUUAAGUGCAACAUUGUUUAAAUAAAAGGACAUGAAGUGUAAGAACUCUGCAACACUAGCUGAAGAAGAUGUGCAUAUGGAUUUUCUGAAAAUAAAAUAACAAGAUAUGAAUAUGGCAUUAAUAAUUUCUUAAAUAAUCAAGUAAUGAACUCCAUUGAAAUUAAUAAUUUGUUUUUUUAAAAUUAUUUUUUAUUUAACUAUAUGAUAACAAAAAUAGAUGAUCGCAAAAUCGAUCGUCAAAUUAAUAUUGAGAUUUUUUUUAAGAUUAUGAUAACCUUAUAGAAAGCAAAACAAAAUAAAUUAUAAAACUCAAUUUUCAAUAAGUCUAAUAUUAAACGAUAAAAUAAAAAAAAAAUUAUAAGAAAAAAAAUUAAACUCGUCAUAUUUGUCAACAAACCCAUGAACUUUCUAAAAUUUAAUAACAUAUUGUUUUCCAAAACUAUUUUUUUAACUAUAUGAUAAAAAAAAAUAGACAAUCACAUAAUCAUGUUCAAUUAGAGAAAAAAAAGUACCCUGCUAAACCCACAAGCCGAAAUAAUUAGGGUUACCUUGUCAAACUCGCAAGUGGAGUCAUUGACUCCAUAAAAUUUAUUAACCUAGUUUUUUUAAAUCAUUUUUUAUUUAACUAAACGUUUUAAAAAAUAGAUCAUACCGCGAUGCUAAGAUAUUGUUUUGAUACCAAUCCGAUGCUGAGAUAGUUUUUUGAUAUUGUAAUAACUAUAUAAAAGACAAAUUAAAAUAAAUUAUCAACUCUAAACCCCAUAAACAUAUCAUACAAGAACUAAAAAAAAUCAAUAACCAAAGAAAAAAAAAGUUAAAAUACAAAGAAAAAAAACAACACUAGUUAUUGAUUUUUUUAGUUCUUAUAUGAUAUGUUUAUGGGUUUUAGAGUUGAUAAUUUAUUUUAAUUUAAAAAAUAUCAAUAAUUUAUCGAUUUAUAUCCAACAUAAUUGUAUAGUUUUGUAUUGUUUUCUUAGUAUCAUUCAAGAUUGAUUUUAUGAGAUACAUGCAAGGCAUUUUAAUUUUUUUGAAAAAAUUAAGUAUGGAGGAUUGAAGAUUAGCUUAGAUAAAUGUGAAGAUUACUUUAGAAUUUAUAAGCAAUCAUGGAGGGAGAGGUAGCCAUUUAUUGCCAUCCCCAAGCAACAUGUCUCUAAUAGUGAUUUAUCAGUCACACAGCUUGGUUUAAAAUGAAAAAUUUCUUUGUUGAGGCUUAAAAUCAAUAUUGAAGGACAUAUAUGAUGCUCAAAAAUAUUAUUAGAUAAAUUUUAUUUUUAUCUUUAUAGAUUAAUUAACAUUUUCUUCUAAUCCUAUAGUUUAAACUUUUCCAAUAUUAUCCCUCUAGAUAUUAUCCCUCUAGUUUCUAAAAUUAGCAAUGUUAACUUCCAUUAAAAAGCUUACCAUUUACAUUUGGUUUUUGAGUUUUUUUUUUUUUGGGAAUGUUUUUAAGUGUUUUCUUAACAUAUCUGAGAGGAAGUAAAAGAGAUUUGUAAGAAAAAUAAUAAAAAAGAAGAAGUUUAAUUUAAAAAAACUAUAAAUUUCAAACUAUUGAGAUGAAAGUGUAACAUUGAUAAUUUAUAAAGAUAAAAAAAAAAUAAGUUCACCCAAUUUUCCAAAAUAAGUUAACUACUAUUUUUUAAAAAAACUUGAUUAAUCAUACUUUAAAUUUAAUCAUUGAUUUUGAAUUUAAUGAUACGAAUUAAAUGAUAUAAAUAAAAUAAUUUUUUUUUCACACAUGAAAUCAUUAUCAUCAAGGUGUCAUGCUUUGAAUUCAAUAAAAAUGAUAGUAAAAUCUUUUUAAGAACUUUUUUUCCAUGAUAUUUAAAAAAAAGACAGUUUCUAAUUACUUUCAGAAAAGAAUUUCUAUAAUUGUUGCCUUAUGAUCGAAGGACUUGACAAAUCCUUCAUCCAUUGUUGUAAAAGAAAUACCUGUGUUGUGCUAUGUAAAACUAUAAUUGAUUCUGCAGUGCUCCAUUAUACAAUUUACUUAAGGAAAAGGAUAGCGAGGAAGGAAAUCGGUAUCAUACCUCAUAGGGACUGGACACUAACAUGCCUGCAUUAUCUCUGAAUUAACGCCAGGAGAUGUUCUUCAUCUUUCUCCUUCAAAAAAAUAAAAAUAAAAAUUGCAGUAAAGCAUCAUUCAGUUUGUUAUCAUCAGAAAUUCAAGUUUUUCUGGCAUUCUCACACGAGUAUCAUGCAUACGAUGUUUAUUUCAUAGUUUUUCUGAUGGAAUGUUCAAAAAUGCGAUGACGGUUGUUUUUCAAAGUAUUUUUUAUUUGAAAAUACAUCAAAUAUAUAUAUUUUUAAAAAAUUAUUUUUGACAUCAGCAUAUCAAAAUGAAUUAAAAGCAUAACAAAAUAUUAAUUCGAGUCUAUCUAGUGUCUACGCAAGCCAUCUCUGCUGGCAAAUAAUAUUUAAAAACACUUUAUUUAACUUGAAAAGAAUAGCUAGUUGUAUUCUAGAUUUGCUUUUUAAAAAUUACUAAUUCGAAUCUCAUAAAUCUUAAAAGCUAUUAAAAGCUUACAUGGUCGUUAACUUUAAGGCCCGUGGGAUUAGUCGAGGUGCGUGCAAGCUGGCUUGGACACCCACGUUUGUUGCUACCCAAUUUUUGACUCAUGUUUUGGUAAAUUUUCAGAAAAAUCCAAAAAUAGCAAAAAACAUUGAAAAUCCAAAACAAUACGUUUUUUAAUAUAUUUGCAUUGUUUUUAGCAUUUUCAGCUUUGUCUAAAAAGAAUUUAAAUUUUUAAGGGUCUUUCGAAUGCGUUCGACUUUUCACGCGUCAUUUUUAAAAUCAUUGAUUUUUCUCAUCGAGUCGACGUUGAUAUUGCUCGUUUUCAAAAAAUACAAAAAAAUCAAGAAAAAUCAAAUUUACAAAAAGAAAGAAGUUGAGAGACCAAGUUUGAAAACAUAGCAAUAUUUUUACCUAUAAAUACUGGUCUCCUCAACAUAUUUAAGGGAGCAAUUUUAAAACAUUAGAAAAAAAAUACAAAAAAAGAAAACCCUAACCCUAAAAGCAGCUCUUUUCAAAGGGGGCGGCGCCCCCCUUCAUUUCUCCUUUCUCUGGGAGCCGCCGCCCCCCACCCGGCCAUUUUUCUUCCAAUUUUUCUCCCUCACCAGGUUCCCCUCUCCCAGCCAACCGUAGCACUCUGCUCCGCCAGCCUUCUCCCCUUUACCAAACGAUCUCCCUGCGUUUCCUUCUCUCCCCCAGAUCGGUUCUUCCCUCUCAACACAGAACAACCUUUCCCUCAUCAACAGCCGCCUCCAGCAUUUCCUUCCCACAACAGCUGACCACCACACCGACACCCACCGAUUUGUCCAUUCCUCCGCCUCAACACCGCCAGCAACCUCUCACAUUUUCGCAGCAGCUCCAGCGACCGCAGGCUGCAGCAGCAAAGCAAUUGAAGCCGACGAUCAGACCACUUCGUUCUCCUCCAUCUCCGCCGAACCAGACACCAGCAGCUGCACAGCCGUCGACCGAAGCACAUCCACACUGCCGGCCGCUUGAAACAGGGAACAAAGGGGAAACGAAAAGAAACCGAGCUGCGAAGAGAGAUGCAGAUCUGCAGAACAAAAGAGAAAAACAAAACUAAAAUCAACUGUUGUUGUGCGUUGUUUCCCUUGUUGCAGGUGUCGGUGACCUUAACCGCCGGCGUAGGAAGACAGAAGAGGAAGAUGGCCCCGGUCCACCGGGUCUGCCACCUUCAGCUGCGGCGGCGCGUGAAUCCACGCGCUGCCACUGUUGCUGCAGUGCAGAAGGCCUUCCCUGCAAUUAAUGGAGUUUUUAGAGGCUAUUUUGUAAAUUUAAAAAUGUGUAAUGUAAUUUUUGUUUAGUUGUUUUGAAUUUGUAUUUUGAAGUAUAGAUGAAAAAAAAAAAAGAAAAGAAAAAGAAAAGAAAAAUAGUGAAAGUGUUUUAUUUAUUUAUUUAUGAUAAAAUUACAAAGAUUAAAGAAGAAUUUAAUAUUUUGAUUUGCUCACGGUCCAGAAUUAUUAACUUAUACGUAAGUUGUAUUUCUAAUACUCGAUGAAAAGAUAAAAUUUUUAAAACUUCUUUAACACGUCAAAGCCACGAAGCAGCUUACCUCAUGUAGGGUGCGUUAGGGGUGCUAAUACCUUCCCUAACCACAACUAGUCUCUUAUCCGCGAAUCUCUGACAAGACCAGUACAUCCGGUUUCCUAGUAGCCUUCAAUAAAUUACUAGGUGGCGACUCUAACGAACCAAUCAAAGCAAAACAACAUAAGAGAAAAAAUCGCCAGCUGAUGCCGUGUUGAUUUCACGUGCGACAACGUUAAUCUAAAAAGAAAAGAGCACUUUAUUCAACUUUGAAGGGUGUAGGUUAAUUGGUCAGAUCCUGAGUUUGUUCUCCAAAGAUCACUAGUUCGAGACCCACAAACCUCAGGCCCACUGGAGGCUUAUAUGGUCGUUAACUUCAGGGCCCGUAAGAUUAGUCGAGAUGAGUACAAGCUGGCCUGGAUACACAUGUUAAUAAAAAAAAACACUUUAUUUGAAAAUAUUAUGAAACAUACAGGAACUUCAAACUCGGUAGCUAGGCCUAUAGAUAAUAAUUUAUUUUAAAGAGAUUGAACUAAUAAAGUGUUGGACAGUGAAAAACAAGGUGAAAGUGUCACUCUUCUACCCCUGUGUCUGAAUAUGUCACUCUUCUACCCCUAUGCCUGAAUAUGUCACUCCAUUAAUUUUGUCAAGAGGAUUAUCUAGUCAAUUUAAGAAUGUGUAAACUCUAUACUACUGUAAAAUAGAAUUAUAUCUUUGUAAAUCAACCUCACAUUUCAAUGGAUUUCGGCAGCAAAAAUCAAUUUCUCUCCAUAAAUAUUGAAAAUUGUUGUAGUAUGUCUAUCCUCCAAACUUGUUUAAGUCUCAUUAUAUUCUUUUUGAGAUCAUAAGCUUGUGAAGUGUCAACCCCAUCAAAAUAUAUUGCAGCGAUAACAUCCCAUUCGGCUUUCGCUAUUGUAAAUAUGAUGUAGUUACUUUGGAUCCAUUGAAUUAAUAGUCAUCCCUUCACCACUGCAUUUUCUAUUCUCCAAAAAAAUCCCUAUAAUCUCUCAAAAAAAUCCUUUGUCGACGACUCACACCAACAACUAGCAUUUAAGAACAAAUGGAUCGCUGUUUACAUGUUCUUAAAUUGAUAUAUUAAAUAUCAUAAUUUUGUGAACUCAUAGAAACUUCACAAUUUUUAAAUAAGUACCUGAACAGUAACAAGUCUAAGAAGCUGAAUGGGUCAUCAUAAGCACUUGAUGAUGUUAUGGCUCUUUUAUUAACAGUAACAAGACAAGAAUUGACUCUGUAAGAAGAUGGCCAUCAAUGCAAUUUUUUCAAUACAUGCAUGCAAAAUGAAGCCCAACAGUACUGUUGCCAGUAGGAACUUAUUUAAGUUAAUUCACAUAAAUAAUUAUAUAUGGACACAACAUAACAAAAGCUAGUACUCUUAUUCCGUGCUUAAACCGAUCUUAUUAUUUGAUGGUAGUUGACCAGUUCUUUGAUCAUCUGUUUGUGCUGGCAAACUUCUUGGAAAUGAAUCAAUUCCUUGCUGUGGAGUUGAUGCAUUUAAAAAAGAUCUUAGUUGCUCAAGCUCUUGAUUUUUAUGCUCAAGCUCUCGAUCUUCAUCUGCUACAAUCUUUUAUUAGACACGAAGGCAUCAAUAUUGACUAGACUCGUUAACAAUCCAAGGAUCAUAAAUGAUAACGAAUAUUUGAGCUAUAAUUAAUAUCAUAAGAAUACUUUGGUGUAGUGCCCUUCUAUUUACUAUUAAGAAAGAUUGCAAUUCCUCAUCUAUUUACAGAAUAACAGAUGGUAUUUAGCAAGUUAUUCAGAUUAUAUAUAUAUUUUUUUUUCCUAUUUUACCUUAUAUUGGGUUAUCAUGCCAUUUGGUUCUACUUGCGGGUUUUGACAACCAUAUUUGGUUUUGCUAAUGCUUUGUUUUUUAAUAUUUUUUUUCUCUUGAUUUUAUCCUUCUAUAUUUUUAUUUCAAGGUCUAUAUUUUUAUUUCAAGGGAUUGACGAUCAUUGUUUUUGGUAUACUUACCCAUGUGGAUUCAAUUGGAAAAAAUAUAUUCGUCAUAAUCUUUAUAUUCAAACAGUUCGCUCAAACUAAGAUGUAGCAUGAGAAGGGAGUAACUCUCCACCUCUUCUUAGUUGAUGAGUAUGUUCUUUCCAGGGACAAUGAGUUAAUUCACUUAAAUAAUUGUGGACACAACAUAACAAAAGCUACUACUUUUUAUUCCAUGCUUAAACUGAUCUCAUUAUUUGAUGGUGGUUGACCAGUCCCUUGACCAUCAGUUUGUGCUGGCAAACUUCUUGGAAGUGAAUCAAUUUCUUGUUGUGGAGCUGAUGCUGUUAAAUAAGAUCUCAAUUGCUCAAGCACGUGCUCAAGCACUUGCUCUUCGUGCUUAUGCUCUCGCCUUUUACACUCAAGAUCUCGCUUUGUAUCCGCCAUAAUCUUUUCAAGUUCUUUCAACCUCUUAAAAAUAGCAACAUUGUUAACUCAACAUUAGUAAUUAACAAAUCAUUGAUUAAUCAAUGCAAAGUUUUCUUAUUUAAAAAUAGAAAUUAGGAGUGUCAAGAAUUUCAAUUUAAUUUCUCGUUUCAAUUUGACUAAUUUCCAGUUACUAAUUGAUUAAAACUUGCUACCAAAUUAAGUACAAUCUUGCUUUCAAUGCAUGCAUGCUGUUCGAAGUACGCAAAUUAAGUGUAACCUUGAUUAAGGGGUGUUUGUGAGUGUUAUAAUAGUUGUUUUUUAAAAUGUUUUUUGUUCGGAAAUAUAUUGAAAUAAUAUUUUUGUUAUUUUUUAAAAAUUAUUUUUAACAUCAGCACAUUAAAAUGAUUUAGAAAUACAAAAAGAAAUUAAUUUAAAAUAAAAAAAAUAAAAAAUUUAAUUUUUUUCAAAAAUAUUUUUAAAUCACAAAAAUAAACAAGGUUUAAAUAAAAGAAUGUGCGGUGUAAAAACUUUUGCAACGCUAGAUAAAACAAAUGUAUGUAAGGUAUUUCUGAAAAUAAAACAACACAACGUGAAUAUCAAAAAGAGCUUAUAAUAUUAAGAUUAUUAGUUAGACAGACUAUUAAAGACCUUGGACAUUGAAUUUCGCGGAAGAGAAAGAGUGGCAAAGUGCAAAGCAUGGAAAAUUAACAGGUCAUAAUAAAUUUGUCUUUUCCUUUGAAAAAAAAUAGAGAGAAAACCUCGUAGGAUAAUAUUAAAAAAAUAUACUAAAAAGACACAUUGUUUUUAAUUACUCUUUUAUCUUUAUUAAAAAAAUAUUAUGUUUGCAAUUAGAGGUACUUACAAUUAUCUUUACCAAAAAAUGCAUUAGUCAUUAUAAGAUUUAUUAAGGACAAAGUAGUUCAGACAUGUUUAUUUUGCUACAAUGUCAUAACUGAUUUGCACUUGAAAACAGGAAAAAUAAGGCUUUGGGCAAGGGGCUCUUUUAUCUUUUGCAAAAACAAAAACAAGGUUUUAAAGUAUUGAGAUGGAAGUGGAACAUACCUCAUCACGACUUGACCAUGACAUGGCUACAAUACCUUCCACAUAUUUGUCUCUAGCCUUGGAAUAUUCUUCUUCCUCCUUCUCCUUCUUCUUCUGAUAUUAAUUGAAUUUAUUAUCAGAUAUUCAAGUAGUCAUCAGUUAAUAAAAGCUAAUAUCUAAUAUUAAUCAUUUAUUUUAAUUUUUUUUAGAUGCAAAGGCAUCAAUAUUACAAAAAAAUAUUAAAAAGAUACCAGUGAUUUAUUCUGCUUCUAGACAUGUUGUUUUUACUAUUUUACCUUUAUUAAAAUAAUGGUUAUGCUUGCAAUUAGAGGUACAAUUACCUUUACCAAAGAAUGCGUUAGUCAUUAUAAUAUUUAUCAAGGAUAAAAUGAUCUGGAUAUAUUUCUUUUACUACAGUGUAACAACUUAUUUGUACUUAAAAGCAAGAAAAACUAGGCUUCCGGCAAGGGGCUCUUUUGUCUUUCGCAAAAACAAAAACGGUGUGUUUACAUUCAUACCCUUUGACCCUAAAAAAAUUAAGAUUAUUAGCAAGGGUGUUUUUGUCCUUUGAUAUGGUUUUGUUGUAAUUCUCAAGUGGUGUCAAGGGUAUUUAGGUAUUUUAAUAUGCAUAAAUUAUUAUUUAAAUUUGAAGAUGGUUGGCGCGUGUUUUGAACAAGCCAGCAAGUUGGCGCCUCUGGCCUCUUUUUGGGUGGUGCAUGCGACGCCCAAAUUGCACCGAAUGUUGCCUUUCAAAAAGGUGUUUGUUGCACCUCACCACCCCUAUCACAGUGGUGAGGAGCGUGUUUACGGUCGUGACAUGGAAGAGCAUUGGACGCGAGUUUUUCCCUCCCUCCUUCUCUCCUCGUAGAAAACCGUGUUGGCCAUUGCAAAAAAACAAGAAAGCAUGACUAUUUGUUUGUUAAGUUAAAUUAGGUCCUUUUUUUUUAUUGCAAUGUAUUUGGUCUUGAAUUAUUUAUUGAGUUAAUUUGUUUUUUCAAUUUCAUCUCUUGGCACUUGAUUUUUGUAUAUGAUUUGGUUCUCAUUUUUUUAAUUGAAAUGUAUUUGGUCUUGAAUUAUUUAUUGAGUUAUUUUUUUUUAUUUCAUACCUUUACACUUGAUUUUUUGUAUUAGAUUUUAUUUUCAUUCUUUUAAUUAUGGUGUGCUUGGUCUUGAAUCUUUGAUUAAAUUAAUUUGUCUUUGAAUUUCAUCUCUUAACAUUUUUUUUGUAUCAAAUAUUAUCCUCACUCUUUUUAUUGUUAAUUUUAGUUGUUCUUAUCCUUUUUUUUUAUUGAAAUUGUUUCUCAAUUUCAUUCCUUAUAAUUUUCUUUUAUUUUUUGUGUCAAAUUUGGUUCUUUUUCUUUUCAAGUCUAUAUUUUUUAAACCACUUCUUUUUUUUAAUUUGUUUUUUCAAGUUUAUCUCUAAUUAUUUUGGUUGGUUGGGCAUUUUGCAUUGUUAUUUUUUCGGAUUUUCUUUAUAUGUUGUAAUCUGGCCUCAUAUUCCAUAUCACCAGUUCUUAUAGUUGAAUCGAGUUGGCUUCAGUCAUUUAAUAAAGAAUAAAAAUUUCAUCCAUCAUCAUUAAGUUCGUUGGAAAUUGGUUUUCUUUUAUUUUUUAUUCUUUUGUGAAUAUGAUUUUUCUUUUCAAUUCAAUAUUUGAGAUUUGACCAUCAAUGUUUUGAUUUAUAAUUUUUUAUCCUUCACUUUUUUUAACAAGUUUUAAUUUUUAUUCAAUUUCAUCUUUAUAUCCAUAAUCUUGAUUAUUUUUAUUUUUUUUAAGAUUUGGUCCUCAUUCUCUUGGUUUUAAUUUUUUAUUUUGGAUUUAUUUGUUUUUUUUUCCAUUCAAUUCAGAAUUUUUGUUUAUCCUUUUAGUUUUUUUUUCUUUUCAAAUGAGGUCUGUACUCUCUCAAAUGCCUUUUCUAAUCCUUUAAAUUUUUUAAUUCAUCAUUCGAUAUUUUAUUUAUAGGGAUUUGAUCUCCUUGGUUUUUUCUAUUUUGUCUAUGCUCUACUCAGAAGUAAAUCUAGAACAAUUAUCGAGGUACAGGUCGAGUGGCCUCCUUAACUUUUUUUAAAAGGUGUCGAGUCUUAGAUUUUUUUGGUUCUUUAAAAUCUAAUAACAACAAUUGGAUAUUGUUUUUUUAUACUACAGAAAAAAUCAGCCAGGCCUACAACUAGGGGUGUUCAAAAAAACCGAAAAACCGAUUAAACCGAGAAAACCGGAAAAAAAAUAACCGAAAAAACCGAACCGAAAAAAAAAACCGAUUAAACCGAUUAAAAUUUUAAAAAACCGACCGGUUCGGUUCGGUUUCGGUUUUUAAGCCUGGAACCGGAAAAACCGAACCGAACCGAAAAAAAACCGGAAAAAAACCGAGCCAAAACCGAGCCAAACCGAAAAACCGAGCCAAAACCGAGCCAAACCAGAAAAACCGAGCCAAAACCGAGCCAAACCGAAAAAACCGAGCCAAACCGGAAAAAACCGAGCCAAAACCGGAAAAACCGAGCCAAACCGGUUUGAACCGGUUUUUUCUCUAAAAAACCGAACCGAACCGAAACCGGUCGGUUUGAACCGGUUUCGGUUCGGUUUCGGUUUUUUUUUUAAAAAAAAAAAAUUUCGGUUUGGUUACUUUUUUUGAUAAAAACCGAACCGAACCGUGAACACCCCUACCUACAACAACGCGAUGGCCCACAGCAAAGCGUGUGCCUUCUGUCUGGUUUGUUACUAAAAAAAAAUCAUUUUAUCCAAUAAAGAUAAAGUAUAAAAAAUCAACAAUGCUGGACACGGUAAUUGUACUGACUUGUAAAAGUUCUACCUUCCAUUAUUUGAAAGGAGAUAUGUAUGGGUGUACUUUUUUUUUUCAUGGUAGGUAAUGCAAUCAAACAAUUUGAAUAUAAAGAUAGGUAGAGUAUUAUAUAUCUGACCUAUAUAUAUAAAUUGGAUCUCCAUUUUUGAAUUUACAUGUAUAUUUAAUUAUUAUUUAUAUUAUUUAAGAAUAAUUUUGUGAGAUAAUUAGUGUAAAGUAUUUUGAUUUUUUUAUGGACAAUAGACUUUUUUUUAAUGAAAAUGUACCAUGCAAAGAAUUGUAUCCAAUAAAGAUAAGUAUGGAAAACUAAAAAUUUGCAUGUUAAUGCUAUGCUUAUACUCAUAUAGCUUAAACGUUUUCAAUAUUAUCUCUCUAGUUUUUAAGAUUACAAAUGUUAUCCUAAUUGUUAAAAAGCUUACUGUUUAAAAUUGGUUUUUGAAUAUUUUUUUUUUGGAAAUGUUUUUAAGUGUUUUUAUGCAAAUAAUAACAUCUAUGGGUAUAUGAGAGGGAGUAAAAGAGAGAUGUAAGGAAAAUUGAAAGUUUUGAUAGUUAUUUAAAAAAAGAAAAAAGAAAAUGGAAACUAUUUAAGAAAACUAUAGGGUAAAUUGGAAGGUUUUAAAGUAUUGAGAUGGAAGUGGAACAUACCUCAUACAUUGACCUGGCUCCAAUACCGCGCACAUAUUUUCGUUCAGCCUUGCGAUAUUCUUCAUACUCCUCCUUUUUGUUUUCGUUGAAGAUUGUGAUGAAACAUCAAUCAAUUUAUUAUCAGAAAUUGGAGUAGUUAUCAGUUAAUAGAAGCAAAUAUCUAAUAUUAAUCAUUUAUUGCAAAUUUUUCUUAGGCACGAAGGCAUCAAUGUUGACUAGACUCAUGAUCCACGUGGAUUAAUAAAAAUCACUUUAUUAAUAAAAUGAAGAAAACGAAAUGAGAACAUUGAAAUGGAAAUAAUCUGAUUUGUUAUUUUAUUCUGACGCCUAAACAAAUGUUGCCGGAAACAUAUAAUUACUAUUAGUUAUGAAUUUCCAAAAUAAUGAAUUAAACAAACAUAUAUAAGUUGAAAUAAUCUGAUUUGUUAUUUUAUUUUGACGCCUAAACAAAUGCAGUAUCUAUCUAUCGAGGUACUUGAGAAGGAUUUUCGGUAUACUUACCUCUUUCAAAUAAGUAGUGAGCUCGCCAAAUCUUUUAUAUUCGUACUGUUCGCUCAAGCCAAGAUGUAGCAUGAGAAGGGAGACAUGAGUGAGUAACUCUCCACCUCUUCUCAGUUGUUGAGUAUGUUCUUUCCAUGGACAAUGAGCUGCUGCAUAUGCUACCAUUUCUAUCCAAACUUCAUUUAUCAUCCACCAUCGCUUCUCGGGUCCCAAUGAAAGCAAAUGCCUGGCGAGCGUUUCCACACCACGUAGCACUGACUUUGAUGUUUUCCAGCGCCUUUGAAACUCUAUAUCAUCACAACCACGUGAUUCACUGUUGCGCAGUUCUAGCAAGGUACGUUGAUAUUCCUUAUCAUCAGGACCCCGAUCUUUUAGACGCCACAAUACUCGCAAGGUACGUUGAUAUUCCUUAUCAUCAGGACCCCGAUCUUUUAGACGACGUCGCCACAAUACUCGCAAGUCUCGCAAGGUUUCUUGAUAUACCUCGUCACAGAAUCCUUUAGAGAGCAUAUUUGGUCUUAUCACCAAAAGAUACAUCAUGUAUUCAGAUAGGCAUCUGCUUGUUUCAUAUUCUGAGGAGACAUUGCUUCCAUCUUCUUUCAUAUCAGCACGAUAACAAAUAUCUGUUGCGAGAUGCCAGACAAGAAUGCUCCGACUGAAUUCUACUUCAGUCGUGCACCACUUGUAGUCCCGUAACAGUCCCUCUCUUUCUAGCACACCAUCUCCCCUCUGACCUAUUAUUUUACUUCUGAGAUUCUUAUCAAAGACAUUCAAAUCUUCCUUCAUCUUCUCAGCUUUCUUUAGAAGAUGUCCGAAAAUAAAACCCUGUAGAUCAACAUUCAAAUCUUUCCGAUUCACAUGCAUCUGCCUCAUCAUUUCAUCGAUUCCCAGAAAUUCCAAGAAUUUAGGUGGCUCUCUUUCAAUGGAAGAGCUUACCAGGUUAUACUGUGAUAUGGAUCUCGACCACCUCUCGCCUCUAGGUAACUUCCUUAUCAGAGAAUAAGUUGCACCAGUCAGGGCGUUCCCUCCUUUAUCAGUCAACAAAAUCAUUGUCCAGUCAGACAAAACAAGGCAUAAAAAAGCAUAAAACUCGAGAAAAACAGCGGCCGCAAACAAUAAAUACGUGAUUGCAAUGUCGGUCGUUGAGUAGUCAUGCUUGUCAAUCUUGACCUGGAAGGUAAUAAACGCAGUAACAGAGAGCAGAGAGCUGAUACAGCGAAGAAUGAUUCCGCCACGGGAGUAAAUCAGAGGCGCUUUAGUAUAAAGCAUAUCAUAUAUCAAUCCAAGCUCAGCCUCUACCACCUUGAAGGCACCGUCUGUUGUAUUUUUUGAAAUCAGCUCCCGGCAUCUUAUUAGUGAAGGAAUGCCAGGGACAAGAUCCUGCAUCAUAGACUUGGAUAUAUACGAAAAAACAUAAGCUUGAAGAAGAUAAUCUCGCUGGUGGUAUUGUGGAGGAGUUUUUGAUAUUCUCGGACGAUCAUAAGAACGCCAAAAAUCUCUGGGAGAAUAGUUUUUCAAACUCUUGGAGCAUGAAGACCAGAGCACCCAAGUCCUCUCUGCGUACUUUGCAAUGCCAACAGCGAACAUUGGGAUCGCUAUGAAUGAGAGGAUACCGCUAUCCCAGGACCUUGAGAAGACAUAAAAAGCCACCCCGACUUGGAAUACAAGACCAAGUAAAUGCCUUAACCACAACUCGUUAUCUUCAAUCGAGUAUGCAGUGAUUGUGUCUGGGCCACCAAGCUGCAGGAGUAGAAAAGGCGCCCAAAAUGCCUGGAUGGAAUUGUUUCCUUUCUCUGAACUGUCACCUGAUGAAUCUCCUUGGCUCCUGGCUAGAGUACCCAGGGCAACAGUUGCCACCACGUCUGCUGAUAGGUAUGCAGACCAAACGAGAAUCCUAAUCCAGAUUCUGGCAUUGGUCUUUCGCCGAGACCCAAAUAUGAUGAGGAUGGUUUGUAGUAAGAGACUAAGCAAAACCAUUCCUCGAAUCUCCCAAUUGUUCCAUAAACUUAAGACUUCUUCAGGCAAUUUUUUAAGCAUUGUCAUCUUUUCCCCAACUGUGGAAACUAGUUCUCUCGCUGAACCCUUGAAAAAACAGUUUUGUAAGAUGAAAAGGUAAAUGUGGAUAUCUUUGAAAAAAUCUCUUAAAAUGAACAGCGAAAAUUAAAGACUCUUAUGAGAAAAGAAGAGGUGCAGAUGGAGGAAGACAAUGAACAAUUCUGAAGCCUUCGGCAUUUCUGAAAAAAGCACAGCCACCACAAUUCUGAAGCUUCGGCACCACGACCAGCGUUAAAACCCACCAAAAAUAGUGGCAAUAAGAGGUGCAGAUGGAGGAAGACAGUGAACAACCACUGCCGUUACCCACAUGCAUCAAAUCACCGUCAUGAAGUCUUUCCUCCCCCAGUGAUCGAUUAAAUGCGAUAUGGUUUCAUCAAAUUUGGAUUUCUUUUGAUUUAUGGGAGGUUCUUGAGAUGGGUUUAUGUGGAUAAGUGGAUUUGAAGGAAUCUGGAGAGGGAGAGAGUACUUUACUAAAAUUUUCUUUUAACUAUGAAUUAUUUUUUAAAGGAACUUUUCUAACAAUAAACAUAAAAAAGUUCGGAUUCUCUAGCCGGAGAAAAACUUUUCAAUAAUUGUUGCCUCGGACUUGACAAAUAGUCAUGCAUUGCUGUUAAACAAAGACUUGUGCAGUAAAAAGGCAUUGACCAUAUAAAUAAUUGGCUUUGCACUGUUCCAUUCGACACUUUACUUGAGGAAAAGAAUAGCGAGAAAGGACAUUGGCAUCAUAUCUCAGUGGAACUUGACAGUGACAUGUUUGUAUUAUCUCUCAGAUAUCUAUCCAUGGCCUCACGAUAUUCUUCCUCCUCCUUUAUUUUUGUUGAAAAUUGCAGGCCCACACGCAAAGCCUUUAUUAAAUGGGCCAAGCGCUGGGACAAUACCUGGUCUUUUCCUUCUUUUUUUUUUUUCUAAAUGUUGUUUUUUUAUACUCACCCCCGGCGUAAGAACAUGCAAAAUCGCUUUCACAAACCAUAGUUACAUGUACACGUAAGAAUUUGGUACCUAUUUAUUAUGCUAAAUAGUAAUAAAGAUAAUCAAGAGACUUUAAAUUUGUUAUCUAGAUUUUAAUAUUAAAUAUUCUAAUAUCAUGUGAAAAAAUUAUUUUAAUUUUAUAAUUUAAUUUUUAAAAUAUAAUUUAUAUUAUCCUUCAAUAAAAAACAAUUACUCUAGAGUAUCUUCUUUGUUUUUUUCUUUUAUCAAGGUUAAUCUGUCCUUGAUCAUCAUUUUGUGCCGACAAACCUCCUAUAAAUGCUCUAUGCACCUGUUGAUGUUGUGUUAAAGCAGCUAAAAGAGAUCUCAGCUGCACAAUCUCAGCUAAAAGAGAUUUAUAUUAUUCUCUUGCUCUUUUGUUUGUUGUAUUAAAAAUUAUACUUUGCAUCCUUAAAAUUCAUUCUAUCAAGAAUUUUAUCAAUUAAUUGACAUAUAUGCAAACUAUUAAUCAUUUCUUUUGUUUAGUCAUUGCAAAUCAUUUCAUUUUCACCAUAAUAUACAGACUAAUUUUGUUAUAUCUGAUUAAUUUUUGUUGGAAGAAGUGUUGUAACCCAUUUUUGGGUCCCCACAAAAUAUAUAUAAAAAUAUAUAGCCAAAGGAGGUUAGAAAAAUAACAGGAGGCAGAAGCGCUCAGAAAAUGGUUGGAAAAUUGGUCAAUGAGGUUAAAAAUAUAAAGAUUGGAUUUUCGACAGUAUAUUCUUGAAGGAGGAGAGCCCUGUUGAGAAGGAAAAUUUGAAAUUUGAGGAGAAAAGCCCAAAUUUAGAUGUUUAUGGACUUAAUUUGAUUUUUAAAUGAAUUUAUAGGGGAUUUGAUUGUAAGAAAAAUUGAUUUUUAAGUCAAUUUGGGCUUUAAUUAGAAGAAAUUUAAGUUUUGGGGCCAAAAUAUAUUUUUUAAGAAUUUAUUAGGUCAAAUCAGGGGCCUAAUUGCAUAAAUAUUGAAGUUUAAGGGCCAAUUAGGGACUUAAUUGAGAAAAUCCGAAAUCAGGGACCAAAUUGAAAGAGGCGCGUAAAUGGAGGGGCUGGAAUUAAUUGAUUCAGGGGCCUAAUUGAAGAAAUUAGAAGUUUUUUGAUCAAUUAAGGGCUCAAUUGCAUAAAUCAGAGGCCAAGGACUAAAGUGAAAAACGCGGCCAACAAGAGGGGCGGAGACCGAAAUUGGCAGGGAUGCAAUUGAAGAAAAAAAAGAUGAUUGAGGGCUGAUUUGAAAUUUAGCGCGUUUUGGCGCCACAUUUAAAUGAAACGGCGCGUUUUCUCCAAAACGACGCCGUUUCAUACAUUCAAAAAAAAAAAAAAAAAGAAAGAGCAGAACGGUGUCGUUUUGAACGACACUGUUCAUCUUCUUCCCCCGAUCACGCAGCGGGGAAGAAGGGAAAAAGGGUUGCUUUUUUUUGAAUUUUUGCCGGCCACUCUCGCCUGGAGCCCACCGACCGGACACAAUGGCCGACCACCCACCGCGCACCACCCACCGAACCUCGGCAGCCGCGCCCAAUGGCCGACCAGCCGGCCGCUCCCCAUGAGAGCUGUAAAAAAACAGUGCCCUUGGCCUCUAUAAAUAGAGCCCAAGAACGCUGAGGAAGAGGAGGAGAAGGAAGGGGAGAAGAGAACAGAGGGGAGGGAAGAAGGAGAAAAAACAAAAAAAAAACAGAGGAGAGAGAGAGGAAGAACCGAAAGAAGAGAGAAACCAAGAGGAGAGAAAAACAUAAAAAAACAAAGGAAAGAAAAAACAGACUGAGAAAAGAGAGGGAAGGGAAGAAAAAGAGAAGACCGAAACAUAGGAAAAAAAGGGAAACGGACGUUCGGAACAGCUGCAGCGCCGCCUGGAGCCGCCGUCCGUGAGCUACGCCACCGCCACCAGCCUCUGCCGCAGCACCGCCAACGACAGCGCCACCACCUCCUCCGCGCCAGGUAACCCUUCUUCCUCCCCUAUUCUGGUGUUUCUUUAUUUCCUUCUCACCUUAGGUAAGGCGUAUUUGGGGUGCUAAUACCUUCCCUUUACGCAACCAGUCCCCGUACCCAAUCUCUGAGACCAGUUAGGGUUCCUAGUGACCAAAAAUACUAGGUUGCGACUCCCACACCAUUUUUCACUACUAAGAGACAACGAAUUCCUUGUCUCCCCACAUUGACCAGAUGUAUCCCCCAUCCCCCAUUACAUUUACUUAUUUUUUUUGGGUGGACGAUCGCCGCGACGUCGCUCACGUGCGACAGAAUGGCGACUCCACUGGGGACCUUGUGGACUAAGCUUUGUUUUUGUCUGAUUUGUUUUUGUUUUCGUGUGUUUAUUGUUAAUAUGCCUUUCCUUUUGUUACCUGCUUAUGCGCUUUAAAUAUUUUUACACAUAUUGUUCAUGCAUUCAUAGAACUGUCUCAUACAUCUUAUAGAACUGUCACAUGCAUCACAUACUUUGAUUAUUGAGAGCACACACAAACUUUAAGUUAAGUGGGGGACUAGCAGCUUACCUUACGACUGUUAGUCAAGGUUUAAGUUUGUGUAAACCCCAACUCUUCGCUGAGUGCUUAGACUGGUAAUAGUUGGUACAUGUGACCAUCUCAUUGCCUACAAGCCCCCAUAUUGCCUCCACGAGGGCAAUCACUGGGACAUCAAGAGACCCUUUUUAGAGACUGAAUAGCCAACCUACCCUCGUCAAACACAAAAGAUUUAGAACCAGGCUAUAGGGUGUAUGCCCCCACAAAAUACAUUUUUGCAUAACACAACCUAAACCAUAAAGUAUUUGGUUUUCAGGUCAUUUUGAAACGAUAAGAUGGCCAUCAUUACCAAAUUUACUACUGUGGAAUAUGGGCAGAAUUCUGAAUUGUCACAACUAUCAGAGGGAGAUUGCUCUAGAUAUGAUGCAAGGAAGCUUCCAGUAGUCAAAGACCUGAAUUGUGUAGUAUAUGAGAUGAAGAGAAUAUUGGGCCAUAGUCAGAAUAUUGAUGAGGCGGCAUUUUUUGGGAAGUAUGGGCGAUUAUUGGAAAUUGCAAAGAUAGGAGUAUUGAAUCCAGCAAUUAAAGCUUUGAUUAACUUUUGGGAUCCCGAUUACAGAUGCUUUUCCUUUGGAAAUGUGGAUUUGUGUCCCACUAUAGAGGAAUAUGGAAUGUUGAUGGAGUUUCCCAAACACCUGCACCAAGUUUAUUUUCCUUUAAGAAAUGACAAGGUGAUUCCUGAGUUGUCAAAAUUAUUGAAGAUUCCACAUCUGAGCAGAUUUUUAGAAAAGAAUGGCAGCGGUUUAAAGUGGAAGUUUUUGGAAGCUGAAUUAGAAAAGAAAAAGGAGCAAUACGUCUCAGUGCUAGAAAGAGACAGGUUAAUCGCUCUGGGGAUCUAUGGUCUCGUGUUAUUUCCAAGCUUAAAAGGGGUUAUAAGUCUAGAAGCUGCUGCUGCAUUCGUGGAAUAUGAAAAUACUCAUGUCAACUCUACAACUGCCAUAUUAGCUGAGACCUUGCUGACCCUCAACCAUUUUAGAAAAACAGGGAAAGGCGCAAUAAGAUGUUGUACUCAGUUAUUAUACAUCUGGAUGGUAAGCCAUGUUGAAACUAAGAAGCCGAUCUUUAAUAAUUUUUGGUGGUUUAACCAAAAACCUUUGAAGAUAGUAGAGGAAGAAGAAUGGGGAAUCCUAGGUGAUCAGGGUUGGAUGAAAAAAACUCCAAGAGUUACCUAGUAGCAACUUUAGUUGGAAGGCCCCUUAGGUUAAAUCAGUUGAUGUCAUAGUAAGUUGUGGACAAAAAUGCUGGGUACCUUUAAUUGGGAUCACAGGUUAUGUCAGCUACGCUCCGGCUCUGGUGAUAAGACAAUUAGGUGGCAUACAACACAUCCCAAGAACUGUGGGACUUGCUGAAUUUUCUGGGUUUUUUAAGGAUCAAUCCGCGCGAGAAGUCCUUGAAACCAUCAAACAAGAUUGGAGCCAAUUGACUCUAAUUCAAAAGGAGUCAGAAAGUUUGAGAGACCCUAGCUCAAGUGAAGGAUAUGAAAAGUGGAGGAAUUUGACCCCGAUUGCCGCUUCGAAAAAGCCAUGUUCUGAAGAUGGGCAUCAAGAGAAUGUUGAGUACAAUCAGGACAAAUUCUUGCAUGUUAAAGCAGAGUUGUUAGACCGAAUUGAGAAGUAUGAUGAGUUAAACAAGAAAUAUAUGAUGAUAGAAGGUCGGCUAGCUGAAUUACAAGAGUUCGAAAGAAAGGGGAAGGAAGAGGAGGUUUUGAAGGCAGAUUUGGCAGCUAAGAAAAUUGAAAUUAGAAUGUUGAAGGUGACGUUUGACAAAGAACGAGAAAAGGUGAAACAGUUGACCAACAGGUUGGAAGUUUCAGAAAAACAUAAAGAACGGAUCGACACCAACAACAAUACCUUGAAUCGGAACAACAUGUUGCUUAUAGAGAAGAUGGCCAAGGUAGAUGGGCAAAUGGAUGAAGCUGCCAUUCACGCACGAAUUAUUAGAGCGAAUGCUCGAAGGGUGGGAAGGGACAUCUUUCGUUAUCGACAAAGCUUGGCUGAAAUAGAUGCCUUCUUAGAGAAAAUUGAGAAUCGAGGCCUCGCUUUCCUACCAGUGGCUAGAGAUAUGGACGAAGAGGAAGAUUGAUGUAUUUCUCUUUUUAUUAUUUUGUACCCUCUUUUCAAGAGAUGUAUUAGCCAAUAUUAAUGAAAAGGGGCUUUGACCCAUCUUUUAUAAAUAUAAGCCUACCAAAGCAGCAGCUUGAGCACAACUACUCCUGAUAAGGAACGUGACAAAAAGAGUCCAUGCCCAUUACACAAGAGGAAUGUUGGCCAUCGAUCGUUUUUUAAAAAAAACAAGUUUCUAAGAGCAUUCAUGCAUUGUUUCCUUUAUCAUACAUUCAUUUACAUUUUUCCAUGCAUCCCAGACCGUGAAACAUAGGUCCCACAUCCAAAGUCCACAACACCCGGUCUCGAGCAAGAAUGGAGAACGAAGAGAGAGCUCACUUAGAGUCACAUUAUCAGACCGAGUUGGAGUCUGUAAAGAAUGAAGUUUCUCGGCUAACCGACUUACUUGAGCAGCUUCUAAAGGCUAAGAAUGAGGAGGGAACAUCAGCACGACAGCUUGAAGGAGCGCCAGCAGUUCACAUUCCUCAAGCAUCUCAAAACCAGGGGGCAAACUCGGCCAAUGAACAACAGUUUGUGCCUAUUACUCCUAUCCUACCACCUCAUACUCCAGUCACUGUUGACUUAACAACGGAGGGAGUCCCGGAUAAUAGGUCUCCUAGUUUGAUAGACCAAGACAAGCUAUUUGCUCUGGAAGAAAGAUUAAGGGCAGUUGAGGGUAAUGACUGGUUUGACCCUAUGCGAGCAGCCGAAGUAUGUUUGGUACCAAACAUCGUGGUACCAAAAGAUUUUCGAAUACCAGAGUUCAUUAAGUAUACCGGUUUGGAAUGCCCAAACACUCACCUUCGAUCCUACUGCAACAAAAUGGCGGAAGUAAUCCGUGAUGAUAAAUUGCUAAUCUAUUUCUUUCAAGAUAGCCUAGCAGGAUCCGCUUUAAGUUGGUACAUGAGGUUAGACAGCAUCAGGAUCAAGAGCUGGAGAGACUUGGUGGAGGCUUUCCUCAAACAGUACAAGUUUAACAUGGAAAUCGCUCCUGAUCGAACAAGUCUAAUGGCAAUGGAGAAAAGGAGCCAGGAGUCAGUAAGGGCUUAUGCGCAAAGAUGGAGGGAUGAGGCAAUGCAUGUCCAACCCCCUUUGAUAGAAACGGAGAUGGUGAGCUUGUUUGCCAAUACCUUCAAAGCACCUUAUUAUGAGCACCUAAUGGGUAGCUCCUCUCAACAUUUCUAUGAUGCGGUGCGCAUAGCUGAAAGAAUAGAACAAGGGAUUAAAGCUGGGCGAAUAGCGAUGCCAGUGGAAAAGAAGGGUUUUAUUGGAAGAAAGAGAGAAGGCGAUGUUAACAAUUUGGAAGACGGGUAUAAGGGCAAGAAAGUAGAUUCCCACAAUCCACAAGUACCUACCUCUCAAUUCUCACGCAUAAACUUUAACCAAACUUUUUCCCCUAAUCGAACAAAUAACCAAUCAAACAACCAAAAUCACUACCAAAGACCCUAUAUAAGAUACCCUUCAGAACAACUACCGCCACUACCCAUGCCUUUGAAGGACAUGUAUGCCAAACUAUUGAGCAUUGGGCACAUAGCUCCUAUCCCUACACUACCAUUACAACCACCAUUCCCAAUUUGGUACAAGCCCGAGUUAACUUGUGAGUACCACGCGGGUAAUCCCGGGCAUGGGAUUGAAACUUGUUACGCUUUCAAGAAAAGAUUGUUGGAGCUUAUUAAGAUAGGAUGGGUAUCCUUUGAAGACAAGCCCAAUGUUAAUUCAAACCCGUUGCCUAAACAUGCCUCAACUAGUAGUGGAAUAGGCAUGAUAGAAGUUGGAAAUCAAUGCAAGGUGUUGAAGGUGUCCAUGAAGAAGUUGUACGACAUGCUGGUACAAUCAGGAUUUCUAAAGACAAAGGUGGAGAGCCAUUUGGAGGGAUAUAAUUACUGUGAAUACCAUGGAAGAGAUGGACAUCAUAUUGAGGAUUGCAUCGAGUUUUGCGAAAAGAUUGCAAAAAUGCUAAAAAUGGGGGAGUUGAGGAUUGAACCCAUGAAGAGCAGCGGUGAGGUGAGUAUGAUGGAAGGUCAAGAUGAAAUGAUAGGAGUAUGUAGGAUCCAACAAACAGCUAAUGGGCCCCCAAGGCUAAUCUUGGUUAAACCGUCCUACACAAAAGGGAAUCAUAAUGCCAUGCCUUAUAAUUAUGGUUAUGCCACGAACAUUCGAGCUCCUCUUCCUUUGUUCCAAUCUGAGAUAAGUGGUUUGACCAGGAGUGGUCGUUGCUUUACGCCCGAGGAGUUGAGGAAGGCAAAGGGCAAAGAAGUGGUAGAUCUGGACAAAGCACUAGAAGUUAAUAAGCCCGUAACGGAAGAGGAGUCGAAUGAAUUCCUGAAGUUGAUCAAGCAUAGUGAAUAUUGCAUAGUAGAUCAACUAAAGAAGACUCCAGCUAGGAUCUCCCUUAUGUCCUUGAUACUCAGCUCUGAGCCGCAUCGAAACGCCUUGCAAAAGGUAUUGAAUGAGGCAUAUGUACCCCAAGACAUUGAACAUAAAACCAUGAAGCAUCUAGUGGGGAGGAUCCAUGCAACUAAUUACUUGUACUUCACAGCGGAUGAGCUCGAUACUAAAGGUACCGGACAUAACAAGCCCUUAUACAUUACGGUUAGGUGCAAGGACUGCCUUAUAGGAAAAGUACUCAUUGAUAACGGCUCGGCCCUUAAUGUGUUGCCAAAGCACAUGCUGGAAGAAAUGCCGAUCGAUGAAUCCCAUAUAAAGCCAAGUACUAUGAUGGCCAGAGCGUAUGAUGGCUCGCCUAGGCCAAUAAUUGGGACUUUAGAAGUGGAGCUAUAUGUGGGACCACAAAUGUUCUUAGUAACACUUCAAGUUAUGGAUAUCCAUCCUUCCUAUAGUAUGUUGUUAGGAAGACCUUGGAUUCAUGCAGCGGGGGCAGUAGCUUCAUCAUUGCACCAAUGCCUGAAGUAUAUCAUGAAUGGGAUGUUGGUAACUGUCAAGGCUGAGGAGACAGUAUCCAUGAUAAAGAAUGUGGCUGUGCCUUUUAUCGAAGCGAAUGAUUGCAAGGAUAACAAUAUCCAUGCCUUUGAGAUUGUGAACACUGACUGGGUGCCGGAGAACACAGUGCUAAGAAGGCCAAGGAUCUCAGAAGCAGCAAGGAUGGCAAGUCUAUGCUUUUUGAACCGCGGGAUCCCAUUUCAGUAUAACUUUAUUAUCAGGAUACCAGAAGGGGUUAAUCUGGCAAGGAUGAAAAGUGCUGCUCAAAAAUUUGGGUUAGGGUACCAACCUAACCAAAAGGAUUAUCGGUGGGCUGCUGGUCGGAGAAGGGCAAGAAGGAUGGCUAGAAUUAAAGGAAGAGAGCCUGAUGAAGAAAAGCUAGAAAUCCCUCCCCUUAGCGUGUCAUUCCCAAAAGCUGCAUACAUAAUGCAACAUGAUAAAGAAGCCGAAAGCCUUGAUCAAGAGCUGUCAAACAUGAGCAUAAAUACCUUGGGGGAAAACAAGGUGGAAGGAGAUGACAUGAAGACAGUAGCAAGAAAGGGAGAUGAAGCGCUCCCACAACUGACGGUCUACACCAUAGAAGAAGUCUCCGCCAAGACCUUUGUGCGCAAGUUGGCUCAGGAUGAGAAGUUUCAGAACUGGGUGACCCAAGAAGCUCCAGUGGUUUUCAAAAUGUAAACUAAUUUUGUUUGUCUUAAACAUGCUUUUGUCAUUGCUUUGGUUGGUUUUUUUAUUUUCGCUAGUCGACAAUCAAGGCUCAAUUGUCGGCUAGAUUUCGUGUUUGUCAUGGAGCCUACCUUUUCUUUAAAUAAAUUGUGAGAUCAUGCACUUUUCACAAAUUGCCAUCUUUUUAUGCAUUUACACUAAACACUUCCCGCUUUCAGGAAUCCUGAAAGCGGAUCUCCUACAACAUCACAUACAUGGCCAAACUUGAACGAACAUGUGAUAACUAUGGAAGAAGAAGAGUGGGAUGAAAGCAAUAUCAGUAAAUUCACCAGGCUAGUAGUACAAUAGGAACAGACUUGGAAACCUGCCGCAGAGGAACUCGAAACCAUCAAUGUAGGCAGUGAUCAGUUCAAGAAGGAGUUGAAAAUAGGUACCCUAAUUACUUCGGAACUAAGGACAAAAAUGAUCGCCCUGUUACAAGAAUAUGCAGAUGUCUUUGCUUGGUCUUAUGAAGAUAUGCCCGGUUUGGACAUAAAUAUCGUAGUACACAAGAUACCGUUGGAAGAAGGUUGUAAGCCAGUCAAACAGAAGCUAAGGAGGGCCCACCCGGAUGUCUGGAUCAAGGUCAAGGCAGAACUCGAGAAGCAAUGGGAUGCUGGUUUUCUAGAAGUAGUUAGAUAUCCACAAUGGGUAUCUAACAUUGUUGUGGUGCCUAAGAAGGAGGGGAAGAUUAGAGUUUGUGUGGAUUUUCGGAAUUUGAAUAGAGCUAGCCCUAAGGAUGAUUUUCCCCUACCACACAUAGAUGUUUUAGUGGAUAAUGCUGCCCGGAGUUCAACUUAUUCCUUUAUGGAUGGUUUUUCAGGAUACAACCAGAUAAAAAUGGCUCCGGAGGAUAAGACGAAAACAACUUUUGUCACACCUUGGGGGACGUUCUGCUACAAGGUCAUGCCAUUUGGAUUGAAGAAUGUCGGAGCAACCUAUCAAAGAGCAAUGGUGACUUUGUUUCACGACAUGAUGCACAAGGAAAUUGAGGUGUAUGUAGACGACAUGAUUGCUAAGUCUAAAAGGGGAGAGGAUCAUGUUGAAGUUUUGAGAAAGUUGUUUGAGAGAUUGAGGAAGUAUGAAUUAAGGCUCAAUCCUGCAAAAUGUUCAUUUGGAGUUAAAUCGGGUAAGCUGUUAGGAUUUGUGGUAAGUGAUAGAGGUAUAGAGGUGGAUCCAGAUAAAGUAAGGGCCAUCCAAGCUAUGUCAUCCCCUAAGACGGAGAAAGAAGUAAGAGGAUUCUUGGGAAGGAUAAACUACAUUGCUCGGUUCAUAGCUCAGUUAACAACGACGUGUGAACCUAUAUUCCGACUACUAAGGAAAAAGAAUCCUGGAACCUGGAAUGAGGAGUGUGAGGAGGCAUUCAAUAAAAUCAAGCAUUAUUUACAAAAUCCACCUUUACUGGUUCCUCCGGUAUUAGAAAAACCUCUAGUAUUGUAUCUAACAGUGACUGAAGCAGCCAUGGGAUGUGUAUUGGGUCAGCAUGAUGAAACCGGAAGGAAAGAAAGAGCUAUUUAUUACUUAAGUAAGAAAUUCACUGAAUGUGAGUCUAGAUACACGGAGAUAGAAAGGCUUUGUUGUGCGUUGGUGUGGGCGGCAAAAAGGUUGCGACAUUAUAUGUUAUACUAUACCACUUGGUUGAUUUCAAAGGUGGAUCCUCUGAGGUAUAUUUGUAACAAGCCCUUUCUCUCAAGUCGAAUUGCAAGGUGGCAAGUUCUAUUAGCAGAAUAUGACAUAGUAUACAUGACAAGGAAAGCUGUAAAAGGAAGUGCAAUCGCGGACCAUCUGGCCGAUAAUGCUGUUGAAGAUUACGAACCUUUGGAUUUUGACUUCCCCGAUGAAGAUAUAUUGUUAAUAGAGGAAGAAGAGAAGACAGAUUGGUGGAUGAUGUUUUUUGACGGUGCAGUGAAUGUAUAUGGUAACGGGGCUGGUGCGGUAAUAAUCUCUCCUGAUAAGAAACAGUAUCCAGUUUCGGUUAAACUACAUUUCGAGUGCACCAACAACACAGCUGAGUAUGAAGCUUGUAUCCUCGGGUUAGAAGCGGCAUUAGAGUUGAAGAUAAAGAAGUUAGAUGUAUAUGGAGAUUCAAUGUUGAUUAUCUGUCAGGUUAAAGGGGAAUGGCAGACUAAGGAGGAAAAGUUGAGGCCGUACCAAGAAUACCUAUCCACGCUAGCAAAGGAAUUUGAAGAAAUUAGAUUCACCCAUCUGGGAAGGGAGGGGAAUCAUUUUGCGGAUGCUUUGGCCAUACUAGCUGCUAUGACUACCAUUGAUCUCAAGUGCAAAGUACAACCGGUACACAUUGACAUUAGAAAUGACCCAGCUCAUUGUUGCUUAGUUGAAGGAGAGAUAGACGGACAGCCUUGGUAUUAUGAUAUCAAGAACCUUGUGCAAAAUCUGGAAUAUCCGAUGGGAGCUUCCAAAACGGAUAAGAAAACCUUGAGAAGGUUGGCUAUAGACUUCUAUUUAGAUGGAGAGAUUUUGUACAAAAGAUCAUUUGAUGGAACCCUGCUAAGGUGUUUGAAUAAGGCUGAUGCUAGAAAGGCGUUACGGGAGGUCCAUAAGGGGAUUUGCUCAACCCAUGCUAACGGACAUAUGAUAGCAAGGAAAAUCCAAAGGGCUGGUUAUUUUUGGAUGACACUAGAGAAAGACUGUAUCGACUAUGUCAGGAAAUGUCAUAAAUGUCAAGUUUACAGUGACAAGGUCAAUAUGCCACCAGCUCCUCUAUUUAAUCUGAUAUCUCCUUGGCCAUUUGCAAUGUGGGGAAUCGACGUGAUCGGACCUGUUAACCCAAAAGCUAGCAACGGUCAUAGAUUCAUCCUCGUAGCUAUUGACUACUUCACAAAAUGGGUGGAAGCUAAUUCAUAUGCCCACGUAACACAGAACGUAGUAAAGAGGUUUAUAGAAAAGGAUCUGAUUUGUCGAUAUGGUCCUCCGGAAAAGAUAGUGACCGAUAAUGCACAGAAUUUCAAUGGUAAAAUGAUAGUGGAGUUGUGUACCAAGUGGAAGAUUAAGCAUUCGAACUCCUCGCCAUACCGGCCGAAAAUGAAUGGCGCAGUAGAAGCCGCCAACAAGAACAUCAAAAAGAUUAUUCAAAAAAUGGUAGUCACGUAUAAAGAUUGGCAUGAGAUGUUGCCAUUUGCUCUUCACGCAUACCGCACUACAGUCAGGACCUCGACAGGAACUACCCCAUAUUCUCUGGUGUACGGUAUGGAAGCAGUAAUGCCUUUGGAAGUAGAAAUCCCGUCGUUAAGAGUAUUGAUGGACUCCGAAUUAGAAGAGGCCGAGUGGGCCAAAGUGAGAUAUGAGCAACUGAACCUGAUCAGUGAAAAGAGGAUGGCCGCAAUAUGUCAUCACCAACUUUACCAGAAACGAAUGGCCAAGGCAUAUGAUAAGAAGGUUAGACCGCGGUUGUUUCGAGAAGGGGAUCUAGUAUUGAAGAAAAUAUUGUCACUACCUGGAGACGAUCAAAGCAAAUGGGCACCGAAUUAUGAAGGUCCUUACGUAGUAAAGAAGGCAUUCUCAGGAGGAGCGCUGAAGUUGGCUAGAAUGGAUGGAGAAGACCUAGCUCGACUUGUGAAUUCUGACUCUGUAAAAAGAUAUUAUGCUUGAUGAAGGCUCCUAAAUCAAUAAAGCAAAGUUUGGCCAUUGACUUCUUUCUCUUUUGCAUUGAUCUCACAACAAUCAUUUUUGCAUUAAUCCCAACAGUGCAUGUCUUGUUGUUAUCGCACCUAAAAAGUUUAGCAUCGGUUGAACGAAUUUCUUAUCUAUACAAAAGCCUAGACUAAAAUCACACCCCUACACUGGGGGCAAUAAGAGAUGUUUUCAUGUACGGAAGCCUAUAGAUUUGAAAACCAAGCUAAAACAUUUGACAAAAGCAUGACAAAGAGGCAAUGACAAGUCAUACAUUUUGGGAAAAGGACUACUCGAAGAAAGUCAGAGACAACACGAGAGAUGAAUCCAGCAUACGACUUCAAAAGCAAGCUCAAGCAAGAGGGAGUCUCACGAACUAGAAGAAGAGGAUGGGGGCCUAUGUUUCAAAACCAGGUACGAAUGCAUGCAUGGCAUCUAAUCAUAAAUCAUUGCAUAUAUGCUUUCUCAAUCAUUACAGGAGGAGUUCUUAAUGCAUUCCAGCAAGAUUGGAGAUGAAGAAAGAAUCAUGGUGAGUAAUAGCAAAGAAUUACGGUUUCGAACCGUAGUGGAUUCUGGAACAACAAGAAGAACAAGAAAAAGAGAGAAAAUGAAAAGUUUUGAACCCUGCCAUCAGGAAGAACGACAUCGUAUUUCGUUUGAAUAAAAGGAAUCGCCAGAUGGGAUUCUAAGUUGAAGGAGAUCGCCAGAAGGGAUCUCGUGUUUCGCUAUUUGGAGGUCGCCAGAUGGGACCUCGUUCUUUUUCAUAUUGGUUAAUAAAAGGAAUCGCCAGAUGGGAUUCCAAGUUAAAGGAGAUCGCCAGAAGGGAUCUCGCGUUUCACUAUUUGGAGGUCGCCAGAUGGGACCUCGUUUUUCAUUGAAUAAAAGGAAUCGCCAGAUGGGAUUCCAAGUUGACUAAAGGAGAUCGCCAGAAGGGAUCUCGUGUUUCACUAUUUGGAGGUUGCCAGAUGGGACCUCGUAUUACCUGUUGAAAAAAGGAAUCGCCAGAUGGGAUUCCAAGUUGACUAAAGGAGAUCGCCAGAAGGGAUCUCGUGUUUCGUUAUUUGGAGGUCGCCAGAUGGGACCUCAUUUUUCAUUGAAUAAAAGGAAUCGCCAGAUGGGAUUCCAAGUUGACUAAAGGAGAUCGCCAAAAGGGAUCUCGUGUUUCACUAUUUGGAGGUCGCCAGAUGGGACCUCGUUUUUCAUUGAAUAAAAGGAAUCGCCAGAUGGGAUUCCAAGUUGACUAAAGGAGAUCGCCAGAAGGGAUCUCGUGUUUCACUAUUUGGAGGUCGCCAGAUGGGACCUCGUUUUUCAUUGAACAAAAGGAAUCGCCAGAUGGGAUUCCAAGUUGACUAAAGGAGAUCGCCAGAAGGGAUCUCAUAUUUCGCUAUUUGGAGGUCGCCAGAUGGGACCUCAUAUUUCGUUUGAAUAAAAGGGAAUUGCCAGACGGGAUUCCAGGUUGAGUAAGCAACAAUUAUAGAUUUUGGUUUAGAGAGAUCGCCAGACGGGAUCUCAAGAUGAUAAAUUUUGAUCAUAGUUUUUGGGUAAAGGAGGAUUGCUAUAAAAGACAAGUUUCAGGUCAAUCAAGCUUCAACCAGAUCAGUUUCGGGAGCUCCGUUUUGGGUUUGUCUUUAUAAAACUUACUGCGCAAAACCUCUGCUCCGUAAGCAUUAUAAAGAGGGGGCAUCUGUUGUAACCCAUUUUUGGGUCCCCACAAAAUAUAUAUAAAAAUAUAUAGCCAAAGGAGGUUAGAAAAAUAACAGGAGGCAGAAGCGCUCAGAAAAUGGUUGGAAAAUUGGUCAAUGAGGUUAAAAAUACAAAGAUUGGAUUUUUGACAGUAUAUUCUUGAAGGAGGAGAGCCCUGUUGAGAAGGAAAAUUUGAAAUUUGAGGAGAAAAGCCCAAAUUUAGAUGUUUAUGGACUUAAUUUGAUUUUUAAAUGAAUUUAUAGGGGAUUUGAUUGUAAGAAAAAUUGAUUUUUAAGUCAAUUUGGGCUUUAAUUAGAAGAAAUUUAAGUUCUGGGGCCAAAAUAUAUUUUUUAAGAAUUUAUUAGGUCAAAUCAGGUGCAUAAAUAUUGAAGUUUAAGGGCCAAUUAGGGACUUAAUUGAGAAAAUCCGAAACCAGGGACCAAAUUGAAAGAGGCGCGUAAAUGGAGGGGCUGGAAUUAAUUGAUUCAGGGGCCUAAUUGAAGAAAUUAGAAGUUUUUUGAUCAAUUAAGGGCUCAAUUGCAUAAAUCAGAGGCCAAGGACUAAAGUGAAAAACGCGGCCAACAAGAGGGGCGGAGACCGAAAUUGGCAGGGAUGCAAUUGAAGAAAAAAAAGAUGAUUGAGGGCUGAUUUGAAAUUUAGCGCGUUUUGGCGCCACAUUUAAAUGAAACGGCGCGUUUUCUCCAAAACGACGCUUUUCAAACAUUAAAAAAAAAAAAAAGAGCAGAACGGUGUCGUUUUGAACGACACUGUUCAUCUUCUUCCCCCGAUCACGCAGCGGGGAAGAAGGGAAAAAGGGUUGCUUUUUUUUGAAUUUUUGCCGGCCACUCUCGCCUGGAGCCAACCGACCGGACACAAUGGCCGACCACCCACCGCGCACCACCCACCGAACCUCGGCAGCCGCGCCCAAUGGCCGACCAGCCGGCCGCUUCCCAUGAGAGCUGUAAAAAAACAGCGCCCUUGGCCUCUAUAAAUAGAGCCCAAGAACGCUGAGGAAGAGGAGGAGAAGGAAGGGGAGAAGAGAACAAAGGGGAGGGAAGAAGGAGAAAAAACAAAAAAAAAAUAGAGGAGAGAGAGAGGAAGAACCGAAAGAAGAGAGAAACCAAGAGGAGAGAAAAACAUAAAAAAAACAGAGGAAAGAAAAAACAGACUGAGAAAAGAGAGGGAAGGGAAGAAAAAGAGAAGACCGAAACAUAGGAAGAAAAGGGAAACGGACGUUCGGAACAGCUGUAGCGCCGCCUGGAGCCGCCGUCCGUGAGCUACGCCACCGCCACCAGCCUCUGCCGCAGCACCGCCACCAGCCUCUGCCGCAGCACCGCCAACGACAGCGCCACCACCUCCUCCGCGCCAGGUAACCCUUCUUCCUCCCCUAUUCUGGUGUUUCUUUAUUUCCUUCUCUGCAUGCAGAACGAAUAGCGUUCUGCAUGCAGGGGCGGCCCGCCCGUUUUGUUGCUGGGCCAGGCGGGUCCUGGCCCAGCCUAGUCUUCUGGGCCGGGUCUGGCCCAAAAGAGAAUAUGUUUUGGGCCGAGAUCGGCCCAAUACAUUUUUGGGCCGACCUCGGCCCAUUCAUUGUUUUGGGCUGAGUCCGGCCCAGUGGUUUGGGCCGGCCCAGCCCGAUUUAAUAUUAUAUUAUAUAUAUAUAUAUAUUAUAUUUUGUAUUAUUUAUAUAUAUAUAUAUAUAUACAUGAAAAAAUUAUAAAAAUUAUGCAAAAAUUAUAGAAAAAUAUAUGUGAUUUUGUUGUAAUUUUAUUACUGUAUUUUGAUUAAUAUUGGUUGGUAUUUUAUAUUGUAAAGAUAUAAAAUCCGGUAUUAAAAUACCCGGUUUUCAUCAAAACAUCAAAGAUUUUCAAAACAAAAAAUGUCUUUUGCUUUCAAAAAUUUUCUAAAAAUAUCUUUGAAAAUAUCGUUGAUUCUUCGGCAUUUAUUUUAUAAAAGUGGAUUAAUAUUUGGUUGUAUAUUUUUUACAAACCCAGUAUUAAAAUACCCGAUUUGCGCCAAAGCGUACAAAAAUACAUAUUUAAAAAAUGUUUUGUUUUAAAAUACGGCCUAGUCUCUCCAACAUAUAUAUAUAAAUAUUAUAACAUCAUAUUUUCACACAACAAAGGAAAUUUCAAAAAAAACAAUAUAUGUAUUAACAUGCAUUUUGGCUUUAAUAACCAGUUUAUUCAAGCCAUGAGAACUAGGCCAAUAUUUCAAAAAUUCUAAAAAAAUCUUUUUGUCUUUGGGAUUACUAAUUUAUACAUAAAACGUUUUCCUGAUAUUAAAAAUAUGUUUUUUACAUAGACAUUAGAACAGUUAGGUUUUACCCGAUAAGAUAAGGACCUCCUUAUUGAGGAGGACUUUUCUUGAACCGUAGAUGGACCAACAACUAGGAAACACACGAAACCUUGAAUUUUAUCAGACAAAUAAACAAUGCAGCUUACCUUAGGUAAGGCGUAUUUGGGGUGCUAAUACCUUCCCUUUACGCAACCAGUCCCCGUACCCAAUCUCUGAGACUAGUUAGGGUUCCUAGUGACCAAAAAUACUAGGUGGCGACUCCCACACCAUUUUUCACUACUAAGAGACAACGAAUUCCUUGUCUCCCCACAUUGACCAGAUGUAUCCCCCAUCCCCCAUUACAUUUACUUAUUUUUUUUUGGUGGACAAUCGCCGCGACGUCGCUCACGUGCGACAAGAAGCACGAAAAUUAGAGCGUAGCAGUUUUAUAAAUAAAAAAUGCAUGCAUGGUGUAAAGUUUUUAAAAACACACAAUUAAAAAUGUAUCGAGAAAUAUAAAAAAAUGCGAUGGAUUUAUAAAUUUAAUCAUCAGAUUACAAAAUAAAUUAAUGAAAAUAAAAGGAUUAGAAACACUCAUUAAUAACACUACAAUGUUCAAUCAAUAUGACUUUGAGCGUGGUAAUUCUUCUACUAUGAAAAUAAAAGGAACAAGUCUCAAAUUAGACUCCUAAUUAUACGGUGGGUUUCAAUUGAAUGCUCUAAGAAAUUAUUUUUCAAUUCGAUCCCUGGUUUUAAGAAGUUUUAAAUUUUAUCCUUUCAACUACAAAAUUAGGAAAAUAUUUUAAUGAAAAACAUCAUGUUUCCUUCACAUUAACGAUAUCGUUUUCAUUGCAUAGAAUGUGCGUUCUUGAUGAAAUCUAUUAGAAAAUGUGGAUGGAAGAACUCAAUCGUGAAGUUUUGAACCUUUAGAGAUCCAAUUUUUUAAAGAUAAAUUUAAUUAAGAUAUGGCUCAUAAUUUUGAUAUUUUUUUAGCCUUGACCCUUGAUUUGGCUUCCACAAUUCCAAAAUAAUAAUAAUAAUAAUAAUAAUAAUAAUAACAACAAUAAUAAUAAUAAUUAAUAAUGAUGUGGAUAAUUGAAAUAAACAGUGUUUAAAAGAGAGUUUUGCUAGCAUUGUUCAUGUCUUCAUAACAUCCUAAUUUUAAGAGAUUGAAUGGGUGAUUAAGAAGGUUUUAUUAUUAUUUUAGAGCAUAUAUGACCAACUUUGCAAAUCAUUAUUACAUAAUUAAGAUAUGGUAGUUGGAUAGGAUACGAAGCAAAUAAGAGCAAGUUGUAAGAAUGAAGAGACUUUAAAUUAGUUGCCUUUUGAUUUCCUGAAGGACAGAGAUUGCCUUCUUUUUUGGGAAACUUUGGGGUGCACUGGCUUGGGUAUCAAGCAAAGAAGAGAUACUAAAUAGUAAAAAAAAAUGCAGUUUACAAGAUUAAAUUGGCUAUCCUUUCUCUUGAUGGCAGAGUUUUCUUUCUUUUUCUGGACACUUGAAAGAAGGAACACUGAAUAUCAUUGAGGCAAGUAGUAUCUUCUAGCUGAAUUUCUUGUAGUAAGAUGCUUGAACAUUGAACUCCCUUGAAAAUCAUGUAAAAUUAUUGUUGAUUUAAUAACUUAAAAUAUUUAGUUAAUAUGGUUCUUCUAUAUUCUUAACAAUAAUAUCGAAUUUGUUUUUAAUAAUUCAGUAAGCACACUAUCAAAGCUUCUCUUGAAAGACUAAAAAAAUUCACAUUCAAGCUGUGAUCCAAUAUUACAGUCAUUUCCUAACUUUUGAUCAAUUCUAUGAUAAAUGCAUACAACUUCUGGUAAAAUUAAUUUAUUAAACCAUAACAUUUCUUUCUCUCUCUAUUUUUUUUUGACAUGAUUUCUUUGGGUAAUUUAGUUUGAUAUCUUCAAAGGAAUUUUGUGAGGUUUGGUUUUCUUUGGAGGAUUUAAAAAAAAACAGAUAUUUCUUGGACGUUAAGGGAUUUCGGGUUUGAGUGUGAGAUAUUUUAUUAGGAGGUUACUUUCCUUGAGAGGAUUUAUUGAAUAUUACACAAUUAUUAUUUUGGGUUAAAUGGUAUCAAGAAUUGGAAUCUAGUUUAAAAGAAUUUGCCAAUCGGUAUCAAAACACUCAUUGGUCUGGUGGCUGACGAGUCCCCUCUCGUUCUAUCGAUAAACCAAAAAGGAUGUGAUCUUCUGUUUCAAUUGCUGAACAUGACAGUUCAAAAGACAAAUGAUGCUCAUAAGAACUGUCGCGGGGGGCACGACGUCAUCUGGCGAUGGCGGAGGCUCUUGUCGUGCCUCCUGAUGAGGGAUGUUGUGUGUUGGAAAAUUAUGAUUAAUUUUUUAGAGUCGCCACCUAGUAUUAUGGUUACUAGGAACCUAUGGUCUGCGAGAGUCUGAGUAAGGGACUGGUUGUGCAAGGGAAAGACCCAUCACCCCCAGUGCACCCUACCUAAGAUAAGCUGCAUUGUUGAUUGAUUGUUUUUAGAUUGAAUUUCUAUUUAUUGGUCUUAUCUAAGGCUCAAGGCAGAUCUCUCUUCAUGAGAGAGUCUCUACCUUAUCGGGUUAAAUCCUAACUGUUCUAAAGUCUGAAUACUAACAUCGUAUUUAUUUACAUAUUGUAUCUUUAAUACAUGAGGGUGUAUUUUAUCGUAUAAUUUUACACCCCACAAAUAUUAAAGUCUACAUCUAGAUUCUAAAAAAAGAUUGGAAAAAGAUUUUUGAUAUGUUGGUCAAAUCCUAAUGUAUAAUCAUAAACUGGUUAUGAUAUCUAUUUUUUUUUAACAUGAAAAAGAUGCAAUUUUAUUUUUAUUUUUUAAUGAAAAAUAUGCUUAAAAGUUUUUUAGGAUUUGGCUGUAUGCAUGAAAAUAAUUUUUUUUUUAAAGUAGAAAUUGAUUUAAAAGAUUUUUUUUUGAAAUUUUUUUAAUUUUAAUUUUUUUGAAAUAUUUUGAAGAAAACCGGGUAUUUUAAUACCGGAUUUGUAUUUUACAGUGUAAAUAUACAAACUGAUAUUAUGCAAAAUUAGUAAAAAAAUAUUUAAGAAAAUCACAAAUUUUUUUAAAGGAUUUUUGAAUUUUCUUAGAAUUUUUUUUAAAAAAAUAUAUAAUAUAAUAUUAUAUAUAUUAAAUAAAUAUUAUUUAAACAUGUGGGCUAGGUCGGCCCAGUCAGCUGGGCCGAGCUUAGCCUCAGAAGAGAUGGGCCAAUAUCGACCCAAAAUGGUUGGCCCAGCUGACGCGUCAUCUGUUCCUUUCUUCUUUUCUUUUUUUGUAAAACGGUGCUGUUUUGGAUUAAAAUAGGGAUUUUUACUAAAUUUUAAUUGAGUCCUCUUUCUUUUAAUUACUUUCAAUUGAACUCCUAAUUGACCCUGAACUUUUGAUUUAAUGCAAUGAAACCCCUUCUGAACUUCAAUUGGAACCCUGAAGUUACGCGCCUUUUACAAUAUGGUCCUUGGUCUUGGAAUUUAUCAAUUUAACCUCUAAUUGACCAUUAAACUUUCAAUUUCUUCAAUUUAGCUCCCUGGUUUUUCUCAAUUAAGCCCCUAAAGUGUGGCGCCUCUUGCAGAUUGGUCCCUGGAUGCAAAUUUUAUCAAUUUAACCCCUAAUUGACCCCAAAACUUAAAUUUUCUUGCAAUUUUGACCCUGAUUCCAAUCAAUUAACUUGGUAAAAAUUAAAUUUGGUCUCUUAAAAUUUCAAUCUUCUCAAUUAAGCCCAAAUUAAGCUCCCAAACUUAAUUUUUCACCAAUUAAGCCCCAAAUAAAAUUAAUUUGACCCAUUUAAAGUAUAAUUAAGUCCUUGCACUUAAUUAAAUCCUUCAAUUGGACCCAAAUUAAUUCUUAAACAUAAUUAAAAUUUAAUUUGGCCCAUGAUUAAAUCAAAUUGGCCUAUUAAAAAUUUAAUUAUAUCCUUGGACUUAAUUUUCCACUAAUUAAGCCCCAAAUAAAAUUAAUUUGACCCAUUUAAAGUAUAAUUAAGUCCUUGCACAUAAUUAAAUCCUUUAAUUGAACCAAAAUUAAUUCUCAAACAUAAUUAAAAUUCAAUUUGGCCUAUGAUUAAAUCAAAUUAGCCUAUUAAAAAUUUAAUUAUGUUCUUGGACUUAAUGUUUAUACAAAUUCGUCCAAUAAUCAUUUAAUUGGAACUUGAAUUUGCAUUGUUUCCUCUAUUUUUUGGGCAUAAAGGGGUACAAUUAGGCCUUGAAUUUUCCUCAAAAAUUACAGCUUGACUUCCCGGUCUACUUUCUCCACGUUGCCAGCCUUUAUUUUAUUUUUUUGAUUUUUAUUUUGAAAAACAAAUUGAUUUUUGGGGAAUAACCCAGAAUUGAGUUAUGACAGUUGCCCCCCUCUUUACAAUGCUUACGAUAGAAAGUAUCAUAAGAAACUUUAGAUAGUAAGCGUUGUAAAGAAGAAAAAGAAGAAUGAGAGAUGCUGGAAUGACGAAUCUUUUUAAGGGCUAGCAAGCGCACUCAGAGUGAAAACUAGAAUAUUUAUCUUCCGAAAAUUCAAAUAUUUUGAAGUGGUCGAAUUGUCAUGGGUGACCUACCCAGGGAAAAUUGAAAAAAAGUUUUUGAGGUGGUCUCAUUGUAAUGGGUGACCUACCCAGGUGAAAAAUACAAAGAUUUUUCAAAGAUGUUUCAAGGUGUUGAAAAAUAUGAAGAUUUUUCAAAGUGGUCUUAUUGUAUUGGGCGAUCUGCCUAGGUGAAAAAUGCAGAGAUUUUUUAAAGUGUUGAAAGAAAUAUGAAGAUUUUUCAAAAUACAGAGAUUUUUCAAAGUGGUAUUGUUGUAAUGGGCGACCUGCCUAGGCAAAAAAUGCAAAGAUUUUUCAAAGUGUUGAAAAAUACAAAGAUUUUUCGAAGUGGUCUUGUUGUAAUAGGCGACCUGCCCAGGUGAAAAAUACAGAGAUUUUUCAAAAUGGUGAAAAAUACUAAGAUUUUUCAAAGUGGAGAAAAAUACAGAGAUUUUUCAAAGUGGUCUUGUUGUAAUGGGCGACCUGCCCAGAUGCAAAGAUUUUUCAAAAUGUUCUUGUUGUAAUGGGUGACCUGUCCAGAUGAAAAAUGCAAAGAUUUUUCAAAGUGGUCUUGUUGUGUUGGGUGACCUACCCAGGUGAAAAAUACAAAGAUUUUUCAGAGAGGUGAAAAAUAUGAUGAUUUCUCAAAAUGGUUUCAUUAUAAUGGGCAACCAACCCAGAUGGAAGAUUUUAAAGGUGGUGAGAAAUAUAAGGAUUUCUCAAAAGAUGGUUUCAUUGUAAUUGGGAACCGACCCAAAUGGAAGAUUUUGAAGGUGGUGAGAAAUGCAAGGAUUUCUCAAAAGAUGGUUUUAUUGUAAUGGGCAACCGACCCAAAUGGAGAUUUUUCAAGGUGUUGAGAAAUGCAAGGAUUUCUCAAAAGAUGGUUUCAUUGUAAUGGGCACCCGACCUAAAUAGAAGAUGAAAAGAGUUUUCAAAGAGGUAUGAUUGUGAUGGGUGACCUGCCCAAGUAAAAUGUCUUGAAGAGACGACAUGAUAGGGCUUAAAGGCACACUAUUCUAGAGACGGGAGCUCAAAGGAGCAUUCAAAAAGAGAUAGGACUCGAAGGGGAACGGGGACUGAAAAGCGUACUCGAAAAAAGGUAGGGUUAGAAAACGCACUACCUUCAAAGGCGCACUUGAAAGGAGGCAAGGUUAGAAAAAGCACUACCUAUGAGGUGAGGGCUCAAAGGCGCACUCAAAAAGAGGUAGGGUUGGAAAACGCGCUACCUAAAGUGGUUGAUGGCUCUAAGGCUCACUCGAAAAGAGGUAAGGUUGGAAAACGCACUACCUAACGUGGUUGAGGGCUCUAACACGCACUUAAAAGUUGGUAUGGUUAGAAACACAAUACCUGAGAGAUAAUGGCUUAAAGACACAUUAAAAAAGAAGAUAGGGCUAGAAAGCACACUAUCUGAAUCAUGAGGGCUCAACAGCCCGCUCAAAAAGAGGUGUCAAGGAUGAAAGUAAUGCAUCAUGAUCAAUAUGCAUGUAUACUUACCUGAGAAAUAUAGGUCCCAUUUUAUUCAUAGAAUUUUCAUCUUCUCAAAAGUUUGAGUCUUUAAUAGUAAGCUUUGAUGGCUCUUUCCACUCUUGUUUACUCAAGUCAUAUCUUAUGAUCUUAACCUCUAGGAGGGAUCGACAUACUUGUUUUUCCACAAACCUUUAUUUGAAGGAUUGCCGGCUAUGCACUAUAUCUCAUGUUUUCUUAUAAGAAGAAGCAUGAAGCCAACCCUUUGUGUUUUGGUGGAUUGCCCCCCAGUUUGAUCAUGCCUCCAAGUGUUCAAUUUGGAUUUUUCUUAGGGAUGAGGCUAUGUGGAAGAAGAUUUGGUUAUUUACAAGGAGUUGUUUUCAUGAAGAAUUUUAGAAUUUCAAAGCUGUUCUGAAAAUAUCAUUUUGAUGUUUGUUCAAAACAAACUUAUGCUGAAAAAUUCAAGCAUUUCUUACGGACAGGUUUGCAUGAGUGUUGAAAACAUUUUGUUUUCCUUUUGGUGAAGUGAAGUGUUGUUUGAUUGGUCAAAAGGGUUCAAACUUCAAUUUGUGGGUUUUAAAAAACUAGUUUUCAAAGCAUUUAUUUUGCUUGCAUGAAUAAUGACUUGUUUCACAUAGAAAAACAAGGUCCACCGAUCCAAAUUGCCUACAUUUGAUCAGAAAGGGCUUGAUUGGGCACGUAACGUAGGGUUUAGCUCUUGGCUAAGAAGAAAAAGGAUAUUUGUAGGCUUAAAAGGUGUUUAAUGGACUUCAAGACUAAGGAUCACUAGUGCUUAUAUCCCCGAACUUCUUUUUCUCCUUUUUUUUUGUGUAGGGGUCCAUGAAUUGAUUUGCAAAAUGGUCCAUGGUGCCCCCCAAUGUUAGGCUUUUCUUCUUUUGGUUUUAAGCAUUCUUAUAUUAAUGAUUUUUAUGGCAUGCUCAAAUCUUUUGGAACUCUUUCAUAUCCCCCGGCUUUUGAGGAUUUUCUUUCAUGCCCUCCAGUGUUGUUUGGGCACUUUUUAUCAUUAAGGAUUUUUUGCAUUUUCCCCUCCAGUGUAGGGUGUGAUCCUAGCCAAGGUUAUUUUUUCAUAAAAAAUAAAAAAAAAUACACUAGGCUCGAAAGGGGAUUACAAGGGAUUUUUUAGAUUUUAUGAAAGGAUGAUCAAAUAUGACCUUUCUUCAUUUCAAACGCAUGCAGUUGGAAUCGACAAGCUUUGCUUUCUCAUAUGUAAAUAUGCAAAAAUGGUUUUUCAUUAUUCAUGCAGUCAAAACUCAGCUUUGAAGUUAUUUCAUGGUGUUUGGGUUGUCUUUCAAGUUUUUUAAGUGUUAGGAUAUCACUUGAAUUUUCAGAACUUGUUUAUUAGAACAAACACCAAUUUGAUUUUUUUUUUUGUAUUAAACCUUGAUUUCCCAAAAAUUCUUAUGAAAAUAUGGGGUCGUGCUUGUUUCUUGGAGAGAGAAAAAAGAAAAAUACCAAAGAAUUCUUGAUGCAGUGAUUUUGUGAGUAAAAGGUGUGCUCAAUAUGUUAUGAAAACACAUUAUGAACAUAGAAAGGCACAUGAUCUUAUUAAUAAGAAAGGUUCAUUUGACAAGGAAUGUCUUGUGGCAUUAUAAACCAAAUUGCCAACAGGUUAAAAUAAACAUGAUCGAACAAAAGGCAAUAAUUGGGCAGGCUUUCAUCCUCCCAUCUUGUGGUAGAACUUCAUCCUCUAUCCUCAAGAAUGCACAUUGUCUUCUUCGCACCCUACUCUUGCCAUUAAUGCUUUAAAGUUUUUGGAUCAUUUCAUCUCUAGUGUAUUCACCGAUCCAGUACCUGGAGCAUGAUGGAGUAGAGGGUUCGAACUCACGUUUGGAACUUCGAAGGUUAUCCAUCCAGCUUUAAUCAAAUGCAUGAGCCUCUUCUUGAAGGCACUACAAGUAUGAAUGUUGUGCCCCGCAGCACCAGCAUGGUACUUGCAGGUGAGGUUGGGCAUGUACCAAUUAGGGUAAGGUGGUUGUAGUAGCGUAAGAGGUUCAGGAGCUACAUACCUCAUGCUUAGUAGCUUUUGGUACAUCUCAUUUAAGGGCAGUGGUAAUGGAGGUAGCUAUUCUUGGACUCUUUGGUGUUUGGUCUGAGGCUCAGGUUUUUUAGCAGGAAAAGAAGAGUUGAAAUUAAUGUUGGUGAUUUGGGAUAAAGAGGAUGGUGUGUGAUAGUUUUGGAACAGGUUUUUCCUACCCUUAUUACCAUUUUCAACAUAAUCGACCUCUUUUCUUUUACCCUUAAAGCCUCUUUUAUUAGUGGGCGCAGAUAUUCUACCACUUUUUACUCCUUGCUCUAUGCGCUUAGCUACUGCCACAACGUCAGUAAAUUGCUAGGCCGAACUACCCAUCACAUGCUCAUAACAUGGUGUCUUGAGCGUGUUGGCAAAUAAAGUUACCAUCUCUUUGUCCAAGAGUGAGGGAUGUACUUGAACAACUAGGUCUCUCCAUCUUUGAGCAUAUUCCCUUAUGCUUUCCUUGUUCCUUUUCUCUAGAUUGGAUAAACUGGUUCUAUCAGGAGCAAUGUUCAUGUUGUACUUGUAUUACUUUACAAAUGCAUCCACCAAGUCUUUCCAUUUGUGGAUUUUAGUGUUGUCUAAUCUCAUGUACCAGCUUAACGCCGCCCCAUUCAAGCUAUCCUGAAAAAAAUGCAUAAGUAGUUUCUCAUCGUGUACUGCUUCUGCCAUUUUGUUGCAGUAGGAUUUUAAAUGUGUUAUAGGGCAUUGUGUUCCAGUGUAUUUGAUGAAUUCAGGAACGCGAAACUUUUUUAGGACAACCACAUUUGGGACCAAACACAUUUCUAAUGCUCGUACUGGAUCAUACAAGUCUACCCCUUCAAUUGCUCUAAUCUGGGCUUCCAACGCAGCCAUCUUAUCUUUAUCAAUGUUAUCAGAUGACUUAGUCUUAUGGGACUCGUUGGGAAAUGGAUCUAUGACUACAAGGGCUAGUGCUGAUGGCAUUGAGUGCACAAAUGCUGGAUCGUGUGGAGGUUCUUGACCAUGUUCACUCAUUGUUUCUUUGGGUUGAGCUGUUGUUGAAGGCUGAGCAAAAAUAGUUGGCUAAUUGGAAGGACCUUUACUAGAGGCGUUUCUAAGUGUUUGCUCGAGUAAGCUAGUGAGGCGAGUCACGCUUGCUUUCAGAGACUCUAACUUUUCUUGAAAAUGGGCGUCACGGUGAGCACGCUUUUCAUCUUCCAUGUUUCUUGCUCAGAGUCGGGUGUUAUAGGCUCUUUAGGGACCUAUAUUUCAACUUGAUGCAAGUAUGUAUGUUAUUUACAAUGGAUGGAUGUAGGCGUGUGGAUGCAAAUGCAUAUGUAUUGGGUAUGAAUGGCAAAAACUCAUGCAAAAUGAAUAUGUAGGGAGAUCAUGCUCUAAAGGAAGGUUCUAGGUCAUUACAUGAUAGGUAGGCUUUUUACCUAGUCUUAAAAGGGUCUAUGAACUACCUAGUGACCACCUCACAUGAAGGCAGUAUAGGGGUUUACAAGGAAUGGUUGGGGCACACUGUGACCGCCAUUAUCGAGUAAACACUCAGCUCAUAGUUGGAUGUUCCACGAAUCUGAACCUCGAUUGAAAGUCAUGAGGCAGACCGCUACUCCCCACCUAACCUAGAAUUGGGUUUAUUUGCAAAAUUAAAAUGCUAAAGCAGUAAAAAUGCAAGCUAAAAUUAAAGAACAACAAAAAAAAAACAAGCAAACAAGCAAAGCUUAGUCCAACCAGACAAGGUGGUCUCUAGUGGAGUCGCCAUCUGUCGCGGGGCGCGCGAUGGCGGAGGCUCUUGUCGUGCCUCCUGAUGAGAGGUGUUGUGUGUUGGAAAAUUAUGAUUAAUUUUUGGGAGUCGCCACCUAGUAUUAUGGUUACUAGGAACCUAUGGUUUAAGGCUUAAGGCAGAUCUCUUUUCAUGAGAGAGUCUCUACCUUAUCGGGUUAAAUCCUAACAGUUCUAAAGUCUGAAUACUAACAUCGCAUUUAUUUACAUAUUGUAUCUUUAAUACCUAAGGGUGUACUUUAUCGUAUAAUUUCACACCCCACAAAUAUUAAAGUCUACAUCUAGAUCCUAAAAAAAGAUUGGAAAAAGAUUUUUGAUAUGUUGGUCAAAUCCUAAAGGAUAAUCAUAAACUGGUUACGAUAUCCAUUUUUUUAAAACAUGAAAAAGAUGCAAUUUUAUUUUUAUUUUUUUAAUAAAAAAUAUGCUUAAAAUUUUUUUAGGAUUUGGUCGUAUGCAUGAAAAUAAUAUUUUUUUAAAUAGAAAUUGAUUUAAAAGAUUUUUUUUGAAAUUUUUUUAAUUUUAAUUUUUUUGAAAUAUUUUGAAGAAAACCAAGUAUUUUAAUACCGAAUUUGUAUUUUACAGUGUAAAUAUACAAACUAAUAUUAUGCAAAAUUAGUAGAAAAAUAUUUAACAAAAUCACAAUUUUUUUAAAGGAUUUUUGAAUUUUUUCAGAUUUUUUUUAAAAAAGAAAUAUAUAGUAUAAUAUUAUAUAUAUUAAAUAAAUAUUAUUUAAACAUGUGGGCUAGGUCGACCCAGCUGACUGGGCCGAGCUCAGCCUCAGAAGAGAUGGGCCAAUAUCGGCCCAGAAUUUUAAUUUUUUUUUGGGUCGGGUCAGACCAGCUGUUCUGACCCAGCCCAAGUUUCAUGUUAAUUAUAUGCAGCAACGUGAACACUUGUUGUUCACGUGCUGCAUGCAACCAAACGGUUGCAGGAGCUGCUGACGAGCGGAGAAGGAGGCUACCAGUGUCUGUGGUCACGGACGUGAUCAGGAGGUUGAGCUGAUGUUCCAGGCGGUGUCUUUUCGAGGAAAGGUGGAGGAAUUGGCCGCCGGUGGCAGAGGAAGUAGAAGAAGAAAAAGGCAAACGAGAAGCUGCGGAGAGGAGAGAGAAAGGUUUAUGGUGGCUCUCGAUGGUUGGUAGGUAGCUUCCAACGAUGGAGUUGUGGUGUAUAGGCUGUUGGUGGCUUCGGUUGGUGGCUGGAACGGCGGAGAGAGAGUGGUAAAGAAAAACUGUUGAAACAGGGGCAGAAGAGCUGGUUUAUGGCCGAAUUUGGACCAAAUUUUCUCCUCGCUUAGGUCAUCAAAGAAGCCUCUAUUUAUAGGCGGUGGAAGAGGGUAAUCUGGUCUACACCGGGGUAAAAUUUCAGCCAUUGAUUCAGUUGGGAAGGAUUCCAACCGUUGACUUAAAGUAGACAUCCUGAGUUGUCAAUUCUGCAGAAAAAGCUGCCUGAAUGGGUAUGUUUAAGCCAGCUUCGACGCCGUGUGGUUGUCGUUCAGACUUAAAUAUUCAGAUGGGGAUGUAUAGUGACUGUAGAGGAUCAUUUUCAUGCAAUUUUGGUUAAAUUUGGUGGGCGUUUAGUGCAUUAAAUGCACCUGCAAAGAAGGUUACCAAACCAGCUUUAACCGGGUAAAAGAAGAAGACAAUGAACAGUGACCACACGCGUCGUCUGGUCCUUUCUUCUUCUUUUUUUUGUAAAACGGCGUCGUUUUGGACUGGAAUAGGGAUUUUUACUAAAUUUCAAUUGAGUCCUCUUUCUUUUAAUUGCUUUCAAUUGAACCCCUAAUUGACCCUGAACUUUUGAUUUAAUGCAAUGAAGCCCCUUCUGAACUUUAAUUGGAACCCUGAAGUUACAUGCCUUUUACAAUAUGGUCCUUGGUCUUGGAAUUUGUCAAUUUAACCCCUAAUUGACCAUUAAACUUUUAAUUUCUUCAAUUUAGCCCCCGAUUUUUCUCAAUUAAGCCCCUAAAGUGUGGCGCCUCUUGCAGAUUGGUCCCUGGAUGCGAAUUUUAUCAAUUUAACCUCUACUUGACCCCAAAACUUGAAUUUUCUUGCAAUUUUGCCCCUAAUUCCAAUCAAUUAACUUGGUAAAAAUUAAAUUUGGUCUCUUAAAAUUUCAAUCUUCUCAAUUAAGCCCAAAUUAAGCUCCCAAACUUAAUUUUUCACCAAUUAAGCCCCAAAUAAAAUUAAUUUGACCCAUUUAAAGUAUAAUUAAGUCCUUGCACUUAAUUAAAUCCUUCAAUUGGACCCAAAUUAAUUCUUAAACAUAAUUAAAAUUUAAUUUGGCCCAUGAUUAAAUCAAAUUGGCCUAUUAAAAAUUUAAUUAUAUCCUUGGACUUAAUUUUCCACUAAUUAAGCCUCAAAUAAAAUUAAUUUGACCCAUUUAAAGUAUAAUUAAGUCCUUGCACAUAAUUAAAUCCUUUAAUUGAACCAAAAUUAAUUCUCAAACAUAAUUAAAAUUCAAUUUGGCCCAUGAUUAAAUUAAAUUGGCCCAUUAAAAAUUUAAUUAUGUUCUUGGACUUAAUGUUUGUACAAAUUCAUCCAAUAAUCAUUUAAUUUUACCUUGAAUUUGCAUUGUUUCCUCCAUUUUUUGGGCAUAAAGGGGUACAAUUAGGCCUUGAAUUUUCCUCAAAAAUUACAGCUUGACUUCUCGGCCUACUUUCUCCACAUUGCCAGCCUUUACUUUAUUUUUUUGAUUUUAAUUUUGAAAAACUCGGGAUAAUCCAAGUCAUUUCAAAACCAGAGAAAAAUCUUAUAGAAAGUAAGUAAGAAAAGAAAAUAACAUAGCCUAAUUUUCAAUGAAAUAAAUGUUGAAGGAUAAAACUAAAACAAAGAGAUUAAAAAAAAAACUAAGCAAUCUCAAGCAAAUCUCUCAUACCUGGGGUAGUCUUUCGAAUUUAUAACGAUAGAAAUCUUAAAUUCAGGUUAAACGGAAAAGCUUAUUUCCCAAUUAAUUUAAUGUUAAAAGAUAAAAUAAAAUAAUAUAUUUAAUUCUAAUAAAUUUACCAAAGUAAAACAAACAGCAAUAAAAAAAAUAUAAGGAUCAUAUUUGACAUAAAAAAAUAAAAUUAAAUGACAAGGGGUGAAAAUAAAAAUAAAUUCAAUUAAGAGAAUGAUUCAAAACAAAACAAAUAAUAAUAAAAAGAAUAAUAACCAAAUUUAAUAGAUAAAAAAAUUAAAUGAGGUUGAAGUUGAAAACAAAAUUAACUUUAUAAAUCAUUUCAAAUAAAAUAAAUUUUAAUAAAGGAACAUGAAAUAAAUUUAAAGAAAAAGUAAAUUAAAUGAUUGUUUUGAAAAUAUGAAGGUUGAAGCAUUAAAAUUGAAGAGUAAAGCGAAAAUAAUGAAAAAAAGUUGUUAGCAUUGCACUAGAGGCCCGCAUGCUACAAGCAUUACCCAAGAAUUGAGGGGUUGUUGAGACAAUUUGAAUGAUAUCCUGAAAGCCACUAUUUGAUCAUCGCACCAUCUUAUACAUGUUAUCUAAAUGACACGACUUUAACUCAUAUGUUGAUGUUUACAAUAUAUGCAUCAAUCAUUUUUUUAUAAUAAUAUUUAUAUUUAUUUAAUUACAAAAGUGCUCAUUAUUCAACUUGAUAACAGCCAAAAAAAUCAAAAUGUAAAGAUGAAAAAGCUAGGAGCACUAGUUAAGGAAUUUGUGAUUUUAAGUUAUUUCAAUAUUUUCUUGUUUUCAAAAGUAAAUUAAAAAUUUUAUUUUGCAAAAAAAAAUAUAAUAAGACUUUAUUAUCUUUAAUAGCCGGGUCAUAUUCAUUUGUUUUGGUAAGGAAAAAAAAUUACCAUUUCAUCAUUUCAAUUUAUAAUAUAAAUAAGUUUAGAGCUAUAGUUUCAAAUACAUCUUUCUACUAUAUUUUUUUUGGUAAUGUUUUCAAUAAACAAUUUUGAAUAUCAAUUUUUUAUUUUUAUUUUUUUAAUUAUCAAUUAAAGACUUUCCUUAAUUUUUAAGUUUUUUUUAUCUAUAUUUUCAUCUAAAUUAUACUUUCUCUGUAUGUCAUUGUUUAUCUUUAAUGUUUUCUACCAAAUAUUCUAAUAUAAAUCCCAAAUCUUAAUUUGGAAAAUUAAAAAAGUUUAAUAAAAAAUAAAAAUAAAAAAUAACUCAAAUAAAAAAUUAAUAAUAAUCUAAUAGAUACAUUUAAUAUUUGUUUAAAAAUUAUAUCAAUAAAUGGUAAGGUUAACUAGUAACAUUUGGAAUCCACUUUAUAUAGAAAAAAACAGGAAGGUAUUCUUAAUAUUUUUUAAAGAUAAUAAAUUUUAUUAUCUCUCCCUUUAAUAUUUAUUUUUUAAAAAAAUAAAUUAACUAACAAUAUAUCACUAUCGUACAGUUUAAAUAACAUAAAAUUUUCCACGACAACUCCUUUUUAUCAUUAUACAGUCCAACCCAAAUAAUUUCCUUGUUAUCAACUUCUUUUCCAUGUCUAUUGCAUGACAAAAGAGUCCUUCUUUUUGCCAAUCCACAUCUUAGUAUCUUACGCCAUUAUAUCAUUUCUGUUGGUAAUAAAUAAAUUGUCGGUUAGCACGUAACCUUACACGCAAGCAGCAAAUUGAUAAUCAAUUUCCCCCUUUUCCACGCUGCGGUCUAUUCUCGAGGGAGACACUACAGGUGUCCUUUAUGGCAUAACUCUUCUUUCCAUAAUUGCAUAUUUGUACACACUCGAUACAGUUUAAUAGUGUAAUUAAGUUACAGAUUUUUUAUUUUUUAAAAUUAUUUAAAAAUAAAAAAGAUUUGAGAAAUGGGUCAUUAACUUGAAUAAGUUUAAUAAAAUUGGUUAAUUUAAUAACAUGAUUUAAAAAUUAACAAUAAUUAACUAUAAAAAAUAAGAUGAUACUAUCACAUUUGGAAGGAGAAUGAAGAAAAAUUCAUCAAAGACUCACCGUUGUUUCACAGUGACCACCACUUUACCAGAAAAAAAAAGCUAAUCAAGACGAUUAUAACACUAUUGCAAAAGGUUGUACGACGAAAUCAAAAGUAGGGACGAUCAUUUUUUGUUCGGUUAUGUUUUUAUCAAAAAAAUAACCAAACUAGAUUUAAAAAAAAACCAAAACUGAACUUAAAUCGGUUCAAACCAACAUGUUUCGAUUCAGUUCUGUUAUUUUUGAAUAAAAACUAUUUUUUUUGUUUGGCUCGGUUUUUCCAGUUUGGGUUUGGUUUUUCAGUUUCAGGUUUAUAAACCAAACUGGUUGGUUUUUUAAAAAUUCUAACCAGUUUAAUCGAUUUUUUUCAUAGUUUGAUUUUUUCAGUUAUUUUUUUUCCGGUUUUCUCAGUUUAAUAAGUUUUUCAGUUUUUUUUCUCACUUCUAAAUUCAAAAGAUGUCCCACACACCAUCAUAGCAACGACCCGAAAAAACAAACCAAGCAAAAUACAAUGAAGCGAGCAUUUUGUGUUUAUAUUGAAUCAAUUAAUCUAAUUUAAUUAAAAAAAUAAAGUUAUUUUUAAAAAGCUAAAUUUAACAAAGAACGGUAAUAAAAAAGACUCGAGAUAAUCCAAGUCAUUUUCAAAACUAGAGAAAAAUCUUAUAGAAAGCAGGUAAGAAAAUAAAAAAUAAUAGAGCCUAAUUUCUAAUAAAAUAAAUGUUAAAAGAUGAAACUAAAACAAAAGGAUUAAAAAAUAAAAAUAAAAAACUAAGCAACCUCAGGCAAAUCUUAUACCUGGGUCGGUCUUCCAAAUUUAUAACCCAUGAAAUUCUAAAUCUAAAUUCAACCAAGAAGCUUAUUUUUUAAUUAAUUUAAUGUUAAAUGGUAAAAUCAUAAAAAAAAUAUAUUUAAAUCUAACAAAGUUACCAAAAGAAAACAAAUAGUAAUAAAAAAUAAGGAUCAUAUUUAAUGUAAAAAAAUUAAAUUAAAUGAUGAGAGGUGAAAAUAAAAAAUAAUUCAAUUAAAAAAAUAAUUUAAAACAAAACAAAUAAUAAUAAAAAGAACAACAACCAAAUCUUAUAGGUAAACAAAAAUUAAAUAAAGAUGAAGUUGGAAAAAAAAUCAACUUUACAAAUCAUUUCAAAUAAAAUAAAUAUUAAUAAAAAAACAAGAACUAAAUUUAAAGGAAAAGUAAAUUGAAUUAUUGUUUUGAAAAUACAAAGGUUGAAGCAUUAAAAUCAACAAGGUGAAAAUACUGAAAUAAAGUUGCCAGUACCACAUUAAAGGUCCGUAUGCUACAAGCAUUGCUUAGAAACCAAGGGGUCAUUGAGACGUUUCGAAUGCAGCCUCGAAAGCCACCAUUUGAUCAUUACACCACCUUGCAUGUGAUGCUUAAAUAAUGUGGCUUCAAUCAACGUGAUGGCGUAUACAAUUCAUGUAUCAAUUCAUUUUUUUAAUAAUAUUUGCAUAACUCAAUUACAAAAAUGCUCAUUAUUCAACCUGAUAACAACAAAAAAAAUCAAAAUGUAAAGAUGAGAAAUCCCAUGAAUGCUAGUUAAAGAAUUGGUGAUUUUAAGUUAGUUCAAUAUUUUUUGUUUUCAAGAGUAAACUAGUAAUUUUACAGUGCAAAAAAAUAUAUAUAUAUAAUAAAACUCUAUUAUCUUUAAUAGACAAGCCAUAUGAUAUUUAGAUAUUUAGAGAGAAGGAAAAAAUCAUUAUUUUACUAUUUCAAUCCACAAUAUAAAUGAGUUUAGAGUUACAAUUUCAAAGACACUUUUCUAUUUUUGUUUUUUUUUCAUAAUGUUUUCAAAAAAUAAUUUUCAUUAUCAAUUUUCUAUUCUUAAGUUAUUUUUUUGAAUUCUCAAUUAAAGACUUUCGUUAAUUUUUAAGUUUUUUUGUCUAUAUUUUCAUCUUAAUUAUACUUUCUUUGUAAAGACUGAUGUCAUUGUUUACCUUUAAGUAUUCUAACAUAAAUCCUAAAUAGUUAUUUGGAAAAUUAAAACAAUUUAAUAAAAAAAUUAGAAUAAAAAAUAACUGGAGUAUCAAAUUGAUAAUAAUCUAAUAGAUAUAUUUGAUAUCUGUCUAAAAAUUAUUAUUUAAUUUGAAAAAAGUAGCUUAGCUAAUCAAUAUCAUAAAUUUUAUAGUAUUUAAAUAGUAACUAAUAACAUUCAAUUAGUUAAUUAAUUGAAUCCAUUUUAUAUAGAAAACAAUUCCUGUGAAGAUAUUUUUAUUAUUUUGUAUAAAAAAUAAAUUUUAUUAUCUCUUCUAUUUAUAUUUUUUUAAAUUAACUAACAAUAUAACACUAAUUACAAUUUAAAUAACAUAAAAACUUUCCAUGAUUGCUCUUUUUUAUCGUUAUACAGUCCAACCCAAGUAAUUUGCUGGGGAGAUAUUCUUAUCAUUUUUUACAUGUAAUAAUUUAUUUUUUAAUAAAUUAAUUAAGAUAUAUCACUAAAUUAAUUAAGAUAAUAAAAGUUUUUUUUUAUCUCACAUUGAGAAAAAUAUAAUUUUUUUAUAUACAUUAAAGGUUUCAAAUCUUAUAUUAAAAAAAAUUAAACAUUUUUCGAGUAUUUAUAUAGUGAAGUUUGAAAUGAGUUAGCAACUAACUAAGAAAUAUUAAAAAAGAGGUGUCUUUAAGUAUGAGAAAAAACACAUUUAAAAAAAAAAACUCUAUUAGAUUUUUGUCGGGUCAACCAGUUUACUUUAGGCCAAUUGUCAACCUGAAUUUUGAACAAAAUAGAUUUGGCUAACAUUAUUGAAUUAUGUUGGUAGCAGAACCCACUGUUGCUGGGUCUUAGUGGAGCACGACCCACCGUCAUUGAGUUCUACUGACACCAAGGCCCAAUACUCCUGGGUUCUCCUGCCCACCAUUGCCUUAUGUUGUUAUGCCUUCUUGGCUGGGUAAAAGACCUACUAUCUUUAGGUCCUGCAAGGUAGUAGGAUCUAGUAAACAUGAGUUUGGCUAUGAAUCCAUACCCAAUAUCUUGAUAAUAUUACCCAAAAUAAUAUUAUAUUAUAAUAUUUAUGAAUUGUUUUGUAAUUGAUUUUAUUGUAAACAAAUUAUCUAAUAUAAUACAAAUAAAUAAAGUACAUGAUGUGAAUAAAAAAUUUAUUUAGAGCUCCAUCAACUUUAAUAUGAUAAUAUAUAUAUAUGUUUUUAUUUUAAAGAAUUCGCUGAGAUUAUAUGUGAACAUGUAUUAAGAAUAUGCACAUAUAAAUUUUUUAUGUCACUGUUUAACUAUUUUUUGAGUAUUAAUAAAGUUUGUUAAAAUAUAUAAAUGAUUUAGUCUAAGCUAAAACAAUAAAAAUAACAUAAUACAAUUACUAAGAUUUCUUUUUAAAAAUAAUAUUACUAAAUAAAUUCCCAUUUAUGUCUAUUAAAGAUAAUAUAAUCCUUAGGCGAGACAACUUUACUCUUUUUUUAUUUCUUUAUUUUUUUUACUAAAAUAGAUUAUGCAUAUACUACAUUCACCACUAUUGUUAAUAUGCUAUUAUUUUUGAAACAUAAAGACAAAUAUGUUUUUAUAAGAAAAUUCAACACAACUUCAAAUGAAAAAAAAUUAUCUUCACCUAACUUUUAUACAAUAUAAUAAAAAUCUUAUUCUUUCAUUUCCUUGUUAUAAUAUGAAAAACAAAUAAGAGAAAAUAAAAAAAAUUAAAGUGUUGGGUCUUGCUGGGCAUGACCCACCAUUGAUUUGUCCUAUUGAGGGCAGAACCCAACGCCAUUUAAUGGGUUCUGCUAGCCACAAGACCCAACCCCAUAUAGUGGUAACAGUUAGAUCCUAGUGGCAACAGGACCGAACGACCUUGCAAUACUUGUUAACUAAAAAAAAACACCUCUCACAAGCAAGGUUGUCAAUUAUGUUCCGUUUCGUCCGGAAUGGCCGAAACAUUUCAUAACAAUUCAAAAAACAGAACAAAAUGGAACAAUUUUCAUCUCAUUUCAAAUCUUGAUUCGUUCCAGAUUUUUCAGCUAAAUUCCGUCAUGAAUAUUCCGGUUUCAUUCCACAUGUUCCGUUCCGGUUUUAAAAAGCCAUUAAAUUAAAUUGAACCUGGUUCAAUUUAAUUAAUUAAAUCAUCCAAGUAUGAUAUUAAUAAUAAUAUUGAAAAUUAUUAUUACUAUUUUCAUUAAUAAUGAUAUUAGUUUUUUAAAAUUAGAUUUAUCACUAAUAUAUAUGAUUUAUAUUCAUGUUGUUUUUUUUUCAAGUUUAUAAUUUGUAGGAAUUUGAGCAAAGUAAGGGAUUCUUUAGAUCCCAUUAGUUUUGAUAACAUUGACCUAGCUUUAUAUUUAAAAUAUUUAUGUUAAAACAUUUUAAUUUCAUCAUAUUUUAAUAUUUUGUUUUAGUUGAAUUACUUUAAGUUAAAAAUCUAUUUAAUCUUGACCAUUUAGAAAUAUUUUAAAUUUUAAAAUUAUAUUUGUUUGACAUUAUGUUUGUGUUAUAUAAUUUAUAAUUAAUUUAUCUUGAAUUUGAAUUAUAUUUGUUAAAUAUGUGUAUGUGUGUGAACAAUACAACUCUAAAAAUAUUACGCUGAAAUAUUUCAAAAUUAAAAUAUUUUAUUUCAAUUAAAAAAUAAAAUAUUUACUAAUAUGAAAUUAACAACCUUGUUACAGGUGUUAAAAUAUUGUUUAUAGUAUAAACACUUUAUGCAAUAAAUUAAUAUACACGGUAAAUAUACAAUAUUUUUCCCACAUUUUUUAAAUAAGAUAUAGAAUAAUAAAUAUGGAUAGGGUUAGCACGUAGAACAACAACGUUACACCUCGAAGAUGGAAUCGACCACCGACACUUGUAUAAUACCAGCCGCCUUCAAUAACAGUGUAUUAGUCAAAGCCUUAUCCUUGGUCUCUUGUCAGCGUAAACAUUCAACAUAGAUGGCUGAUUAUUUUUUUUAAAAAAAGAUAGAUGAUGGAUUUUUCCAAAACAAUAUCAUGGUUCCGUACAGAUUUUUGGGAUAAUAAUACAUAUUUAAAGAAUAUCAUGAACAUAUAGAAAGUAUUCUCUUAAUAAUAUUUUAAAGAAUAAUAUUAAGAUAAUUUAUUGAACUGACUACUGUCUUGCUUCGAUGUGGGACAAUAUUUUCCUCUUUGUUCAAGGGCAUUUUUGUCCGAGAAAAAAGCUUAGCUCACCGUCUCGCUCAAGUCCUGCUGAACAAAGAAAAGAACGAGCAAUGAUUGAACGGCACCUCCAUCGGAUUCCAACAUUUUUUCAAGAAGAUGCUUCACAAUUAUUGCUCGAUGUGGGACAGUGUGUUUCCCGUUUGCUUCAAGUCCUCCAAAAACAAAUAAUCGGUACAAUGUGAUUCUGCUCAUAGUUUUAAAACUCGAUCCGGUAAUUGACGUGGUAUAAUUAUCAGGUCACGGAUCAGGUGGGUAAACCCGGACCAACCCGGGUCAACACAAAAAAAAAACUUUUAUGAUCAUUGAUCAAUAACAAGGCAAUGAAUCCAACAAUAUAAUGUAAACUCGAUAAACAAAAUAAUUCUAUUCUAUGUUUUAUAUAAACUUAUUCUAGCGAGCUUUCAAGCCUGGACCUGUUCUUUUUUUUUUUUCAAGCCAAAUCGUCAAUGGUAGACUCUUAUACAAACAUUCAAUGCAUCAUAAAUUCUACACCAACCUCAUCAAAAUCAACCCUACAUUCAGUAGCUAGAGCUAAAUCCAAUGCACCACCAAAUCCUAAAAAAAAUCCCAAAUUACAAAUUAUUCCAAGAAAACUAAAAAAACAAAAUCGUAACAAAACCCAUUUUCCAAAACGAAAACUGAAUCAUAAAAAUCACAACUUGAUAACAACAAACAACAAUUUGUUUGGAUUCAACAACUUACUUUCGAUUGAAGGAAAGAAGAGAAUUAAGUCAUCAUUAAGUACUGGCCAUAACGUUGAAGGGCGAGUUUUGGGUCAUCAGCAAACUUGAAAUCAAGAUCGAAACCACGAGAUUUGAGAGAAUUGAAAAAGAUUGAGUGCGAAGAUUUAAGUGACAAGUCGUUGAGGAGGACUAAGAGGCGACGAUCUGUUAGGGAAUGUGUGGAGAAAGAGAGGGAGAGAAUGGAAAGGAGUGUAACAGAUAGAAUUGUUAAGAUUGAGAAACUGUUUCUUCCUAUUUUUGCAGUCUUGGCUGCCUAAGUGAGAGAGUGCGAGAGAGAGAGGGAGAGGGAGAGAGGCAGAAGGCUUGCCAAAAAUUAACAAGGCUUAAGAAAAAGCUAAAGCUAAAAACGACGUCGUUGAACAUAUAUAUAAAAAACAGCAGCCGGGUCUCAGCUAGGUUUACCCAGGUCAACCGGGUUCCGGGUCGAUCCACCGGGUCGACCGGGUUUUGCUGGGCCAAUUUUCUAACGGGUCUUUUCAUCAACCCUGCCCGGUUCCAGCCCCGGGUCAGCCGGAUCCCGGGUCGACCCGCCGGGCCCAGCCGGGUUUUAAAACACUAUUUCUGCCUUUUGUUUUUAUACGUAUAACUUCGAAUUUUUGGAUAAAAAAAUAACAAAAUUUUUAAUAUCUAAUUUUUUUUAGAUAAUAAAAUAAUAAGGAAAAUAAGAUUCAAUUAGUAUAGAAAAAUUUACAAGAUACAUAUGAAUAAAAAAUAAUAUAUAUAUAUAUAUAUAUAUAUAUAUAUAUAUAUAUAAUGUGAUAAAAAAAAAAUCGAGCAAUUCAUAUCUGUUGAAUGAAAUUGAAAAGAGAAAUUUAAAGGAUUAGUUUUAAUCACUAAAAUCAAAUGAUAUCUUAAAAAUAUAUUCACCAAACACAACGAAUGUAUUCCGUGUGGGAUCGAUAAUGUAUUUUAAUCACUGUUAUCAAAAUUCGUACAACUUCGUUUGUUUUGGUGUGGGAUAAUGUGUUUUGUUCAAGGAUGUUGGGCUUUAUUUACAACACAAUUUCUAAAUUAAGAUAAAAACAAUAUUGGCUGCAUUGUUUAGAACAACGCAGCUCAUUCUCCUAUGCUAUUUUAAAAAAAUAUAUUUUUUGAGCUCCAUUAUUUUUUUAAGACAUGCUAUUUUUUUUUAAAAAAAUCACUAUCCUAUGCUAUUUUCGUUCAAGGAUAAAUUUUUUAAAAAUACAAAAGCUAUUAGGCUUUGAUGUUUUAAUUGACUUUCACAAUCGUUUUAUCAAGUUUACUAGCUAUUUCAAACUAUUUCAAACGCGACACGUACGAGUUGGAUAUUUUUUUUUCAAUAAAAAAAUUGAACAAACAAGUUUUUCCAACAUGUUUUUUAAAUAAAAAAUUAAAUAUAAAUUAAAAAAUUUAUGUAUACAUAUAAUUAAACAAAACAAGAGCCAUUUAUAUCAAUAAAUAAAAAGAAGUCAGUAACAAUAACUAAAUAUAUAUCUUGAAAAAUCAAGAAACGAAUAUAAAUCAAGAUAUUUGAUCUAGCAACACAGAUCAUUUAUUUAAUUGUAUUCAUUACAUUCUUUAUUCAAUCAAAUGACAAUAGAAAUAGAUGCAUAUAUAAUAUUGAUUGAAUAAAAUUAAAAGGAAAAAAAUCUUAUAAAGUUGUACUUAUUAGAAAUACUAUUCAAAAAUAAAUAUUUAUUAUUUUUAAAACUAAAUCUCAAUUAUAUAAUAGAUAAAACAAAUUUUAGAUAAAUUAGAAUAAUAUCUUAAAAAGUUAAACAUAUAUAAAAUAAUUAAAAAACAACAACUAUUUAAGGCAUGAUAAAUAGAAAAAAUAAGAAAUCAGAGAGGGAAGUGGUAUUAAUUUAAAUAUAAAUUAUAAAUUUAUUUAUCAAACACAUAUAUAAAAAUAUUGAUUUUUUUUAAAAAGACAAAAUUAUAUAUAAAAAAGGAAAGAAGCCAAUGUCUGGCUCAAUUAGAAAUGCCCUCGUGUCAAUUUAUAUUUUUAUUUUUUAAAAAAGAUAAAAUUAGGCGAACGAGCGCCCAAUAUUUUUAUGAAAAAAAAUCUCUAGUUAAUGUGUCAUCUUGUUUUGCCAAAAUUUCAGUUCUUAAGGUGCCUGAAAAAAUAAAUUUUAUUUUUUUAUUUAAAAAUUUAUUUUUCAAUUUAUGUUUUUAUCAUAAUACUUAAAAAUAAUUUAAACACCUUAUUAUUAAAUCUAUAGGUUGCAUUAAAAAAAAAUACACACAUAAAAAAUCAAAAUCAACUCAAAAUCAAAAAUCUUCUCAGCUUAGAUUUGGCUUCUUAUAUAAUUUUAAGAUAAAAAAAACAUUUAAGUUGAAUUCUCAUUAUGUUUUUUAACAUUAAAAUAGAUCAUAUUGAUGGACAGAAUUCAUAGCUGAUUACCCUAAAAUUUGAUGAUCUUUUUCAUCAAUCAAAUUAAAUAUUAAAAAAAUAACAAAAAUAAACUUCAGUAUUGCAAUUGAAUUGCAAAGCUAUUGGAUUUAAGUACUAUUUAACGAAAACGAGUCCGAGCUGCGAGUGGGAAGAUAACCGAAGGCCCUUAGGUGCGACAAUCAGCACCUGUUUUCUUCUCACGUUUUUGCUUCAAGUCCUGAUAAAAACAAAGAAUGGAUGGCAUGCAGCACGAGUCAAUGGUGUGACAGUGUAUGGCCCUCCAACUCACCCACCCUCCAACAACAUCUCUUCAAAGAAAUAUAUGAUUUACUCUGUUUUUUCAAGCAAAGAUUUUUAUUCAUUAUACUUUUGGGAGCAACGCCAAAAACGUUUGUGAGACAUCAAUUUCUCUUUAACCUUUUUUUUUUAUGGUUAGUUGGACGUGACAGGACACCUAGCUCGAACAAUUGAAUUUCGAUCAAGAACUAAAGAUAAUGCGAAAAGGUAUCAAGUUAAAAUACCUACCACCUUUUGAUUUCACUGCUCACUUUAAUAUUCGGAUUCAAUUCACCAAUAUGAGACCCUUGUCUUCUCUAUUAAAAACUAUAUAUUUCUUCUCUUUAAUUACCAAAAUAUAAAUAUAAAAAAUUACAAGAAUCUAAUUCAAGCUUGAAAGGAAGCGAACAAGGACAGGUUAUGCACUGACAUCUUAGAGAGGGAAAUGAGAAGGAAUCCAAUGGCCGGGAGUGCCUCCAUCACUUCCCAUACAAUGGAUGAUGAUCUUCACGUAAAGCUGUUAUACUUGGAGAACAGAUGUAUAUUGUUCUGCACAUGAUAAUUUUGUUCCUGUUUACAAUUAACUUGCCUUUUCCCCUAAGAAUUUCAAGCUUAAUAUGCCAAAAGCUGAAGUUUUUUGUUAGUUUACUGAAAUCUCUUUCUUGCACAUAGAGAGAAAUCUGGCAAUGAUAUCUUCAAAUACUCUGUUGAGAUACCUACAUACUAACAGUACUGAUCUUCUUGCUGCUUUAUCCGAGCUUUAAAUUCCUUGGUUUGGGUGCUGGGGGUGUCCUGCUAGCUAUCCUAUUCCUGUCUGCUCUUCUCCAAAUAGGAGCUUUUAUGCUCUUUCUAUUUUAGUCUCCUAAUCUACCAUGCAAUCUUGAUGAAAAUAGAGAUUUUCUUAAUGGCACUUGAUGCGCACAAAGGUGAAGGCAUCCCAUUGAUUUAUGGCUUUAGCACCUUUUUGUUCAAUUAUGAUCUUGAGAAGUGAAGCAGAUUAAUUGUUUUAAAUAAUUAAGUAAUUUUUUUCUUAUAAAAAAGUUAUUCUAUGACCUAUAUUACGUGUUACCCAUUAAAUUCAAGUCCAUUUAAUAUUUUUCUAUCUCACUAUUUUUUUUAAAAAAAUAUUAAUUUAAUUUAAUUUUAAAAUCAAAUCAUAUUUUUAAAGUCAAAUCCAAUAUUUUUAAAAAAAAAAUAUUAACUCAAUCCGGUCAUAGUAAACUCAACGUGGUUUAAUUUUUUUAUAUUAAAAAAAUCUAAUAUCAUAGCAUCUAUUAAUUACUUAACGCUUUAGCGCCAUUAAACCUACAUUGAAAGAAACAACAAAAAGGGGUAAUUAGUUCUCCAUAUUCCUUUUGAGAGAUUCUAUGCAAAAUUGGCAAAAAGAAAAGAAAGAAAUUGCUCAUUUUUAGGACCAACUAUGAAAUUAAUAAAUUAUUAAUCUAAGUCUUCAACAGAAGAACACAUGUAAAUAAUGAAUAAAAAUGAUUAAUAAGUUAUCCGAUGAGAAAUUUAGCGAUUUGCACGUCCUAAUUUGUUUUAGCUAACACACUUAAAUAAUUAAAUAAUUAUGGACACAUCUUAACAAAAAGCAAGUACUCUUAUUCCAUUGAUUAUAAUUACUUUGUGUUGGCGAGCCUCCUAGAAGAGCGCCAAUCCUUUGUGCUUAAGCUUUUGUUCUUUAGCUGCCACCACCUUUUUAAGUUCUUCCACCUCCACCUUCAAAAUAACCGUAGGGGUAAUUAGUUGAUAUUUCAUAUAAGAACUAAAAAAAAUCAAUAACAAAAAAAAAAAAGUUAAAAUACAAAGAAAAAAAACAACACUAGUUAUUGAUUUUUUUAGUUCUUAUAUGACAUGUUUAUGGGUUUUAGAGUUAAUAAUUUAUUUUAAUUUAAAAAAUAUCAAUAAUUUAUCGAUUUAUAUCCAACAUAAUUAUGUAGUUUUGUAUUGUUUUCUUAGUAUCAUUCAAGAUUGAUUUUAUGAGAUACAUCUAAGGCAUUUUAAUUUUUUUGAAAAAAUUAAGUAUGGAGGAUUGAAGAUUAGCUUAGAGAAAUGUGAAGGUUACUUUAGAAUUUAUAAGCAAUCAUGGAGGGAGAGGUAGCCAUUUAUUGCCAUCCCCAAGCAAAAUGUCUCUAAUGGUGAUUUAUCAGUCACACAACUUGGUUUAAAAUAUAAAAUUUCUUUAUUGAGGCUUAAAAUCAACAUUGAAUGACAUAUAUGAUGCUCAAAAAUAUUAUUUGAUAAAUAUUAUUUUUGUCUUUAUAGAUUAAUUAACAUUUUCUUCUAAUCCUAUAGUUUAAACUUUUCCAAUAGUAUCCCUCUAGUUUCUAAAAUUAGCAAAGUUAACUUAGCCAUUAAAAAGCUUACCAUUUACAUUUGGUUUUUGAGUUUUUCUUUUUUGGGAAUGUUUUUAAGUGUUUUCUUAAUAUAUUUUGAGAGGAAGCGAAAGAGAUUUGUAAAACAAAUACUUGUGCUGUGCUGUGUAAAAAUAAAAAAAAUAAGUGGCCCUAUAAAUAAUUGAUUCUGCACUGCUCCAUUAUACAAUUUACUCGAGGAAAAGGACAGCGAGGAAGGAAAUCGGUAUCGUACCUCCAUUAUCCAAUCUCUAGAAUUAACGCCAGGAGAUGUUCUUCAUCCACCUCCUUCAAAAAAUAAAUAAAUAAAAUUGCGGUGAAACAUCAUCAUUCAGUUUGUUAUCAUCAGAAAUUCAAGUAGUAUCAGUGAAAAAAAAACCAAAUAUCUAAUUAAUUAUUUAUUUCUUAGUUUUUUUGAUGGAAUAUUUAAGAGUGUAAUAUCGGUUGUUUUUCAAAGUAUUUUUUUAUUAAAAAAAUAUAUCAAAACAUUUUUUUUAUUUUUUAAAAAUUAUUUUUGAUAUUAACAUAUCAAAAUAAUCUGAAAGUAUAAAAAAAUAUUAAUUUGAAGCAAAAACAAUUUUAAUUUUUUUUAAGAAUAUUUUUGAAACGCAAAAAUAAAUAAGCCAUUAGGAGAUGUUUGAGAAUGUGUUUAUGAUUGCUUUUCAAAGUGUUUUUCGCUUGGAAAUGUAUUAAAAUAAUAUUUUUUUAUAUCUUUUAAAUUAUUUUUGAUAUCAGUACAUCAAAAUGAUUUAAAAAAAAUAAUAAAUAUUAAUUUAAAAAAAUUAAAAAAUUAAAUAUUUUUAAAAUACAAAAAUAAAUAGGAUAUAAUAUCAAUAUUAACCACACUCGUUAUAAAUCCACCCAAGAAUCAUAUGUGGUAAGAGAUUGAGCUAUGAUAUCAGAAGAAAACUGUGGUAUUGAAUGUAUGCGCUAAGAGCCUUUUUAUUAGUGUAAUAAUAGUUGAUUUUUAAAGUAAUUUUAAUUUAAAAAUAUAUUAAAAAAAUUUAUUUUUAUUUUUAUUUUUAAUAUCAAUAAAUUAUAAAUAAUAAAUUUAUUAAAUCAUAUUACAUUAUACAGCUGAGGAGAAAAAAAGGAGAACCAGUAAAUCAGUAGCAUACCUCAUCGGGACCUGACAGUGACGUGUCUGCAGUUUUAGCCAAAUAUUUGUAUAAGGCCUGGCAAUAUUGAGAUUCCGGUGAGACGUCAUUCAAUUUGUUUUCAGAAAUUCAAGUAAUCAUCGGUUAACAUAUCAAAAGUAAAUAUCUAAUAUUAACAAUUUAUUUCAUAGUUUUUUUCUUUUGUUUGACACAAAGAUAUCAGUAUUGACCGGACUCAUUAAUAAAUAGUCUGAGGAUCAUACAUGGUAAGAAAACUUUGGUGGAGUGCCUAUCCACUAAAAUAUAAAAAUAAAAAUAACAAGUCUUCAUUUAAUUACAUAAUAACACAUGGCAUGUAUAUAAAAGUAAUUAGAAUAUUAUCUGACUGACAUGUAUAUUGGAUCUUAAUAUGAGAAUUUACAUAUAUAAAUAAUUUAAUGUAUAUAUUUAUGAUUUUAUCAAUAUAUAUCAAACAUAUUUUGUAUAGUCUUGUAUUUUCUAAUAUUGAUUUUGUGAGACAAUUGUAAGUAUUUUAUUUAUUUUUGGAUAAUUUACUAUAAUUUUAUCAAUAUAUUCAAGCUUUUUUUUUCCAGGAUCUCUCACUAAUAAUAAUAAUAAUAAAAAAUCCAAUUACUCUUGCGAAAACUUUGUUGCCGCACAAAUCAUUCAUGCAUUUUUGUAAAAUAGAGACUUGUGCUGUACAGAAAUAAAGAGAUUGUUCUGUUAUACAAUCUACUUGUGAAAAAGGAUGGUGAGAGAGGAAAUUGGUAUCGUACCUUGCCGAGUCUUGACAUUGAUAUGUCUACAAUACUUUUCACGUACUUUUUUACAGCCAACUGAUAUUUUCGACUCUUGUCCUUUUUAAGAAAGAAUUGGAGUGGUAGCCAUCAAUUAACAAAAGCAAAUAUCUGAUAUUAAUAAUUUAUUCUAUAGUUUUCUUAGACACAAAGGCAUCAAUAUUGAUCAUAUUUUUUUAAUAAUUUGACAAUAAUAUAUAAGUAAUGGAUUGAGCUAUGAUAUCAUAAGAUAAAAACUCGUACUGUUCGCUCAAACCAAGAUGUAGCAUGAGAAGGAAGACAUGAGUGAGUAACUCUCCACCUCUUCUCAGUUCAUGAGUAUGUUCUCUCCAUGGACAAUGAGCUGCUGCAUAUGCAACCAUUUCUACCCAAACUUCAUUUAUCAUCUCCCAUCGCUUCUUGGGUCCCAAUGACCGCAAUUGCCUGGCGAGCUUUUCCCCACCGAUUACCACUGAAUUGGAUGUUUUCCAGAGACUUUGAAACGUUGCAUCAUCAAGAGAUAAUUCGGAACGCAAAAUUCCAUCAACAACAUCCUUCUUCGCCUCAUCGCCUCUUGUAUUGUGCGGAUUUAGACGCUGCAAGUCUUGCAAAGUUCCUAGAUAUUCCUUGUCACCGAAUCCUUUAGAGAGCAUAUUUGGUCUUAUCACCAAAAGAUACAUCAUGUAUUCAGAUAAGCAUUUGCUUGUUUCAUAUUCUUUGGAGACAUUGCUUCCAUCUUUAUCAACAAGAUAACAAAUCUCUGUUGCGAUAUGCCAGACAAGAAUGCUCCAACUGAAUUCUACUUCAGUCGUGCACCACUUGUACGACUGUAACAGUCCCUCUCUUUCUAGCACACCAUCUCCCCUCUGACCAAUUACUUUACUUCUGAGAUUUUUAUCAAUAAAACGAAAAUCUUCCUUCAUCAUCUCAGCUUUCUUUCGAAGAUGUCCGAAAAUAAAACGUUGUAGACCAGCAUAAAAAUCUACCCGAUGCACAAACAUCUGCAUCGUCUUUUCAUUGAUUAUCAGCGAUCUCAAACAUCCAAGUGGCUUGUUUUUAAUGGAAGAGCUUAUCAGGUCAUGCUGUGAUAUGGAUCUCGACCACCUCUCGCUUCUAGUCAACUUCCUUAUCAGAGAAUAAAUUGCACUAUUCAGGGCAUUCCAUCCUUCAUCUUCCAACCAAAUCAUUGUCCAGUCAGAGAAAACAAGGCAUAAAAAAGCAUAAAACUCGAGAAAAACAGCGGCCGCAAACAAUAGAUACGUGAUUGUAAUGUCGAUAGUUGAGUAGGCAUGCUUGUCAAUCAGGACUUGGAAGGUAAUAAACGCAGUAAAAGUGAGCAGAAAGCUUAUAGAGCGAAGACUGAUUCCGGCACGAGAGUAAAUCAGUGGCGCUUUAGUGUAAAGCAUAUCAUAUAUUAAUCCAAGCUCAAUCUCUACCACCUUGAAGGCGCCUUCUGCUGAAUUUUUGGAAAUCAGCACCUGGCUUUUUAUUAGUGCAGGAAUGCGGGGACAAGAUCCUGCAUCAUAAACAUGGAUAUAUCCAAAAAAGUAUACGCUUGAAGAAGAUAAUUUCCCUCGAGAGCUUGAUCACGUGUUUUUGUUAAUGUCUAUAAUGGAUAAAAAGGCCGAAACUUUGAGAGAAUAGACUUUUUCAAGACCUCAGAGCUUGAAGACCAGAGCACCCAAGUCCUCUCUGCGUACUUUACAAUGCCAACAAUGAACAUUGGGAUUGCUAAGAAUGUGAGGAUACCGCUACCCCAGGACCUUGAGAAGACAUAAAAAGCCACUCCGACUUGGACUGCAAGACCAAGUAAAUGCCUCAACCACAACUCGUUAUCUUUCUCUGAAUUGUCACCUGAUGAAUCUCCUUGGCUCCUGGCUAGAUAACCCAGUGCAAAAGUUGCCACCGAGUCUGCUGAUAGGUAUGCAGACCAAACGAGAAUCCUGAUCCAGAUUCUGCCACUGGUCUUUCGCCGAGGACCAAAUAUGAUGAGGAUGGUUUGUAGCAAGAGACUAAGCAAAACCAUUCCUCGAAUCUUCCAAUUGUCCCAUAAAUUUAAGACUUCUUCAGGCAAUUUUUUAAGCAUUGUAUCUUUUCCUCAACAGUGGAAACUAGUUCUCUCCAUGAACCCUUGAAAAAAACUAUUUUGUAAGAUGAAAAAGUAAAUGUGGAUAUCUUUGAAAGAAUCUCGUAAAUGAAUAGCGAAAAGACUCUUAUGAGAAAAGAAUUCCGCAGUAGAUUUUGGGUAAGGUAUCAUAAAAUAGGAGUUGCUGCAUAUUGUUGUUGCAGCAUGCAAAGAAAAGGGUAUGGGAUGCAUUACAAAUUAAUUCAAGAACAAGAAUUUAGUACUUGGCUUGGGUACGAAGCAAGGAAGAGAUGCUGAAUAGUAAUAAAGAGAUGCUGCUUGUAUAAAGAGACUUUAGAUGGUUUGGCUUGGCUUGGAGGAAUUCUUUUCUUUUCUUGAUAGACAAUAGACAUAACACUUAAAGAAGGAAUUCUGAAUAUCAAUAUGAUGUUUGAGCACUGAAAUCCCCGGCCCAAGGUUUGAAUAUGAGACUACCAUUUACUGCUAAUCAGUUUCUGCCUUGCAAUAGUGGAAUUUUGCAUCUUAACCUAAUCAACGACAGUCAUGCUCUCAAUGAGUUCAUCCAGUAUCUUUUCAUUCUCAAGAGAUUCUAGCUAGAUAGGCAAAGGCUUUGCUGCUUUGCACAUUUUCAGCGGGCGAGUGAAAAUAUUCUUAUGAGAAAUUACUUCUGCAGUGGAUUGUAGUUGAGGUAUAUAUAUAUAAAAAAAGAAUCGCUGCAUAACGCUGUUACAAGCAAAAAGAAGGUAUGGGUUGCAAUGCCAUAAAAUAGAUAGAUGCAACUUCCAAGAUGUAUUGCCUAUAAUUCUAAAGCUCCGGCAAUCAGCUUUCGCAAAUCAACACAUGUGAGUAAAAAUCUUAAAAUUAGGUUGCUUUGAUACAGAGUAAGCAAGAGAUGCUAAAUAUUAAAGAGAUAUUCAGCUUGCAAGGAAUAAAAGAUUUAAAUUAGUUUUUUUAUUUUCUCGGUGGACAGAGUUUGGUUUCCUUCUCUUGAACUCUUAAAGGGGCAUUGGGGUUGGGCACAAAACAAAGAAUAGAUGCAAGGAUGAAGAAACUUUAAAUUAAUUGCAUUUUCUUUUCUUCAUACACAGAGUUCGCUUUCUGUUUUAGAGAAGGAACACUGAACAUCAACGCAGUGAGUAGUAUCUUUUGACUUCAUUUCUGGGAAUAUGAUGUUUGAGCACUGAACUCCCGAAAGGUUUGAAUCUGUAGCUCACAGUUACCCUUGGAUUGGUGUAUUAUCAAUACUGCAACCUCAAAACAGAGAAAAUGUACCUGAUGAUGUGUAAUGCAGGAUAUGAAGCCCCUGAUACAUGGACAAUGGAAUCUGGUUCAAUCAUCAAUAGUAUUUCUUAAAAACAUUUUCAAAACUAUUCAACUCAAUAGGCACAUUGAAAUUUUGCAAGAACCCACCUGGUGAGGUGUAAGACUCCAUCAAUACUGGCUUGUAUAGCUCGGAAUCCUUUGUCUGUACCAUGUUAGAAGGCAACUCAAGAAAAGAUGUUCCUGAUUAAAAUUCUGCAUUAAAAAGAUUUCAAGAAGUGCUUCAUGUCUGUUAUAGCAGCAAGGCAAGGACAAUGGUACCAAAUCAACAAUUAAAAUGAGAGUGAUGAGCAUUGUAAGGUGGCUUGAUAGACACAUCAAAUGUCAUGGAAACUUAAUUGCUUGAAUACGAUGAAGUACGCUUUGAAAUUGAAACAAGAAUAAUAGUUAUAUAUUUAUCUACUAUAUAUCUAUCCAGAUGUAUAGCAGAUCAGAAACAAGGCAGCUUACCUUGUCCAGUUGAAUAAACGGAUUGACAUGUGAAGCAUCAGAGGAGGCUGGCUGUUCUUACGUUAACGGAUUGUCAUAUUAAGCUCUGAUACUUUUUCCAGGAAAAACCUGUGUGUGAGAGGAGAGCUGCUAGAGAUACAGCCAUUCCAAAGAAAGGUAAAAAAAAAAAAAAAGUACUUGAAAACAUUGAGCAAGUUUGUGCGUAGCAUUACUGCUCUGGGCAGCCGGAAAUUUAGAAAUUAAUUUUUUUAUAUAUAUUUUAAUAUACUAUUAUAAAAAUAAAUUUUUAAAAUUAAAAAAAUUAUUUUAAUAUAUUAAAAAACUAUAAAAAAUAGAAUUAAUUAUUUUUAGAAACUAUAUGUUAUUAUUGUUCUAAUUAUUUUUUAGGUUGAAUAAAACUUUUAACAAAUUAGAUUUUUAUAGAAAAGAAAAGGUUCUUUAUAUAUAUAAAAAUAAAAAUAGAUAUUAAAUUUUUAUUUUAAUCAUAAAGUUAAUAGAAUUUUCAAAAUAUUUUAAUAAAUACAACCAAUCUGAAUGUACGAAUUUAAAUUUAAAUAAUUGUAUAAAAUUAUAUAAGUUUUUAGUUGAUAUCAAUUUUGAUCGAUAGCUAUGCCAUGAGAACAUGAAAAACAAGCAACGCCUCUCAAGAUUAUUUUCAAAAAACUUCAUUCUAAAAGAAAAAUCCCUUCUCUUCCCCUCAUCUUUCGUGCUCAAUCACCCUGAAAAAAAAGCACAGCCACCACAAUUCUGAAGCCUCGGCACCACGACCAGCGUUAAAACCCACCAAAAAUAGUGGCAAUAAGAGGUGCAGAUGGAGGAAGACAGUGAACAACCACUGCCGAUACCCACAUCAGAUCUCACCGUCAUGAAGUCUACCUCCUUCAGUGAUCGAUUAAAUGCGAUUUGGUUUCAUCAAAUUUGGGUUUCUUUUGAUUUAUGGGAGGUUCUUGAGAUGGGUUUAUGUUGGAUAAGUGGAUUUGAAGGAAUCUGGAGAGGGAGAGAGUAAUUUACUAAAAUUUUCUUUUAACUAUGAAUUAUUUUUCAAAGGAACUUUUCUAACAAUAAACAUAAAAAAGUUUGAUUCUAUAGCCAUAGAAUUUAAACAGUAAAAAGGCAGUGACCAUUCGACACUUUACUUGAGGAAAAGGAUAGCGAGAAAGGAAAUUGGCAUCAUACCUCAUUGGAACUUGACAGUGACAUGUCUGCAUUAACUCUCAGAUAUCUAUCAAUGGCCCCACGAUGUUCUUCUUCCUCCUUUAUAUUUUUUGUUGAAAAUUGCGGUGAAACAUCAUUCAGACUGUUGUCAAGAAUUAAAGUAGUCAUCAGUUAACAUAAUCAAAUAUCUAAUAUCAAUAAUUUAUUCCAUAGUUUUCUAAGUAGUCAUCAGACCCAUGGCAAUACCAGAUCAUGACCACGUAUGUAGUCAUCUAAUGAAUUGUAUUCAUACUGUUCGCUCAAACCAAGAUGUAGCAUGAGAAAGUAGACAUGGGUGACCAACUCUCCACCUCUUCUUUGUUGUUGAGCGUGUUCUUUCCAUGGACAAUGAGCUGCUGCAUAAGCAAGCAUUUCCAUCCAAACUUCUUUGAUUAUCUCCCAUCGCUUCUUAAAUCCCAGCAAACGCAAUUGCUUGGCGAGCCUAUCCCCACCAGCUACCGCUGACUUGGUUUCUGAAGAAAUUUAAGACAGUGUUUUACAUAAAGAAAACUUCAAUCGUAUUGUUGUUCUGUUGUUCUAUACAUGUAUAUAUAGCAGGAAAUUAUGUGGCAAGGAAAGACAAUCUUGCACAUAAUUUCUCCAAGAAUCUCGCUAGGAUUUCAGACUAAUAAUAACAGAGCAUAAAAUCAUGUCUAAUCUAGGUAACAAAUAAAUUACAUUAGAAAAUAUUAUAAUACUGGAAUAUCUGCAGGAUCUCUGUAUCAAUAGUUGCAGCUGGAAUAUCUUCUUCAAUAUCUGUUGUAUUUUCUGCAGUAUCUUCAAUACUCCCCCUCAAGCUGGAUCGAGCGGAUUGGUAGAUCCAAGCUUGCUCAACAACCGGUGAAAUUGAGUAGAUGACAACGCUUUUGUGAGCACAUCAGCUAAUUGAUCAUGAGAACGAACGUACUGGGGUUGAAUAAGUUUGGCUUGAACCUGUUGACGAAUGUAGUGACAAUCAACUUCGAUGUGCUUUAUACGUUCAUGAAAUACCGGAUUGGACGCAAUAUGCAUGGCAGCUUGAUUGUCACAAAACAAUGUCAUGGGAGUAACCCCAUGAAAACUGAAAUCAGCAAGAAGUUGUUUAAGCCAUAUCAAUUCGCAGGCAGCAGAGGCCAUAGCAUGAUAUUCUGCUUCAGCACUUGACCGAGCGACGACAGAUUGUUUCUUACUUUUCCAGGACACCAAAUUACCACCAACAAACAUACAAUAGCCAGUAGUAGAUCGACGAUCAAGAGAGUUUCCUGCCCAGUCAGAAUCAGCAUAUCCCAUGAUGUUGUUAUGACCAUUGCAAGUCAUAACUAUGCCACGACCAAUGGUGCCUUUCAGAUAUCGCAAGAUACGUUUGACCAUACCAAGAUGUUGAACUGUUGGAGCAUGCAUAUAACCACUGACAAGACUGACAGCAAAUGUAAUAUCCGGUCGAGUGAUUGUUAAGUAAAUGAGUUUUCCAACAAUUUGUUGAUAGUAAGUGCAAGAAACAAGAGAUUCACUGGAAGAGUCCAAUGUUAAUUUACUGUCUAAAGGGUUGGCAACAGGCUUCGUGUGCAGCAUAUCGACAUCCUGCAAUAAAUCAAUGAUGUAUUUACACUGAUUGAGAAAAAAUCCUUUACGGGAGGUCGCCAUUUCAAUGCCUAAGAAAUAUUUCAAUGAACCAAGAUCUUUGAUUGGAAAUUGCUGCUGGAGAGACUGUUUAAGCUGGGCUAUGGAAGCUUCAUUACUCCCUGUUAUAAUAAGAUCAUCGACAUAUAUCAGUACAACCAGUGUAUGAUCAGAAACAAUUUUAAUGAACAAGGAGGAAUCUGCCGAGCUUCUUGUAAAACUGAGACUCUCAAGAGCAAUGCUUAAUUUUGUAUGCCAAGCACGAGAGCUCUGCUUCAAGCCAUAAAUAGAUUUGUGAAGCUUGCAAACCAACAUAGAGUUUCCACUAUGAGGAUGUCCAGGAGGAAGUUUCAUGAACACUUCCUCUUCAAGAUCUCCAUGUAAAAAUGCAUUGCUGACAUCCAUUUGGAAAAGAGGCCACUCCUGGUUGAUAGCAACUGAAAGUAAAACUCUAACAGUGGUCAUCUUGGCCACAAGAGCCAAUGUCUCCUUGUAAUCAACACCAAAUUUUGGAGUAAAACCUUGUGCCACUAGACGAGCUUUAUGGCGAUCAACUGUCCCAUCUGAUUUAAACUUUGUCUUGAAUAUCCAACGACAUCCAACAGCUUCCUUUCCAGCAGGUAAUGAGACUAUAGUCCAGGUGUGAUUUUCAGUAAGAGCCUUUAAUUCUUCAUGCAUGGCCUGCUGCCAUACGGGUUGUGAUUGAGCUUCUUUAAAGUUUUUCGGUUCAUGAACAUUGGAUAUAGAGGUAAGGAAUGCACUAUGUGUUGGAGACAGUCGAUGAUAAGACAUAAAUUUGGAAAUAGGGUACCUCACGUUGUAGGUGACAUAGUCUUGCAUGCGUGAUGGCGAUUGACGUGUUCGAAUAGAAACUCUUCUAGUGACUGGCAGAGCAUCAAGAGCACCAGGCAGUUCUGAGUUACUGAUAUGGUCAAUUGUGGAAUUGUUGGAAUCAAUGGCAGACUGGAGGUGAAUCUGUUGGUCAAUCUGCAGAAUAUCAUUACUGGGAUUAGAUGCAGGAUUAGUUGCAGCUGGAAGUUGAUGUUGUCCCAGACCAUCAUUGUUGGAUGUGAAUCCAGUGGAAGACUGAGUGUGUUGGUCCGGAUUGGGAAGAACACAAUCAAUACUAGGAACAGUAGACAGAAGAUGAUUAGUGUUCUCAAUACUGGGCAAAGGAAAAAAAUUUGACAAAACUUCUCCCUGUUUUCCUGCAGUAAAAUAUGGUGUGCCUUCAAUAAAUCUAACAUCUCUGGACACAUACAAUUUCUUCAACAACGGGUCAUAACAUUUGUAUCUUUUUUGGGUUGUGGAGUAGCCCAAAAAAUACACUUGCUUGCUCUAGGAUCUAAUUUAUCCCGGUGAGUAGCUGAUAAAUGCAUGAAACAAGUGCAGCCAAACACCUUGAUGUGUGAUAUAUCCGGAACCUUAUUCUGCAAAACUUCAAGAGGAGAUUUAAAUUCCAGCACUCGACUGGGUAAGCGAUUGACAAGAUAAACAGCAGUAAGGAUUCCAUAUGACCAGAAGUGUUUUGGAACAUUCAUUUGAAGCAUGAUGGCACGAGUUUUUUCAAGCAGAUCAUGAUUUUUGCGUUCAGAUACCCCAUUAUAUUGAGGUGUACCAACACAACUAGUCUGAUGCACAAUUCCGUUAGAAUGUAAAUAUUUUGACAUGUCUUUGGACAUAUAUUCGGUGCCAUUAUUAGAUCGAAGGAUUUUAAUGAGCAGAAUACUGAUUAAGGAUGAAUGAAUGAAAAUCCUUAAAGCAAUCAAAUACGUCAUGUUUAGUUUUCAGCAGAUACACCUAAGUGACUCUAGAGAAAUCAUCGAUGAAAGAGACAAAAUACUUAAAACCAUCAAUAGAAGCAUAAAAGGGUCCCCAUACAUCUGAAUGAAUAAGUUCAAAAACAUGAGUGGUUUUCGACUUCGAAAGGGAAAAAGGAAGUCGUGUAGAUUUUGAAAAAUGACAAAUCUCACACUUGAGAGGUUCUUGUAUUGGGACGGAUUUUAUUUUACUGAGAACAAACUCUGAAGGGUGCGCUAGCCGACGAUGCCAUAAGAGGUGCUCAUGUGAAUGAUUAAUGGUUGCUUGAAAACUCCUGGGAACUGGAGAUUUAUGAGAGAUAUAAUAGAGACCAUGUAGAAAAAAUCCUUCACCAAUCAUUUUCUUGGUGACAAGAUCCUGAAACACAACCUUGGAUGAGGUAAAAAUUACUUCACAGUUGAGAGUAGCUGUAAUUUUACUAACAGAAAGCAAUUGAAAUGGGAAAGAAGGUAAGAAAAGGACAUCUGAUUCUAUCUUAUUAGACAGUAGGUUGAUCUUACCUUUUCCCUUAACAUAAGCAUUUUUUUCGUUAGCAACAGACACAAAAGUGGGACGAACGAAUGAUUUAAAAUCAUGGAUGCUGGUUAACUUAUUGGACAUAUGAUCAGUGGCACCAGAAUCAAUUAUCCAAAGAUCAUGCAAAUUUACAAGUUCUAACGCAGUCAUGAAAGCAAGCAGUUUACCUUGACUGUUUUUCGGGUCUGUCUCUGCUAGAAAAUCAGCAAAGUGGCUAAGGAGUGCAGCUGAUUGCUUUUGGUCCUGACUAGUUUGUUGAUCAGGUGACUUGCCCUGGACUUGCUUGUCUUGCAAAUAAUUUGCAAAAUCAGAUAUCAAGGUUCCCGGAGUAGCAGGAAAAAUCUCGGUGUGGUUGGAAUUAUUGUGGGCAAGGUAUGACUUAUAAUUGUUUGCACGUCUUGGUUGCCUCCUGAAAUCCUUUGCAAAUUUAGGCUUGAGUUCGGGGUGUAGAAGCCAGCAACGAUCCACAUGAUGACCAAUAUUGUGACAGUAUUGGCACUUGGAAUGGUGUGGUUGGAAUUAUUGUGGGCAAGGUAUGACUUAGAAUUGUUUGCACGUCUUGGUUGCCUCCUGAAAUCCUUUGCAAAUUUAGGCUUGAGUUCGGGGUGUAGAAGCCAGCAACGAUCCACAUGAUGACCAAUAUUGUGACAGUAUUGGCACUUGGAAUUAGGUCGUUUCCCUUUGUAAGCUUUAUUCUCAGAUAGUGACCUGUACUGAUCAUGAUCAGCAUUUCUAGAACUCAUGUCUUGCGACAGCAACUUGGUUUGAUAAGCACGAGUAUCCGAUACACCAGCUUCCCGAGUCAUUACUUUUCUAUGUAUUUCUUCACGUUGAAUGGUGGCACACACUGAUUUAAAAGUGGGCAGUUCUGGGUUCAUUAGAAUGUGGCUUCGCAGAUCUUCAAAAUCUGGACUGAGACUCGCCAAUAGCUCAAAAAUUUUGUCCUCCUCAGUCCUUUUUCGUAGUAUGGUCGCAUCUGUAGUGUGAGGUCUGUUUCCAAUUCAUUCCACAAGUUUUUAAAACUACCCAACAAUUGAACAAAAGGUUUGUCUUCUUGGUGAAGGCUGGCAACUUCACGAUGGAUCUGGAAAAUCCUGGCAGAAUUGUUUUGAUUCUCAUACAUGUCAUGAAUAGCAUCCCAUAGAUCAGAAGAUGAUUCUGAGAAACUAAAUAUUUCAGCAAGGUUUCUUUCCAUGGAGUUGAGAAUCCAUGACAUAACCAGUUGGUCUUUGGACAACCAUGCUUCAUAUUCCGGAUCGUUCACUUCAGGAGAAACAGUUGAACCAUUGAUAAAGCUCAAUUUAGAUCUUCCACCAAGGGCAAUGGUUACAGCCCUUGACCAAGGAAGGUAGUUGAACUCAUUCAAUAAAACAGAGCUUAAUUUGUGAGAGGUAUUUGUGUCGUCUGAGUAACUAACUGGUGUAGAGAAUUUGGAGCCAACAUCAAUGGCUUCUUUCAAGUGGCCUUCCAUGGCAGCACAACUGACUCUGCCUAUGGUAAACAAAAAAUUCAGAGAACCAGCUCUGAUACCAUGAAGAAAUUUAAGACAGUGUUUUACAGAAAGAAAACUUCAAUCGCAUUGUUGUUCUGUUGUUCUAUACAUGUAUAUAUAGCAGGAAAUUAUGUGGCAAGGAAAGACAAUCUUGCACAUAAUUUCUCCAAGAAUCUCGCUAGGAUUUCAGACUACUAAUAACAGAGCAUAAAAUCAUGUCUAAUCUAGGUAAUAAAUAAAUUACAUUAGGGAAUAUUAUAAUACUGGAAUAUCUGCAAGAUCUCAGUAUCAAUAGUUGCAGCUGGAAUAUCUUCUUCAAUAUCUGUUGUAUUUUCUGCAGUAUCUUCAAUAGUUUCUUUCCAGCGAAAUUGAAACCGUAUAUCAUCAAUAACAUAUGAUUCAUAGUAGAACAGAAUUGCAUCUACAACUUCCUCCCUGCUUGUCGCCGGGCUUUUAGUGGGAGCUUCCUCCUUACUUAUGAUGCUAUCCAAGUCUCGCAAGGAAUGUAGGUAUCCCUCAUCACCGAUUCCUUGGGAUAGCAUAUCUGGUCUCAUUACCGAAAGAUACAUCAUGUAUUCAGAUAGGCAUCUGCUUGUUUCAUACUCUGAGGGGACAUUGUUUGCAUCUUUAUCAACACAGUAACAGAUCUCUGUUGCGAGAUGCCAGACAAGAAUGCUUCGACUGAAUUCCACUUCAGUUGUGCUCCACUUCAAGUCCUGUAACAGUCCCUCUCUUUCCAGCACACCAUCUCCUCUCUGACCAAUUAUUUUUAUUCUGAAAUUCUUAUCAAUGAAAUUGAAAUAUUCCUUAAUCUUCAGAGAGUUCUUUUGGAGGUGUCCGAAAAUAAAAUCCUGUAGUCCACCAUUCAUAUCUUUACGAUUCACAUUCAUCUGCCUCAUCAUUUCAUCGAUCCCCAGAAAUUCCAAGCAUUUAGGUGGCUUGCUUUCAAUGGAAGAGCUUAUCAGGUUAUGCUGUGCUAUAGAUCUCGACCACCUCUCGCUUCUAGUUAACUUCCUUAUCAGAGAAUAAAGAGCACUAGUCAGGGCGUUCCGUCCUUCAUCAGUCAACCAGAUCAUUGUCCAGUCAGAGAAAACAAGGCAUAAAAAAGCAUAAAACUCGAGAAAAAUAGCGGCCACAAACAAUAAAUACGUAAUUGUAAAGUCGAUCGUUGAGUAGGCAUGCUUCUCAAUCUUGCCUUGGAAGGUAAUAAACGCAGUGAAAGUGAGCAGAAAGCUGAUAGAGCGAAGAAUGAUUCCGGCACGGGAGUAAAUCAGGGGCGCUUUAGUAUAAAGCAUAUCAUAUAUUAAUCCAAGCUCAACCUCUACCACCUUGAAGGCACCGCCAGCGGAAUAUUUGGACAUAAGCAACUGGCUGAGCAUUAGAUCCACAAGGCUAGGGACAAGAUCCUGCAUCAUAGACCUGGAUAUAUAAGAAAAAAUAUAAGCUUGACGAAGAUAGUUUCCCUGCAGAGCUCGUAGACCAAUUUCUUUUAUUCUCUUCAGAUGAUAAGAACGCCAAAAAUCAAAGAGAUUAGAGUUUUUCAAACUCUUGGAGCAUGAAGACCAGAGCACCCAAGUCCUCUCUGCGUACUUUACAAUGCCAACAAUGAACAUUGGAAUCGCUAUGAAUGCGAGGAUACCGCUAGGCCAAGACCUUGAGAAGACAUAAAAAGCCACUCCGACUUGGACUACAAGACCAAGUGCCUUAACCACAACUCGUUAUCUUCAAUGGAGUAUGCAGUGAUUGUGUAAUGUUUUGAAUUAAAAGAGUUAGGAAAAGGCUACAAAGCUCUUGGUGGCUUAGAGAGAGAGUAUAAAUAAAUAAGGGUAUUGUAGUAAUUAGAUAAACAUAAUAAAUAUAAAUAAAAAGGAAAAAAAGAAGAAGAAGAGAUCUGAAUAUUUUGAGAGUAAACCGUGAGAGAGAAGGGAGAAGGGAGAAAGAAGAAGAAGAAGAGAAGAGGGAAAUUAGAAAGGAAAUAGAAAGGAGUUGGAGGAAAUAAGUAAAAAGGUAAGAUUAUGUAUAAAUAUGUAUUAAUUAAGCUUUAAUUUCGGUUUUGAUAAAUGUUAGGGUUAUGAAGUUUGUGUUUUGGGUUUGAUUGAUGAUUUAAUUUGAAUGUUAUAGAGUUAAUUGUUGUGGGUAUUUGAUUAUUUGGAUGAUUUUGAGAGAUUGAAUUGAAAGAUGAUGAUUUUGAGUUAUGAUUUUGUUUGAAUGGUGAAAUUGUGUUAGAAAUUUGGAGAGAACAGUAGGUUUCUGUUAAAAUUCUGGGUUGGAGGUUGAAGAUGACGAAAAUUCAAUUUGGUCCCUCAAUUUGUGGAAAUUACAGUUUAGUCCCCAAACUUUGGAAAAUUACAGAUUGGUCCCUGGAGCCUAUUCUGAGAUUCUGAACAGAAUAAAAUAUGAAUUAUGGGCAGAAUUACUGUAUAGUUAUGAAAUUUUAACACUUUCAAUUUGGUCCUCCAAUUUGACAAAAAUUACCAUUUGACCCUAAAAAUUUGGUAAAAUUCCAGAAUGGUCUCUGGAGCAUAAUGAGAUAUUCUGGACAGAAUUGAGGAUUAAUUAUGGUCAGAAUUUCAGUAUAUUCAUGGAUUUAUGACAAAUUUUAGUUUGGUCCUCCAUUUGACAAAAAUUACCAUUUGACCCUAAAAAUUAGUAAAAAUUCCAGAAUGGUCCCUGGAGCAUAAUUAGAGGUUCUGAACAGAAAUGAGGAUGAAUUAUGGACAUAAUUCCAUUAUAGUCAUGAAUUUAUGAUAUGUUUAGUUUGGUCCUCCAAUUAGACGAAAAUUACAAUUUGGCCCUAAAAAUAUGAUAAAUUCCAUAUUAGUCCCUAGCUGUAAUAUUAUCUUUUGCAGAUUGGUUUGAUGAAUAAAUGAGGGCUUUUUAGUGAAUUAUUAUCAAGUUUUAUUAUGGAUUAGAUUUCGGGAAAACCGUUAGAUUUUGAGUUUUUGGGAAAAUAACUAGUUUAGUCUAAAAACAUAUAGGGUUAUGGAAUAUACCCUUAGAUAAGUGUAUUAAAUAGGUUAUAUGUUCUUUUGAGUCAUUCCUGAAUAUGUCUCCUUUGUAUUCAGAUAAUCCUGAUAUUCUACCGGCGGGACAUUAGUAGGAUUUCCUUCGGUAUCAGCUUUUGAGUGCUAUUUGCUUUGAGUCAGGUGAGUGGAUAAUUUUCCAUAUGCAUGAGAAAUAUUAUAAAUAUUUGAUUUGUUAAUAUGAAUUGGAUCAUGCUUAUUGAUAAUAUAUAUGUUGACUAUUAUCGUUGUUAUGAUAAAGCAUGAUCAUUUGUUGAAUCUGAAUUCUUGAUAUGAACUCGUAUAUAUUUUGAAUUGACUUCUAAAUUGAUAGCUCCUCAUUUGAUUGAUGUCAUGAGUUGAGCCUUGAGAUAUGAAUAUGUCUGUUUGAUUAUAAUUAUGAACCUAUGGUAUGUCAGUCAGAAUACCCAUGCUAACAGGGUAGUGUUAGUCUUUGUGCACAUCGUAUCUGAACCCUAGUUAGUCGGGGGAGUCACCAACUUGUGUGGACUGAUCAUCCCACAGUACGGAGCCUCAUGCUUAUUGCAUUUUGAUUUUCUGACGAGUUUUACCAUAUGAUCUUCUUGUUAUGGCCAAUUUGAGAACGCUUCCAUAAGAACCUAAAGCCAAUUGUAUAUAUAUUUCUCAUUGCUGUAUUAUCUCGUGUGUGUAUAUUGAACGUUAUCUACUCACUGAGUUGUUGAACUCACCCUCUCAUUAUUUAUCCUUUUCAGGCUUAUAGCUUGAUAGCUUGAACCUUCCGAACCUGCUUUUUGGUUGAAAUUUGUACAUUUUCCUUUAUGUCUAGUCAGUGCUCCAAAACUAUGAAAUUAUAUUAACUCUUGUAUUAAGACAAUUCAAUUAUAUUAUGAAGUUGAUUUUGUUAUUAAUGUUGCGUUGAACUCUGAUUGAGUUAGGAUAAGUUUGUAUGUAAGUUUGGGUUCGCAUGGGUAUGGAACCUUGGAGGGGAACCUUGCCUAUGUGCCGGUCAUGGAUCCAGAAAUCAGGUCGUGACAGAUUGUGUCCGGGCCACCAAGGUGCAGGAGUAGAAAAGGUGCCCAAAAUGCCUGGAUGGAAUUGUUUGCUUUCUCUUCACCUGAUAAAUCUCCUUGGCUCCUGGCUAGAUUACCCAGGGCAACAGAUGCCACCAUGUCUGCUGAUAGGUAUGCAGACCAAACGAGAAUCCUGAUCCAGUUUCUGGCAAUGAUCUUACGUCGAGAACCAAAUACGAUGAGGAUGGUUUGUAGUAAGAGACUAAGCAAAACCAAUCCUCGAAUCUCCCAAUUGUUCCACAAAUUUAAGACUUCUUCAGGCAAUUGCUUAAGCAUUGUAUCUUUUCCUCAGCAGUGGAAACUAGUUUCUCUCGAUGAACCCUGAAGAAACUGUUCUGUAAGACGAAAAGUGAAAGUGGAUAUCUUUAAAAAAACAUCUGAAAACGGAUAGUCAUGGCCAGCUUUUGCAAACCAUAGUUACAUAUACAAGUAAGAAUUUGGUACAAGUCCACGGGACAUGAUGCCUUUAACUAGUGUGUGUGUGUGUGUAUUAAUGGUAUUAAUUAUAACUAAAUGGUAUUAAUACAUUUAUAACUAAAUGGUAUUAAUACACACACACACAUACAAGUCAAUGAGGCAUCAUGUCCCGUGGCUUGAAUACGAAGGAAUGAAGAGACGCUAAACAGUAAUAAAGAGACUUUACAGUUGUCGCCUUCACUCCUUUUCUUUUCUGGAUAGACAUUAGACAGAGCUUUUUGGACUCUUAAAAGAAGGAAUUCUGAAUAUCAAUAUCAUGUUUUAGCGCUAAACUCCCCAAAGUUUUGAAUAUGUGACUACCUUGAUUUAUUAAUUAAGUAAACCAGAUUUACUGUGCCCAAGUGUUUUUUUUUUUUUUAAUUCUGCCCUUUAAGAACCUAAUUUAAAGCUAAUUUAGCUAAAAAUGUUUAGAAAAGACAAAAUUAAAAACAAUUGAUUAAAGUGGCACGGAAUUUACUGUGUCUAAGAUUUUUUUUUUCAUUUUUUUUAAAUUCUUCGGACCUAAUUUAAAAUUAAUUUAGCUAAAAUUGUUAAGAAAAAAGAAAAUUAAAAAAAUGGAUUAAAGUGAAACACGAGGAGGAGAUGGGUGGUGUUUUUGAAAUUUGUAUGAAAUAUUCAACUUAGUCCUUAUUCUUUAUGAAUUAUAAUAAUUGGGACCCUAUAAUUUUUUAUGUUUUAUUUUUUAAAUCAAUUUUGGUCUAAAAUUUUCUUUUUCUUAUUUAUUAGUUUCUAGAUUAAAAAUGAGAGAGAAAGUUGCCAAAUUUCAGUAAUAGAGAGAAAAACAAUUAUCAUUUAUACAUAUUCUAACCAUUAAAAUAAUAGAUCUUGGUCCUAAAUAGUUCUAUCUGGUGAGGAAAAUUCACCUUAGGUGUUUUUUUUACCUUGAAAUUACCUAAGAAAUAAAUCUAAGCUUGAAAUUUGUUUUUGGUUUUGAGUUGAUUUUAGAUUUUGGGAUGGUUUUUUGGGUUUUUUUAAGUCACCGAUUGGUUUUUUAAGGUUCUGAUGUUUUCAAGAUUUUUUAGGUACAAAAUGGAUUGAAAAAAGAUUUUUAGGUCAAAAAAUUCAAUUAUGAUUUUCUGGCCAAUAUAAUAGCCGGAAUCUAAGCAAAAUCAGACGACGUGUUGUCUACCUUUAUAUUUUCAAGUGCACGAGCCUACCUUUGCAAGCCCACAAACAAGCCUUUAUUAAAUGGGUCACUCUUGUGAGGCCCAACAAUACCUUGUCUUUUCCUUUCUUAUUUUCUUUUAUCCUUAAAAAUUUUUAAUAUUUGCUUGAUUUUGAAUAUGUACUGACACGAUCAAAGAGUUGAUGUUUUAUCCCAAGUGUAGGAGUGUCAAGGUAAUAAAUAACCCGGCAAGCCGUUGUUGAACCACAUGGAGGUCAAUUAUAUAAAUAAUAUAUAUUUUAUUUAAAAAUUAAAAAGAUCUUUAAGACGUGAGAUUAAUGUGAGGAUUAAACAAUUAUAAAAACAGAUGUCAAGGUUAAAGGAUCCACUAAUGGUAUUAAAAAUAAGUAAAAUAUAAACUUAUUAUAAAUUAUUAACAUGAUCAUAUUAAUUAUCUUAUUUUUGAAACACCAUACUUAUAAAUAUCAUCAAGCAUUCAUGUUGCUUUACUUGAGGCUUAUAUGGUCGUUAAUUUCAGGGCCCGUGAGAUUAGUCGAGAUGAGCACAAGUUAACACGGAUAUCUAUGUUAAUAACAAAACACUUUAUUUGAAAAUAUUAUGAAAAAUACAGAAACUUCAAUUUCUCAGUAGCUAGGCCUCUAGAUAAUAAUUUAUUUUAAAGAGAUAGAACUAAUAAAGUGUUGGACAGUAAUGAAAAACAGGGUGAAAGUGUCAUUCUUCUACCCCUGUACCUAGAUUUAUCACUGCAUUAAUUUUGUCAAGAGGAUUAUCUAAUCCAUCUACGAAUGUGUAAACUCUAUAUUAUAUAUUACAGCGAUAGCAUCCCAUUCAGCUUUCACCGUUAUAAAUAUGAUGCAGCUACUUUAGAUCCAUUGAAUCAAUAGCCAUCCCUAUAAUCUCUCAAAAUAAAUAAAUAAAAAUAAAUUAGGGCCCUCUUGAGAAUUUAUAUGAGAAGAUCUGCAUGUUAUAUAUCUGGUGGACGUACGGUUGUCUACAAGUGAGGGUCCUGUUUUCUAACCUUUUUAUUAGAAAUGGGCCUUAAUAUCAAGGAUACAGCUCUAGCUCAAUACUUUUUUUUUUAUGUAGGUAUUUGAGUGUGUGUACCUCGACUAAUCUCAUAGGCUCUGAAGUUAACGAUCAUGUAAAUCUCCAGUAGCUUUAAAAUUUAUAAGACUUGAAUUAAUAAUUUUUAAAAUAUAAGUCUAGAAUCUGACAAGUUAAACUACACCCUUCAAAAUUAGUUAUAGCAUACUUGAGAUUGAUUGUGCUGGAUUACGGGUACUCUCUUUGGGCUUUCGUGCCACCCACGGGUCAGGUCUUCUUAUGGCCGUUCGAGUUAAUAGCAGUAACAAAUGGGUGGGUUUUUUUUAGGUAAGCAAUAAUAAUAAUAAUAAUCUAUGAUUAGAAACUUAAAUUUUAUUGUUAUUAUAUAUAUAUAUUAUUUUAGAAGUAUAAAAUUUCAUUUUGAAAUUAUAUUAGAGUCAUUUUACUUUUUUGUUUCUUGUCAUUUCUAAUCUAGAAUAUUAAUCAAAUACAAUCCUAGUUUUAUUUUAAAAAAAAUAAAAAGGCAUUCUCUAUAUUAGUGCAUUAGCACAUUAGAAGGAAUGAAAUUAUUUUGAAAGUAAAUCUCAAAAUUAAUGGUCUCUUACAAAUAAUAAAAAAAACAAUUUCUAAUUACUUUUAGAAAAAAAAUUCUAUAAUUUUUGCCUCAUAAUUUAAAGACUUGACAAAUCAUUCGUGCAUUAUUCAAAGACUUGUGUUGUGCUGUGAUGUGUAGAAGUAAAACGAUAGUGAAAGAAAAUCGGUAUCAUACCUUAACGGGACUCGACCCUAACAUGUCUGCAAUACCUUUCAAAUAUUUAUCUCCAGAAUUGUGGUGAAACAUCAUUCAAUUUAUUGUCAGAAAUUCAAGUAGUCAUCAGUUAAUAAAAGCAUUAACUGUCUAAUAUUCAGCAUUUAUUUCAAUUUUUUAAUAGACACGAAAGCAUCAAUAUUGACUAGACUCGUUAACAAUCUGAGGAUCAUAAAUAAUAACGAAUAUUUGAGCUAUAAUUAAUAUCAUAAGAACACUUUUGGUGUAGUGCCCUUCUACUUACUAUAAAGAAAGAUUGCGACACCUCGUCUAAUUACAGAAUAAUACAUGGUAUUUAGCAAGCUAUUCAGAUUGUGUCAUUUUUUCAAUACAAGUUUUUCAAUGCAUGCAUGCAAAAUGAAGCCCAACAGUAUUUUUGUCAGUAGGAACUUGUAUAAGUUAAUUCACUUAAAUAAUUAUGGACACAACAUAACAAAAUUUAGUACUCUUAUUCCAUGCUUAAACUGAUCUCAUUAUUUGAUGGUGGUUGACCAGUCCCUUGACCAUCUGUUUGUGCUGGCAAACUUCUUGGAAGUGAAUCAAUUCCUUGCUGUGGAGCUGAUACAGUUAAAGAAGAUCUCAGUUGCUCAAGCUCUUGAUUUUUACGCUCAAGCUGUCGCUGAAGCUUUCGCUCUUCACGCUCAAGCUUUCGCUCUUCACGCUCAAGCUUUCGCUGUUGAUGCUCAUGCUCUUGCUUUACACGCUCAAGCUUUCGCUUUGUAUCUGCCACAAUCUUUUCAAGUUUUUUCAACUCCUUCAAAAUAGCAAAAUUGUUAACUCGACAUGAGUAAUUAACAAAUAUUUGAUUAAUCUAUACAAAUUAUUCUUAUUUAAAAAUAGAAAUUAGGAGUCUCAUGAAUUUCAAUUUAAUUUCUUGUUUCAAUAAAUAUAAAGGAGGUAAUUUGACUAAUUUCCAGAUACUAAUUGAUUAAAAUUUGCUAUCAAAUUAAGUACAAUCUUGCUUUCAAUGCAUGCAUGCUGUUCGAAGUACGUAAAUUAAGUGCAAUCUUAAUUAAGGGGUGUUUGUGAGUAUUAUAAUAAUUGUUUUUUAAAGUACUGUUUGGAAAUAUAUUAAAAUAAUAAUUUUUUAUUUUUUAAAAAUUAUUUUUGACAUCAGCAUAUUAAAAUGAUUUAGAAAUACAAAAUAAAUUAAUUUAAAAUAAAUAAAAAAUAAAAAUAAAUUCAAUUUUUAAAAAAAUAAUUUUUAAAUCACAAAAAUAAACAAGAUUUAAAUAAAAGAAUGUGUGGUGUAAAAACUUGUGCAACACUAGAUAAAGAAAAUGUACGUAAGGUAUUUCUGAAAAUAAAACAACACAACAUGAAUAUCAAAAAUAGCUUAUAAUAUUAAGAUUAUUAGUUAGACAGACUAUUAAAAACCAUGGACCAUGAAUUUAGCGGAAGAGAAAGAGUGGAAAAUUAACAUGUCUUAAAUUUGUCUUUUCCUUUGAAAAAAAAACAGAGAGAAAACCUCGUAGGAUAAUAUUAAAAAAAUAUACUAAAAAGUUACUCUUUUAUCUUUAUUAAAAAAAUAUUAUGUUUGCAAUUAGAGGUACAUACAAUUAUCUUUACCGAAAGAUGCAUUAGUCAUUAUAAAAUUUAUUUAGGACAAAAUGGUCCAAAUAUGUUUUUUUUGCUACGUGUCAUAAUUGAUUUGCACUUGGAAACAGGAAAAAUUAGGCUUUCGGCAAGGGGCUCUCUUAUCUUUUGCAAAAACAAAAACAAGGUUUUAAAGAAUUGAGAUGGAAGUGGAACAUACCUCAUCGGGGCUCGAUCCUGACAUGGCUGCAAUACCUUCCACAUAUUCUUCUUCCUCCUCCUCCUUGUGAUAUUAAUUGAAUUUAUUAUCAGAUAUUCAAGUAGUCAUCCAUUAAUAAAAGCAAAUAUCUAAUAUUAAUUAUUUAUUUCAAUUUUUUUUUAGACGCAAAGGCAUUAAUAUUACAAAAUAAAAUAUUAAAAAGACACCAGUGAUUUAUUGCGCUUCUAGACAUAUUGUUUUUACUAUUUUACCUUUAUUAAAAUAAUGGUAGUGCUUGCAAUUAGAGGUACAAUUACCUUUACCAAAGAAUGCGUUAGUCAUUAUAAUAUUUAUCAAGGAUAAAAUGAUCUGGAUAUAUUUCUUUUACUACAGUGUAACAACUUAUUUGUACUUAAAAGCAAGAAAAACUAGGCUUCUGGCGAGGGCUCUUUUGUCUUUUGCAAAAACAAAAACGGUGUGUUUACAUUCAUACCCUUUGACCCUAAAAAAAUUAAGACUAUUAGUGAGGAUGUUUUUGUCCUUUUGAUAUGGUUUUGUUGUAAUUCUCAAGUGGUGUCAAGGGUAUUUGAGUAUUUUAAUAUGCAUAAAUUAUUAUUAAAAUUUGAAGAUGGCUAGCACGUGUUUCGGACAAGCCAACAAGUUCGCACCUCUGGCCUCUUUUUGUGUGGUGCAUGCGACGCUCAAAUUGCACCGAAUGUUGCCUUUCAAGGAGGUGUUUGUUGCACCUCACCACCCUUAUCACAAUGGUGAGGCGCGUGUUCACGAUCGUGACACGGAAGAGCAUUGGACGCGAGUUUUUCCCUUCCUCUCUCUCUCCUCCUAGAAAACUGUGUUGGCCAUCGCAAAAAAAACAAGAAAGCAUGACUAUUUGUUUGUUAAGUUAAAUUAGGUCCUUAUUUUUUUUAUUGCAAUGUAUUUGGUCUUGAAUUAUUUAUUGAGUUAAUUUAUUUUUUUCAAUUUCAUCUCUUGACACUUGAUUUUUAUAUAUGAUUUGGUUUUCAUUCUUUUAAUUGAAAUGUAUUUGGUCUUGAAUCAUUUAUUGAGUUAUUUUUUUAUUUCAUACCUUUACCCUUGAUUUUUUAUAUUAGAUUUUAUUUUCAUUCUUUUAAUUAUGGUGUGUUUGGUCUUGAAUCCUUGAUUAAAUUAAUUUGUCUUUGAAUUCCAUCCCUUGAUUUUUUUUUUGUAUCAAAUAUGAUCCUCACUCUUUUUAUUGUUAAUUUUAGUUGUUCUUAUCCUUUUCUUUAUUGAAAUUGUUUCUCAAUUUCAUCCCUUAUAAUUGUUUUUUAUUUUUUGUGUCAAAUUUGGUUCUCUUUCUUUUCAAGUCUAUAUUUUUUAAACCACUUCUUUUUUUAAUUUGUUUUUUAAGUUUAUCUCUAAUUAUUUUGAUUGGUUGGGAAUUUUGCAUUGUUAUUUUUUCAGAUUUGCUUUUUAUGUUGGAAUCUGACCUCAUAUUCCAUAUCACCAGUUCUUAUAGUUAAAUCGAGUUGGCUUCAGUCAUUUAAAAAAGAAUAAAAAUUGCAUCCAUCAUCAUUAAGUUCGUUGGAAAUUGGUUUUCUUUUAUUUUUUAUUCUCUUUGUGAAUAUGAUUUUUCAUUUUAAUUUUUCUAUUCAAUUCAAUAUUUGAUUAUAUUUGAGAUUUGACCACCAAUGUUUUGAUUUUUAAUCUUUUAUCCUUCACUUUUUUUAACAAGUUUUAAUUUUUAUUCAAUUUCAUCUGUAUAUCCAUAAUUUUGAUUUUUUUUUAAGAUUUGGUCCUCAUUCUCUUGGUUUUUAUUUUGGAUUCAUUUGUUAAAUUUUUUUUUUCAAUUUUGCCAUUCAAUUUAGAAUUUUUGUUUAUCCUUUUAGUUUUUUUCUUUUCAAAUGAGGUCCGUACUCUCUCAAAUGCUUUUCUAAUCUUUUAAAUUUUUUAUUUCAUCAUUCAAUAUUUUAUUUAUAGGGAUUUGGUCUCCUUGGUUUUUUCUAUUUUUUAUGCCCUACCCAGGAGUAAAUCUGGGACAAUUAUCGGGUUACAGGUCGAGUGGGUUGACUUAAGUGAAACCAAGUCAACCAAAUCUUUUUUGUGGUAUAAAAAAUUCAAAAUGAUACCAUAAAAAAAAUAGUCAAUAAGUUUUGACCCUAUUUUGAUUGGAUUUUCCAUGAGUUAACCAAAACAUGGUUCAACCUAGGUUUUUGGUUGUCUUACAGUUGAUUAAUGUUCCAUAGGUUUAUUUUGAUGAUCGUUAUUUUUUUAUUUUCCUUUUCAAUUAGGUUUUUCCUAUCUCAUGAUCCACGUAGAAGGUUUAUUCAGGUGACUCAGGUUUUUUUUAAUGUUGUUUUUCAUCCUUUUUUAUUGUGUCCUUCAAAAUUUAAUUAUUUUUACAACAAAACUUUUUUUUUCUAUUUUUCUUUAUAUUGAUUUAUCAUAUUCAUUUGGUUCUACUCGUGGGUUUUGACAACCAAACUUGGUUUUGCUAAUGCUUUGUUUUUUAAUAUUUUUUCAUUUAAUUUUUUUUAAUUUUAUUCUUCUAUAUUUUUAUUCUAGAGAAUUGAUAAUCAUUAUUAUUUUUAGCUCUUUUUCAAAGGUGUCGAGUCUUGGAUUUUUUGGUUCUUUAAAAUCUAAUAACAACACUUGAAUAUUGUUUUUUUAUACUACAGAAAAGAUCAGCCCGACCUACAACAAAGCGCCGGCCCACAGCGAAGCGUGUGCCUUCUGUCUGGUUUGUUACUAAAAAAAGUUCAUUUUAUCAAGUAUAAAAAAUAAACAAGGCUGGACACGAUAAUUGUACUGACUUGUAAAAGUUCUACCUUCCAUUAUUUGAAAGGAGAUACGUAUGGGUGUACUUUUUUUUUCAUGGUAGGUAAUACAAUGAAUAUAAAGAUAGGUAGAGUACUAUAUGUCUGACCUAUAUAUAUAUUGGAUUUCCAUUUUUUAAUUUACAUGUAUAUUUAAUUAUUAUAUAUAUAUUAUUUAAGAAUAAUUUUGUGAGAUAAUUAGUGUAAAGUAUUUUGAUUUUUUUAUGGACAACAGACUUUUUUUAAUGAAAAUGUACCAUGCAAAGAAUUGUAUCCAAUAAAGAUAAGUAUGGAAAACUAAAAAUUAGCUUCGAUUGAUGUUAAAGCAAGUAUAGAAUUUAGAAGCAAUCCUGAAAGGGAGAGUUAAUAAAUCUUUAUUGCCAUCCCCAAGCACGGUGCCUCUAAUUAAUGCUAUGCUUAUACUCAUAUAGCUUAAACGUUUUCAAUAUUAUCCCUCUAGUUUUUAAAAUUACCAAUGUUACCCUAAUCGUUAAAAAGCUUACUGUUUAAAAUUGGUUUUUGAAUAUUUUUUUCUUGGAAAUGUUUUUAAGUGUUUUUAUACAAAUAUGGGUAUAUGAGAGGAAGUAAAAGAGAAAUGUAAGGAAAAUUGAAAGUUUUGAUAGUUAUUUAUAAAAAAAUGAAAAAAAAUGGAAACUAUUUAAAAAAACUAUACGGUAAAUUCAAAGGUUUUGAAGUAUCGAGAUGGAAGUGAAACAUACCUCCUCGAAACUCAACCCUGACAUGUCUGCAGUAUCUCUCAAAUAUUUUGCUUUAGCUAUGAGAUAUUCUUCUUGCUCCCCCUUUAUUGUUAUCAGUUAAUAAAAGCAAAUAUCUAAUAUUAAUCAUUUAUUCCAAAUUCUUCUUAGACACUAAGGCAUCAAUAAAAGCAAAUAUCUAAUAUUAACCAUCAUCCAACCGUUUUAAAUCACUUUAUUAAUAAAAUGAAGAAAACGAAAUGAAAACAUUGAAAUGGAAAUAAUCUGAUUUGUUAUUUUAUUCUGGCGCCUCAACAAAUGUUGCCGGAAACAUAUAAUUACUAUUACUUAUGAAUUUCCAAAAUAAUGAAUUAAACAAAUAUAUAUAAAUUGAAAUAAUCUGAUUUGUUAUUUUAUUCUGACGCCUAAAAAAAUGCAGUAUCUAUCUACGUACUUGAGAAGGAUUUUUGGUAUACUUACCCCUCUCAAUUCAAGAUAAUAUUCUGAUUCAUUCUCUUCGUACUGUGCGCUCAAGCCAAGAUGUAGCAUGAGAAGGGAGACAUGAGUGAGUAACUCUCCACCUCUUCUCAGUUCUUUAGUAUGUUCUUUCCAUGGACAGUGAGCUGCUGCAUAAGCAACCAUUUCUACCCAAACUUCAUGUAUCAUCUCCCAUCGCUUCUCAGGUCCCAAUAAAAGCAAUUGCCUGGUGAGCACAUCCACACCACGUGCCACUGAGUUCUCUCUUUUCCAGUGAAAUUGAAACCGUCUAUCAUCAUAACCACGUGAUUCACUGUUGCGCAAUUCUCGCAAGGUACGUUGAUUUUUCUUAUCACGAGGACCACGAUCUUUUAGACGCCGCAAGUCUCGCAAGGUUGCUUGGCAUCUGCUUGUUUCAUAUUCUUUAGAGGCACUAUAACAAAAAUCUGGUCUUAUCACCGAAUCCUUUAGAGAGCAUAUUUGGUCUUAUCACCAAAAGAUACAUCAUGUAUUCAGAUAGACAUCUGCUUGCUUCAUAUUCUUUGGAGGCACUAUAACAAAAAUCUGUUGCGAGAUGCCAGACAAGAAUGCUCCGACUGAAUUCUACUUCAGUCGUGCACCACUUGUAGUCCCGUAACAGUCCCUCUCUUUCUAGCACACCAUCUCCCCUCUGACCUAUUAUUUUACUUCUGACAUUCUUAUCAAAGACAUUCAAAUCUUCCUUAAUCUUCUCAGCUUUCUUUCGAAGAUGUUCGAAAAUAAGACCUUGCAGUUCUCCAUUCAAAUCUUUCCGAUACACAUGCAUCUGCCUCAUCAUUUCAUCGAUUCCCAGCAAUUUCAAGCAUCUAGGUGGCUCUCUUUCAAUGGAAGAGCUUAUCAGGUUAUACUGUGAUAUGGAUCUCGCCCACCUCUGGCUUCUAGUUAACUUCCUUAUCAGAAAAUAAAGAGCACCAGUCAGGGCGUUCCCUCCUUUAUCAGUCAACAAAAUCAUUGUCCAGUCAGACAAAACAAGGCAUAAAAAAGCAUAAAACUCGAGAAAAACAGCGGCCGCAAACAAUAAAUACGUAAUUGCAAUGUCGGUCGUUGAGUAGUCAUGCUUGUCAAUCUUGACCUGGAAGGUAAUAAACGCAGUAACAGAGAGCAGAGAGCUGAUACAGCGAAGAAUGAUUCCGGCACGGGAGUAAAUCAGAGGCGCUUUAGUAUAAAGCAUAUCAUAUAUCAAUCCAAGCUCAGCCUCUACCACCUUGAAGGCACCGUCUGCUUCAUUCUUGGAAAUCAGCUCCCUGCUUCUUAUUAGUGAAGGAAUGCCAGGGACAAGAUCCUGCAUCACCAACUUGGAUAUAUAUGAAAAAACAUAAGCUUGAAGAAGAUAAUCUCGCUGGAGGUCUUGUGGAGGAGUUCUCAUAAGAUAAUAAGAAUCCCCAAAAUCUGAGAGAGAACAGUUUUUCAAACUCUUGGAGCAUGAAGACCAGAGCACCCAAGUCCUCUCUGCAUACUUUGCAAUGCCAACAACGAACAUUGGGAUCGCUAUGAAUGUGAGGAUACCGCUACCCCAGGACCUUGAGAAGACAUAAAAGGCCACUCCGACUUGGACUACAAGACCAAGUAAGUGCCUUAACCACAACUCGUUAUCUUCAAUCGAGUAUGCAGUGAUUGUGUCUGGGCCACCAAGGUGCAGGAGUAGAAAAGGUGCCCAAAAUGCCUGGAUGGAAUUGUUUGCUUUCUCUGAACUGUCACCUGAUGAAUCUCCUUGCCUCCUGGCUAGAGUACCCAGUGCAACAGUUGCCACCAUGUCUGCUGAUAGGUAUGCAGACCAAACGAGAAUCCUGAUCCAGAUUCUGCCAGUGGUCUUUCGACGAGACCCAAAUAUGAUGAGGAUGGUUUGUAGUGAGAGACUAAGCAAAACCAUUCCUCGAAUCUCCCAGUUGUUCCAUACAUUUAAGACUUCUUCAGGCAAUUUUUUAAGCAUUGUCAUCUUUUCCCCAACUGUGGAAACUAGUUCUCUCGAUGACCCUUGAAAAAACAGUUUUGUAAGAUGAAAAGGUAAAUGUGGAUAUCUUUGAAAAAAUCCCUUAAAAUGAACAGCGAAAAUUAAAGACUCUUAUGAGAAAAGAAGAGGUGCAGAUGGAGGAAGACAGUGAACAAUUCUGAAGCCUUCGGCAAUUCUGAAACAAGCACAGCCACCACAAUUCUGAAGCUUCGGCAGCACGACCAGCGUUAAAACCCACCAAAAAUAGUGGCAAUAAGAGGUGCAUAUGGAGGAAGACAGUGAACAGCCACUGCCGUUACCCACAUCAGAUCACCGUCAUGAAGUCUUCCUCCCUCAGUGAUCGAUUAAAUGCGAUUUGGUUUCAUCAAAUUUGGGUUUCUUUUGAUUUAUGGGAGGUUCUUGAGAUGGGUUUAUGUUGGAUAAGUGGAUUUGAAGGAAUCUGGAGAGGGAGAGAGAGUACUUUACUAAAAUUUUCUUUUAACUAUGAAUUAUUGUUCAAAGGAACUUUCCUAACAAUAAACAUAAAAAAGUUCGGAUUCUCUAGCCGGAGAAAAACUUUUCAAUAAUUGUUGCCUCGGACUUGACAAAUAGUCAUGCAUUGCUGUUAAACAAAGACUUGUGCAGUAAAAAGGCAUUGACCAUAUAAAUAAUUGGCUUUGCACUGUUCCAUUCGACACUUUACUUGAGGAAAAGAAUAGCGAGAAAGGACAUUGGCAUCAUAUCUCAGUGGAACUUGACAGUGACAUGUUUGUAUUAUCUCUCAGAUAUCUAUCCAUGGCCUCACGAUAUUCUUCCUCCUCCUUUAUUUUUGUUGAAAAUUGCAGGCCCACACGCAAAGCCUUUAUUAAAUGGGCCAAGCGCUGGGACAAUACCUGGUCUUUUCCUUCUUUUUUUUUUUCUAAAUGUUGUUUUUUUUUAAUUAAUGUCUUUUCUUAAUAUAUGUUUUUUCAGAAUGAUUUUUAAAUUUAUAUUUAAAUUAAAACAUUUUCUCUUUUUUUUUCUUUAUUUAUAUUCAUUUAAAUAGCAAUUAUUUUUUAUUAUUUUGUAUGUAUUUAAUUUUUAAAGAGAUUAUUUUAAUUCAUAUAUAAUUGUUUUUAUGUUUUAAAUAACAAAUAUUUAUUUUUGGAUAAUAUUUCUAAUAUAUGUAACUUUCCAUAAUUUUUUUUAAUUUAAUCAAUUUUAUGUUUGCCUAUUUAUAUUAAUUUUUGAAUAAAUAAAAUUUUCAUUACCAUGUGUGAGUUUUUUUAUUUACACUUAUGAUUUUUUAUACAAAAAUACAUUGGAAAAGCUUUUGUAUAUAAUUUUUUUAAGGAAGAAAAAUUGAUCUAUGACGGAGCGCAUGUCAAAUAGAAUCAUAAAAUUUUCUAAGAUUUAUAGUGCCUUUUAAAAGGCUAGAAAACUAACCUAAAAUAUAAAAUAAUAUAAAUAAUGUGAAAAAAUAUCAAACCACAUCAAUCCAUCUAAUUUUCCUUUUUUGCUACUCUUUGUUUUGUUUAUUUUUUAGCCUUCGUCUUAUUUACUAUUUGUUUUUGUAUUUGAAAUUGUAUUUGAUUGUAUUUGACUUAAAAAUAUUAAAUUAAUAAUUUUUUAGUUUUUUUAAAUUAAUUUGAUAUGUUACUAUUAAACAUAAAAAAAUAUUUUAAUAUAUUCUUAAAUAAAAAAAUACUUAAUAAUAAAUUGCUAGCUACCUUUUUUUAUUUAAUUUAAUCUGUAUGUCGUUUUAUAUUUUAAAAAAAAAAGCAGCAGCAAAAGAAGAAGAAAGAAAAAGAAAGGUAUUAAUUUAAUGCAUAGCCUUUUUUUUUUCUUUUUUAUUCCUUGAUAUGACACAUUCUCAAGUAAUUUAUAUUUGUUGAUACCUUACCCAAAAAUAUUGUCAGUGAAAGUAGUCGGGUAACAAUUUAUAGCAUGUUGGUAUUAUAAUAAUAAUUAUUUUUUAUUUAAAAAUAUAUUAAAAUAAUAUUUUUUUAAAAAAAAAAUUAUUUUUGAUAUAACACAUUAAAAUAAUCUAAAAUUGUUAAAAAAUAUUAAUUUAAAAUAAAAAUAAUAAAAAAUCUGAAAAUACUUUUACAACAUAAAAACAAACUGACACUUAGGAAAGUGAUUUUUUUAUAUAAAAAAUUUCAUCCAAUACUAAUGAUUUCUUAGCAUGGGCAAUGGUAGGGGUUUAAAAAAAUAAAAAAAAAUAAUUAAAAAAACAAGCCGAAAAAAACAAUAUCAAAUUAACCAAUUAAAAAACUAAAAAAAAACCAGUAAGAUUCGUUUUAGUUUCAAAAUUUUAAAAUUAAUGAACAUGACCAGACCAAAAGGCUAACUAGGGGAUGAUAGUCUACCCAUCAUCUCGAACAAUUCAAAGCAAAGGUAAAUUAUAAAUACAAUUAAACACAAUCACUAACAGUAACAAGACAAGAAUUAACUCUGUUAGAAGAUGGUCAUCAAUGCAAAAUGAAUCCCAACAAUGUUGCUAGUAGGAACUUAUUUAAGUUAUUUCACUUAAAUAAUUAUAUAUGGACACAACAUAACAAAAGCUACUACUCUUUAUUACAUGCUUGCACUGAUCUCAUUAUUUAAAUUAAUCCCUUGAUCAUCAGUUUGUGCUGACAAACUUCUUGUAAGGGAAUCAAUUCCUUGUUGUGGAGUUGAUGCUGUUAAAGAACAUCGUAGUUGCUCAAGCUCCCGCUCUGUAUCUGUUACAAUCUUUUCAAGUUCUUUCAACCCCAUCAAAAUAGCAACAUUAUUAACUCGACAUGGGUAAUUAACAAAUAUUUGAUUAAUCAAUGCAAAUUAUUAUUAUUUAAAAAUCAAAAUUAGGAGUCUCAUGAAUUUCAAUUUAAUUUCUCGUUUCAAUAAAUAUAGAGGUAAUUUAACUAAUUUCCUAAUAUUAAUUGAUUAAAACUUGUUAUCAAAUUAAGUAAGGGGGUAUUUAGGGAUAUUUGAAAGUAUUAUAGUAGUUACUUUUAAAAAUAGAAACGUGUAGAGGUAAAUAAUGCAGGAAAUUUGGAGAACAAAAGGAAGCGUGGCUUUCACGGUCCCAACAAGAUGUUUCUAAUGGUGAUUUAUCGGUCACACAACUUGACUUAAAAUGAAUUUCUUUUUAUUGAGGUUUAAAAUCAACAUUGAAUGAAAUAUAUGAUGCUUAAAAAUAUUAUUUGAUAAAUUUUAUUUUUGUCUUUAAAGAUUAAUUAACAUUUUCUUCUAAUCUUAUAGUUUAAACUUUUCUAAUAUUAUCCCUCUAGUUUCUAAAAUUAGCAAUGUUAACUUGGCCAUUAAAAAGCUUACCAUUUACAUUUGGUUUUUGAGUUUUUUUUUUUUUGGGAAUGUUUUUAAGUGUUUUCUUAACAUAUUUUGAGAGGAAGUGAAAGAGAUUUGUAAAACAAAUACUUGUGCUGUGCUGUGUAAAAAUAAAAAAGAUAAGUGGCCAUAUAAAUAAUUGAUUCUGCACUGCUCCAUUAUACAAUUUACUUGAAGAAAAGGACAACGAGAAAGGAAAUCGGUAUCGUACCUCCAUUAAGCGAACAACAUAUCAUCCGUCCCAAUAUUUUUUUUUAAAAUAAGUGGCCAACUAAUAGCGACAUCCUUGAGGACAGCUCCCUUUGGUGCAGUUUUCCUGGGUGGCCUUUAUAGCAGCACCUGACUCUGUCGGAGUUUAUAAAAAUAUAUAUAAAAAAGAUCAGUCCUACCUUGUUAAUUCAAAUAGUUAUUAAUUCUUUUAGACAAUUACUUGACCCAUUCAUUUUCUCAUAAUCUCAAGCUCGUGGAGCAAUAGUUUCAUGGACCCAUCUCCUAGAAAAAACAAAAAAACGCUUGAGAGCAAUGGUCAUGGACCAUCUCACCAGCCUAUAUAUAUCGUGGAAAAAAUGCAGAUGAAAAUAGUCUCACAAACCCAUCUUGUACUGUAAAUUCCUAUCCAUUUUACUUGUUGACUGUGCUACAAAAAAUAAAUCGAUAAGAACUAUAGUAAGAAAAAAGAAGCUUACUUGUGGACCAUCCCACUGGCCUAUAUUGUGGACAAAAUACAGAUGGCAAGUUGGUAAUAGUCUCACAAACCUAUUUCACACUCCAAAUUCCUAUCCAUCUUACUUGUUAAUUGUGCUAAAAAAAAUAGACUGAUAAGAACUAUAGAAAGAAAAAAGAAGCUUACUUGUGGACCAUCCCACUAGCCUAUAUUGUGGACAAAAUACAGAUGGCAAGUUGGUAAUAAUCUCACAGACCUAUUUCACACUCCAAAUUCCUAUCCAUCUUACUUGUUAAUUGUGUUAUAAAAAAUAGACUGAUAAGAACUACAAAAAAAAAAAAAAAACUUAUUGUCAUAAGAAUGACAAGAAGUAUUUUAAAAAUAUUAUCAUUUGUUGUUCAUUUUAUCAAUGCUACUGUUUGAUUUUGCUAUCGCCAUCAAAAUUAAAGCAUAAUUUUCCACAUGUUAUUUCCAUAAAUAAAGUAGCAAGUCUUUCAUAUCCAUCAUUAUCAUGCAAAGUGAGCUUCCUAGCGAUAACCUUUUAUUCAUGAUUUUUUAAAUUAUUUUUAUGCAAUUCAAUUUUUUUUCUACCAUGCAGUUUUAAUCAGCAUUAUUCACCGACAAAUAAAUUAGAAGUGUACUGAAAUGCCCCUCGAAGGAAAACGUUAAUUCUAUCCCAUAGAAAUCUAUUAGGAAAUGAAAAUUACUCUAGUUUUCACAAGUUAAAAAUAGCAAAGAAUACUUGAAGGUGAGUAUAUUAAUGGGAAAAAAACCUUAAAAUAUAAAUUAUUAAAAAAUAAAUAUCCUUUAAUUGGAUACAAUAGGCGCCACAUUGUUGUGUUAUGCUUCAAGAAUAAAAAUCAUAGAAGAUGUUAAUUGCGAUGGGACCCGACUAGGAUGGAGACCCUAGCUAGGCAUCAUUAAUUAACAACUUUAAUCCCACCACAUAAGAAAUGACCAAAAUUCUUCUAACCUUGUGGCUAAGUUCUAUUCCGGGGUUCAACGUGCAUUGCAUUUAUGCGCCUAGAAUAGGGCAUGUCACUUUCAUUUAAAUAUUUGUCCAAUAUUUCUUUGGUUUGUGUAAUUCAAAUGAAAUAAUAUUUGUUGUCCAAGUCUACCUUUAUUUCCCUCCCACGAACGUGCAAGGAGUUCACGUGACCAGUCGAGUGCCAUAAAAAUAAAUAAAUGAAAAAGUCAAAGAAAAGGGAGGGGUGGGGGUGGGGGUGGGGUCAAUCACGUGAACCAGGCAUGGGAUGAUGGGGACUCCGAGCCUUUCGUUUAUAGCCUCCCUUUGGUAAUUUUAUUUGUGAUUUUCUUCCUUUAAUACAAUACGUGCGCGCGUACUGUCGUGGGCUUAUAAAACAAAUACAUUUAAUAAUGUUAUAAUUGUGAACCAGUAUUAGAUAAGUAAUAGAAAUUAAAGGUAUGAUAGAGCAAAUAUUUCAUGACGAAAAAAAAAAUUAUGUUGGUGAUCAAAAACUUAGAGACUGAACAAAAUGAUUUGUAGCAAUUUACCGUGUUUUGUGAGGAAAAAUACAGUGCUUUCACCACAUGAUUUACCUUUUCAGUUAAUAAAAAGAAAAAAAAUUACAAAGCUAAAUUCUCUACCAACUUAAUAUUAAAAAAAAACCAACAAAGAUAAUUUUGGAAGGAAAAAAACCCAUGAGAAAAAAUAUUGUAGCAAUUGACAAUGUUUUGUGAGGAAAACUAUAGUGCUUUUCCCAAUAAAAUAAAAUAAAAAACCAUUUAGAGAAAUAUUGUAGCAAUCCACAGUGUUUUGUGAGAAAAACUACAACGCUUUCCUCAUAUGAUUUAGUUUUACUGUAAUUAUAAUUCUUAACCAACUCAAUAUUAAAAAAAAUUUGACAAAGAUAAUUUUGGAAAAAAUCAUAAAAAAAAUCACAUGGGAAAACACUGCAACAAUUCACAGUGUUUUAAAGAAAAAAAAUUACAAAGCUAAAUUCUUAAUCAGCUCAAUAUUAAAAAAAAAUCAACAGAGAUAAUUUUAGAAAAAAAAUAAAAAAACAAACACCAAAAAAAGAAAAAAAAAUCAUGUUGGAAACACUGUAGCAAUUCACAGUGUUUUGUGAUGAAAGCUACAAUGCUUCCCUACAUGAUUUAGCCUUAUUUGUAAUUACUUGUAAUUAUAAUUUACAAACAACUCAAUAUUAAAAAAAUAAAAUUAAAAAAGAUAAUUUGAAAAAAAUUAUAACAAAAAACCAUGCGGAGAGACACUAUAGCAAUCCACAAUGUUUUAUGAGCAAAGCUACAACGUUUUCCCCACAUAAUUAAGCUUUAUUACAAAGUUAAAUUCUAACCAACUCAAUAUUAAAAAAAAUAAAAUUGACGAAGAUAAUUUUGAAAAAAAAUAUCACAAAAAAAGAAAACAAAAAAGAAACUGGAAGAAAACCAUGUGAGGAAAAACUGUAUCAAUCCAUAGUGUUUUGUGAGGAAAAACUUGUAUUUACUUGUAAUUGCAAUUCUUAACCAGCUUAACAUUUAAAAAAUAAAAUUGACAAAGAUAAUUUUAGGAAAAAACAUUAUAAAAACAGAAAAAAACCAUGUGGGAAAAAACAUGUAGCAAUCAACAGUAAUUUUCAAAAAAAGUUAUAGUGCUUUCCUAACAUAUUGUAACGGUAAUUUUUAACCAGCUCAAUAUUAAAAAAUAAAAUAAAAAAAGAUAAUUUUGGAGAAAAAAAAUCAUGCGGAGAAACACUGUAGCAAUCAACACUGUUUUAAAGAAAAAAAAUUACAAAACCAAAUUCUCAAUCAGCUCAAUAUUAAAAAAAAUCAAUAAAUAUAAUUUUGAAAAAUAAAGAAAUGAAAUAGAAAAACUAUGUGGAAAAACAUCGCAGCAAUUCACAGUAUUUUAAAGAAAAAAAAUUAAAAAGCAAAAAUUUUAACCAGGUCAAUAUUUAAAAGGUAAAAUCAACAAAAAUAAUUUUGGAAAAAAAAUAAAUGAAAAAAAAAGAAAAAAUAGGAAAGUUGAAAAAAAAAUUGAAAAAAAAACGAAAAAAAGAGAGAAAAGAAUCACUGUGGAUUACUGUUGUAAUCCACAGUGAAAUGUGUGGGGGGGAACAAUGAUUCCCCCACACCAUUUAGAGUAUACUAGUUACAUGACCCGCGCGAUGCUGCGGGUCAAUGAUUUUUGCAUAAAAAAUAUCAAAAAAAAGUUAAGAUUUAAAAGUAUUAGGUUUUUUUGCAAAGCUGCACCCAAGAGUCUUGGGUGUGGUUGCAACGCCUGACCCAAGAGUAAUAUUUAUAAUAUUAAUAAUAACAUUAAACUUGCAUGACCCAAAUUUCAGUGGAUCUGACUGCAAUACCAGACCCAAUAGUCUUGGAUGUGGGUCUUGCUGCAAGGUCGUGUCAUAAAAGUGUGUUAAUUAAAUAGAUUAAUUAAAAAGAAAAAAACAAAGAAAAAAAACCAAAAGGAAGAAAAAAAUUAAUGAAGAAAAAGAAAAAAAAUCUGAAUUAACUGAGUUAACCCUUCAAACCAGGUUAACCCGUCAAACCUUGGAUUUGUGUCGUGAAAGUUUGAUAACUAAAUAGAAAAAAAAUUGACAGGUUAACACAAAAUUAACGGGGCUAACCGGUCAAACCAGGUUAACCCGUCAAACCCGGAAUCCGUGUCAUGAAAGUUUGAUAACUAAAUUAAACAAAAAAAAUUAAUUAAAAAGGAAAAAAACAAACAAAAACGCAUCAGCCUUUUCACUGUGGACUCAGUAUGCAGUCUACAGUUAAAGAUAAAAAAACAACAAAAAAAGCAAAAAGAAAAAAAAACUAAAAACAUCAGUCGAUAAGUAAAUAGAAAAAAAUAUAAUAUUGACGAACUAAAUUCAAUAAAAAAAUAUUAAAUAAAAAGAAACAAUAAAAGAAAAAAAAACUUAUAAGAAGAAAAAAACUAAUGAAGAAAAAGAAAAAAAAUCUAAAUUAACUGGGUUAACCUGUCAAACCUGAGAUCCGUGUCAUGAAAGUAUGAUAACUAAAUAGAAAAAAAAUUUAAUAUCAACAAACUAAAUAAAAAAAUUAAUUAAAAAGAAAAAAAAGGAGGCAUCAGCUUUUUCACCGUGGCUGCACUGUGCAGUCCACUGUGAAAGGCAUAAAAAAAAGCAAAAAACAAAAACUAAAGGCUUCAGCCUUUUCACUGUGGACUGCAUAUAAUAUUAAAAGAUGAAAUCGGAAGAACAAAACUAAUGAGAAAAAAGAAAAAAAUCUGAAUCAACCGGGUUAACCCGCCAAAUUAGGUUAACCUGUUAAACCUGAAAUUUGUAUCAUGAAAGUGUGAUAACUAAAUAGAAAAAAGAUUUAUUAUUAAUUAAAUAAAUUAAAAAAAAGAUUAAUUAAAAAGGACAAACGCAAAGAGAAAAAAAAAACCUAAAGGAAGAAAAAAAACUAAUCAAGAAAAAGAAAACAAAUCUGAAUAAACUGGGUUAACCCGUCAAACCUGAAAUCCAAGUCAUGAAAGUCUGAUAAUUAAAUAGAAAAAAUUUAAUAUUAAGAAAACAAAAAAAUAAUUAAAAAAAAGGCAAAAAAAAAACUAAAGGCAUCAGCUUUUUCACUGUGGACUGUACUAUGCAAUCCACAGUAAAAGGCUUAAAAAGGAAAAGAGAGAGAAAAAAAACAAAGGCACGCGCCACAGGUUAAAUUUUUUUUCUUGCAUAAAAAAUAUCAAAAAAUGCUAAGAUCUAGGAAUGUUAGGUCUUUCUGCAAAGAUAUGCCCAAAAGCCUUUAGUUUAGUUGCAACGUUUGAACCAAGAGUAAUAUUUAUAAUAUUAAUAAUAAUAUUAAACUUACAUGACUCAAGUUUAAGUGAGUAUAGCUGCAGCACCGAACCCAAGAGCCUUGAAUGUGAGUCUGACUGCAAGGUCGUGUCAUAAAAGUGUGAUAAAUAAAUAGAUUAGUUAAAAAAAACAAAGAAAAAAAAACCAACAGGAAGAGAAAAACUGAUGAAGAAAAAGAAAAGAAUCUGAAUUAACUGGGUUAACCCUUCAAACCAGGUUAACCCGUCAAAUCUGGGAUUCGCGUCAUGAAAGUUUGAUAACUAAAUAUAAAAACAAAUUGACGGGUUAACCCGUCAAGCCCGGGAUACGUGUCAUGAAAGUCUGAUAAUUAAAUAGAAAGAAAUUUAACAGUAAAAAACUAAACUAAAUGAAAAAAAAUUAAUUAAAAAGAAAAAAAGCAAAAAACAAAUUCCGGGUUAACUCGUCAAACUUUAAAAAAAGCAAAAAAAAAAUUCUGGGUUAACUCGUCAAACCAGGUUAACCCGUCAAACCCGGGAUCCGUGUCAUGAAAGUUUGAUAACUAAAAAAAAAAUUAACAUUAACAAACUAAAUUAAACAAAAAAAAUUCAUAAAAAAAACACAAAGAAAAAAAGAAAAAAAAACCCAUAAAGGCAUAAAAAGCAAAACAAAAAAACAAAAAAAAAACAGUUUAGCGUUUCACAUGGACUGCACAGUGAAACACUGAACAAUUUUAGUAUAUCUUAUUAAUUAAAAAGAGAAAAAGCAAAAAAAAUAAAUUCGAGUUAACUCGUCAAACCAGGUUAACCCGUCAAACAUAGGAUCCGUGUCAUGAAAAUCUGAUAACUAAAUAAAAAAAUUAACAUUAACAAACUAAAUUAAACAAAAAAAUUCAUGAAAAGAAAAAAACACAAAGAAAAAAGCAAAAAAAAAAACCCAUAAAGGCAUAGAAAAAAAAUAAAACAAAAAUAAAAUAAAAAAAAUAAAAAAAAGAAAAAAACGAAAAGAAAAAAAGAAAAAAAAGAAAAAAAAAAGACGACUGCACAGCGUUUCACUGUGGACUUGCACAGUGAAACACAAUAUUAAUAAUAAUAUUAAACUUAUAUGACUCAAGUUUAAGUGAGUCUGGUUGCAACACCGGACCCAAGAGCCUUGAAUGUGAGUCUGGCUGCAAGGUCGUGUCAUAAAAGUAUGAUAAAUAAAUAGAUUAGCUAAAAAAAUAAAGAAAAAAAACCAACAGGAAGAGAAAAACUAAUGAAGAAAAAGAAAAGAAUCUGAAUUAACUGAGUUAACCCUUCAAACCAGGUUAACCUGUCAAAUCUGGGAUUUGCGUCAUGAAAGUUUGAUAUCAAAAUAUAAAAACAAAUUGACUGGUUAACCCGUCAAGCCCGGGAUACGGGUCAUGAAAGUCUGAUAAUUAAAUAGAAAGAAAUUUAACAUUAAAAAACUAAACUAAAUGAAAAAAAUUAAUUAAAAAGAAAAAAAGCAAAAAAAAAAACUCAUAAAGGCAUAAAAAGGAAAAGAGAGAAAAAAAAAACAUAGGCACACGCCACGAGUUAAUUUUUUUUCUUGCAUAAAAAAUAUCAAAGAAGGCUAAGAUCUAAGAGUGUUGGGUCUUUUUGCAAAGAUAUGCCCAAGAGCCUUUGGUUUAGCUGCAACGCUUGACCCAAGAGUAAUAUUUAUAAUAUUAAUAAUAAUAUUAAACUUACAUGACUCAAGUUUAAGUGAGUCUGGCUACAACACCAGACCCAAGAGUCUUGAAAGUGGGUCUGGUUGCAAGGUCGUGUCAUAAAAGUGUGAUAAUUAAAUAGAUUAAUUAAAAAAAAACAAAAAAAAACCAACAUGAAGAAAAAAAACUAAUGAAGAAAAAGAAAAAAAAUCUGAAUUAACUGGGUUAAACCUUCAAACCAGAUUAACCCGUCAAACCUGAGAUUCGCGUCAUGAAAGUUUGAUAACUAAAUAAAAAAAAUUGACGGGUUAACCCGUCAAGCCCGAGAUACGUGGCAUGAAAGUCUGAUAAUUAAAUAGAAAGAAAUUUAACAUUAAAAAACUAAACUAAACAAAAAAAAUUAAGAAAAAAGAAAAAAAGCAAAAAACAAAUUCCGGGUUAACUCGACAAACUUUAAAAAAAGCAAAAAAAAAUCCAGGUUAACUCGUCAAACCCAGGAUCCGUGUCAUGAAAGUCUGAUAACUAAAAAAAAAAUUAACAUUAACAAACUAAAAUACACAAAAAAAAAUUCAUUAAAAGAAAAAAAACACAAAGAAAAAAAGCAAAAAAAAACCCAUAAAGGCAUAAAAAGCAAAAUAAAUAAAUAAAAAAAACAAAAAAAAAAUUAAAAACGAAAAAAAAACAGUUUAGCGUUUCACUGUGGACUGCACAGUGAAACAUUGAACAGUUUUAGUAUAUGUUAUUAAUUAAAAAGAAAAGAAAAAAAAAUUCGGGUUAACUCGUCAAAUCAGGUUAACCUGUCAAAUCUGGGAUCUGUGUUAUGAAAAUUUGAUAACUAAAUAAAAAAAUUAACAUUAACAAAUUAAAUUAAAAAAAAUUAAUUAAAAGAAAAUACACAAAUAAAAAAGCAAAAAAAAACCCAGAAAGGCAUAGAAAAUAAAAAAAAAUAAAAACAGAAAAAAAUAGGAAAAAAAUAAAAACAAAAAAAAAGAAAAGAAAAAGAAGAAGAGGUAUUAAUAUCGAAACUUUCCUCAUUAAAUGAAACUCUUUGAUAUUAAUAUUGACUAUAUUGAUGGUCGGAAUUGGUAUCAACAUUGAUUUUCUUUCUUUACUCUUAAAAUUCAGUGAUUUCUCUCGUCUAUCAAAUCAGAGAUUAAAAAAACAACAAAAAUAGAUUUCAGUACCAAAAUUAAAUUGCAAAACUAUUGAGGGAUUGAAUAGGUAUAAUUUGUAAAGUUUGAUAAUUAAAGUAAAAUUUUUUGUGAUAACUUUAAAUCAAUCACUUAUUUAUAAUUUUUUUUUAUUUUUUAUUUUUAAAUUUUAUUUUUAAUCAUGACUUAACUAUUAUUUAAUUUGGCUCAAAAAAUACAAAAGUAAAAAAAAAUUAAGGAAUAAAAAAAAAACAGUAAAUCCAAAGUAAACUUAACAACAGUACACGUGUAUAAUAAUAAUAAUACUUCGUCUUAUGCUUUAUUUGGUUAAAAAUAAAAAAAAACUAGUCUGUCAGACAUGGACCAACGAGCCAUCAAUCACGCUAUGAUCACACGGUCGUUGUUCUCUGAUGGUUUCCGAUGUGGGAACAUAAAUUUUGUUUCAAGUUGUCAUUGCGUUAAUUUUUAUAGUUGCAGAAAAUAAUUUUUUUUAAAAAAACAUUUGUAGUUGUUUUCAGUUGGAUUAAUAUAUAUAUAUAUAUAUAUAUAUAUAUAUAUAUAUAUAUAUAUAUAUAUAUUAAUUAUGAUUGAAAUUAUAGUUAAAUAAAAAAUAUUUAAAAGAUGUUUAGCUAAAAUUGUUUUUGAAAGUGUUAUUGAUAAUAAAAUAACUAAAAUGAAAAUAUAUUUAAUAAGGUUAAAUUACAUAAGUAUAUAUAAUUAUUAUCACAUAAAAAAUAUAACAAAAAACAAUAUGUAGUUACUUGUGGAUCAUGAAAUAAAUUUUAAUAGUAAUAAAAAGUCACAAAGAAAUAUAUAUAUAUAUAUAUAUAUAUAUAUAUAGAGAGAGAGAGAGAGAGAGAGAGAGAAAUAUACAUUUGUUAAGCUAUUGGAUUUAAGUCCUAUUUAACAAAAACGAGUCCAAGCUGCAAGUGGGAAGAUAACCAAAUGCCCUUUGAUUUAGUUGUUCGAUGUGGGAUAAUCUUCUACUGUUUUCUUCUCACUUUUGGCUUCAAAUCCUGAUAAAACAAAGAAUGGGAUAACAUGCAGCACGAGUCAAUGGUGCAACAGUACAACUUACCUAACCUUCAACAGGAUCUCUUCAAAGAAAUAUAUGAUUUACUCUGUUUUUUCAAGCAAAGAUUUUUAUUCAUUAUACUCCUGGGAGCAACGCCAAAAAACUCUGUGAGACAACAGUUUCUCUUUAACCUUUUUUUUUUAAUGGUUAGUUGGACGUGAUUGGACACCUAGCUCGAACAAUUGAAUUUCGAUCAAGAACUAAAGAUAUUGACAAAAGGUAUCAAGUUAAAAUACCUACCACCUUUCGAUCUCACUGCUCACUUUAAUAUUCGGAUUCAAUUCACCAAAGACCCUUAUCUUCUCUAUUAAAAACUACAUAUUUCUUCUCUUUAAUUACCAAAAUAUAAGAUAUAAAAAAUUACAAGAAUCUAAUUCAAGCUUACAAGGAAGCGAACAAGGACAGGUUAUGCACUGACAUCUUAGAGAGGGAAAUGAGAAGGAAUCCAAUGGCCGGGAGUGCCUCCAUCACUUCCCAUACAAUGGAUGAUGAUCUUCACAUGAAGCUGCUAUACCUGGAGAACAGAGGUAUAUUGUUCUGCACAUGAUAAUUUUGUUCCUGUUUACAAUUAACUUGCCUUUUCCCCUAAGAAUUUCAAGAUUAAUAUGCCGAAAGCUGAAGUUUUUUGUUAGUUUACUGAAAUCUCUUUCUUGCACAUAGAGAGAAAUCCGGCAAUGAUAUUUUCACAUACUCUCUUGAGAUACCUACAUAUUAACAUUACUGAUCUUCUCGCUGCUCUAUCCGAGCUUUAAAUUCCUUGGUUUUGGUGCUGGGGGUGUCCUGCUAGCUAUCCUCUCUGCUCUUCUCCAAAUAGGAGCUUUUAUGCUCUUUCUAUUUUAGUCUCCUAAUCUACCAAGCAAUCUUGAUGAAAACAGAGAUUUUCUAUAUGGCAUCUGAUGCGCACAAAGGUGAAGGCAUCCCAUUGAUUUAUGACUUUAGCGCCUUUUGUUCAAUUAUGAUCUUGAUUGAUUCAAAUGGAUAUCUAUCAUCGCUUCUAAUUAAAUGUAUGAUCAAGUGUUGUGGUGUACAUCACAGUGGCAUUUGCAAGAUUAUUCUUCCCUACUGAAGCCAAGCUAGCCAUGGACAUUGGACAUGCUGCAACAACACCAGAAUUUGCUGGUCUUGCUGCAUCAAAAGGUUCUAACGGGAAUUUGAGGGAGGUUGACCUAGAUGACACACCAAUAACGCAGAACAUAAGACUUCGUUCUAGGAUGGAAGCCCUAACGAAAACAGGUACAUGGAAACUAUGAAUCCUUCUGUUUCAGGAACCAGCAUCAGGACAUGUUAUAAUGUGUUAUCAUUACGAGGGUCCUAGAAUAUUUUAAUCUGAUUGACUCAAUUGAAUUCCCAUGAAGUUGCAGAAUUGAGCAAAUCAAAUAUCACUUGUGGCUUAGAAAAUACAAACUAUUUAGUUUUUGCAAUUAUUUUCAUAUUAGCUGUGUUUGUCAUGAUGGCAGUUGAAAUGGGCCGACGAUACUUCCCCAAUUGCUCCGAAGUGCUCGAUAAGUUCAUGGAGGAUGACCUUCCUGAUUUGUUUUACCAUGAAAAGGGCACCCCAGAUGAACAAAGAAUCAAGAAGACACGUUUCAUGGAGCUUAAAGAGGAUGUUCAGGGGGCAUUUAUCAAGGACAAGGCUGAGAUUAACCCCACUAAUUGUUGAGUGAAGCAAGAACAAUGGACCAUGCAGUCAUGGCAAGAUAAGGAGAGGAAUCAUAGCAUUGACUAAGAUAUAAGGAGCACACUCUUUUAAUUUAUGUUUUUUCUUUUAAUAAGGAGCACGAACCUUUCGCUCAUCGACUAUGAAUAUUGUGCUUUGUCUUGGAAAAACGAAAAACUAUGAAUGUUGAGUUUCGGUCCACGGCAAGCAAGGGACGAACACACUGUUUCAUCCCAUUCAUACAGGACAGGACGACCGUGAGUAUCUAUGCAACCAAAUCAUCUGCUGAACGUCAAGUCAAUGGUUCAAACUCCAAUGGUGGCUUUAGCGCAAACCAGCCAGUUCCAAAAACUCCAUUAACCUUUCGAGCUAUCAUGGCAGAGGUGUAAAAUGGAUUGACAGGCCCAUGGGCAGAACAAGCUUCCAAAUAUGGGCAGCGCCUGGCAUGGUCAAAAAGUUCUUAAAAGGCUGGGCUACUGCUUGAUAGCAUGAAUGUUUGAAAGUGGAGUAGAUAUUAUUUUUUAAAAUAUUUUAUAUUUUAUAAUAUAUUAAAUUUAUUAUUUUUAUUUUUAAAAAAUUAUUUUUUAUAUUAAUAUAUUAAAAUAAUCUGAAAAUAUAAAAAAUAUAUUAAUUUUAAAUAAAAAUAAAUAAUUUUUUUUCAAAAGUAUUUCUGAAACGUAAUAUCAAACAUUGCCUUAAAUGAUCUAACAUGUCGUAUGACUCGUGCUUUGUUAUGGGUUAAAUUUUUUUAUUUUUAUAAAAAUUAUUUAUGUAGUUUUUUUUAAUAUAUUUUAAUAAUUCAAAAAAUAUAACAAAUUAAAAAUUUUAUGUAUUUAUAUAAUUAAAUAAACUAAGAAUUAUCUAUGUUAAUAAAUCAAUAAAAAAUUAUUAAAGACAAACUAUAAAUAAAUUAGGAAAAUCACUUCGAAAAUAACACCUCGCAGAUGGAAUCGACCACCGACAGUCGCACUGCUACAGUUGUAAAAUUCCCGCCGCCCUCGAUAACAGUGUAUCAGUCAAAACCUUAUCCUUGGUCUCUUGUCAGCGUAAGCAUUCAAUAUAGAUGGCUGAUUUAAUUAAAAAAAAAGGGAUAGAUGACGGAUUUUUCUAAAAAAAUAUUUUUUAUGUCUUAGAAUAUUUUUUUAUUCAUAAUUGUUUAAAACAAGGGUAAAGAAUUUGGGAUAAUAAUACAUGUUAAAAAAAUAUCUAUAAAAUAGCAUAGUUUUAUGUCUUAGAAUAUUUUUUUUAUUCAUAAUUGUAAUUUAGAAUAAUAAUUGCAUUUCAAAAUAUAUUUAUUUAAUAUAUAUUAUUUAAUAAAUAUAUAUUUUUAAAUUAAUUAACCUAUACAAAAAUCAAUUAAAACUUUUAUAAAAUUUAAAGGUUAAAAGAUUAGACUCAAAAUUCAAAACUUUUAAUUAAAGCUUGUGUUUAAGUACUAUUCUUAAUAACAAUCGUAUUCAAACUAUAUUAUUUUAUUAAUAUUUUAUUAAUAUUUUUUAAUAUUACGAAACUCUAAAAUAUCUAACACGACAUCUAUAAAAAAGAAAUGAGGGGAAGGGGGUCACAAAGCAAACAUAGAGAGAGAGAGAGAGAGAGAGAGAGAGAGAGAGCUAAGGACAAUGAUGAGGAAAAUAUUGGUUGCAGUGUUGAUUGUGAGCAUGGUCGCUUCUCAUUUUGAGAACGUAGCGUCUGAUGCUUCUGAUUGCGAUGACGCAUGUACCACCGGCUGCGUUCAAUCAAACACAAGACUUUUGCGCCGCUGUGAUAUCAAAUGUGGGAUAAGAUGCGGUCCAGAUUCCGAAGUCGAAGAUCACACAGGUUAAAGAACUUGGGAGUCUCAAAGAUGAAUGCUACCUGGAAUCUAUUUAUGGAAUAAUUUGCAGCUACUCUUUUGACUGUUUUUAUUUUCUGUCAAAUUCUCAGUGUUGAUAGUCUUUGUAUUAGAAAUAAGAAGGGAAGGGAAGGGGAGGAUUAGGGCUAUCCAAUCUCAAAUUUGAAUAAAGAAAGGAGAGAAUCACUUCUGAAACUUCAGUUGCUGUAAGAAAAAAUUGUAGCCUUUUGUUCUUGAAACUUGAUGAUCAUCAUUUUAGACACAGAAAAACACAGAUUCAUCUUUCAAGCUAUAAGGCACCAGUAAAGUACACACUGCAAUCUGCAUAGUGGAACAAGCAAUUAAAGGAAAUCAUGAUAAACGAAGUGGAAGAGGAGAGAGGCCAUAUUGUCAUCUUCCUUGAUCUGGAACGAAGAACCAGAAGAAAUUCCUCAGAAUCCUAAAACAGCAAAUAACCUCCAUAAAUAAAAUGGAUUUUUAAUGGAGGAGACAAUUUCAUUAGCCAGUUGAACUCAG